RNAcentral lists this long non-coding RNA (103988 nucleotides) under Ananas comosus (pineapple). RNAcentral's name for it is "long non-coding RNA (ACOM_LNC022279)". The record is from RNAcentral. Lineage: Eukaryota; Viridiplantae; Streptophyta; Magnoliopsida; Poales; Bromeliaceae.
GAGACCGGUCGCAUUGCGCGCAGCAGCUCUGGCUGCGCUGGGAGAGCUCUCGGAGACCGGUCCCUAGUCGGGGAGACCGGUCCCCGAGCCCGAAAUCUGCCCAGUCCAGGCAGUUGAAUAAGAUGAAAGUUGAGGGGUUUAUUAGCAUUUUUGCAGCCCAAUGGUUAUGUAUGAGGGACAUGAGGGCUUUUCUCUCAUUCCACUCCCUCUCACACUCUCUCCUCUCUUUCUCUCUCUAGAAGACAAAGAAGGAGAAGAAGAAGACAAAGGAAAAGAAGGAAAAGAAGGUGGAGGAGAAGCCAUUGGAGUGAAGCCACUUCAUCUUCUUCCUCUCUAGUGCAAGUUAGGGAAAGCUUUGAGGUAAGCUUCAACCCUAAUCAUGCUAAAACCCUAAUGUGAGAGCCAAAUGACCUAGAAAUGGUUUUUAAGGAGCUUUUAGAGUAUGUGAAGCUUUUCUUUUGCUUCCUUUGAGAUCAAGACCAUGGGUUUGGUGUUGGAGGUAAAGCUUGAAGGAGAGCUUGACCCCUCUCAUGGUGAAAUCCAAACUAGGGUUUGGAAUGAGCUAGGAAUGGUUUAGAUGAACUCUUUAGAGAAUAUUGAAGCUACUUUUGCUUCCCAAUGAGAUCAAACCCUAGGUUUGAUGAUGCUAUGGAGCUAGGGCACCAAAAUUGGGGCUUUUGCUCAUAGGGAUUUCUAAGUGUAAUUGACCCUCUGGAAACCUAAUUGGGGGUAUUUCGAGGUGUUGGUGCAUCGGAUUAAUGUUACGAAAGCCAAUGUAAAGUUAUGGCCAAAUAGCCUAAUUUGGCUUCGUUAUGCCGAGGUAAGAACGAAGGGUCUAAAAAAUCCCUAAGAAAAUCAUCGGAGCACCUUGAGAAGCAUACGAGGUGGGUGGUGCUUCUCAACUCAUUGAACUUCUCUCGUAUGCCUAAUGUGUAAUUCAUUUGAGCUGUGUAUAUAUAUUGUUGCAUGCAUUUUAGGUAAAUAAUGAUGAAAAAAAAAUUUGAUGCAUGAUUGUCAGUACAACUUGCAUAAUACGAUGUGAGUGAGAACUAUGUGAAUGUCGAAAACCAUAUGUGUAUGCAUGAGAGAAAAGUGAGCACCCAAGUGAGCAAAAGAACAGAGUUGCAUAUGACAUUAGAUCGAGUGGCAUUUGAAAACGUAAAGUAAAUGUGACAUUUAGAGUUGGUGAGGCCAAGAGAACCAAAGUGAUGUAAAGAAUGAUGAAAUGCAAUGUGUUAAGUUAAGUAAAAUGGGACAAUAAGAACAAGAAAUGUAGAACAAGAUGCUAAAGAUGGAAAAAGUAAAAGAAAAGUAAGUAACAACGAUUGCUAGAAUGGCAACUAAAGUGACAUAAAGAACAAUAGAGUAUUGUAAAGUCAAGAUUGAACUUAUAAAUUCUUUGAGUUAGGAUAUGAUCACUUAUUGCUAUGAUUCCAUUGUGCUGAGGGCGGUCGCUCCUCUCGGGCGAUGCCGUCCGGAGGUAUGCUCGGGUGGAGUAAAACGCAAGCGCUGGGUAGUGAGUCCUGCGAGAUGGGAUUAAUGUUGAAAAGUUAUGGUGCGGCGAACCCCGGGUUAGCCUUGAGUUAAGAAAAGAACAAAGAAUAAGAGUAACGUGAAAAGAACCAAGAUUUGCAAUAAUCUGCUUUAUUUAAUGUUGGCAUUAUUUUUGCUUAUUUGUUCGGAUAUUCGCUCAUGUUAUGAUUUGGUUUACUAUAUGCCAGCUUAUUCUUUCUAAUUAUGCUGAGUUAAGCCCUAGUGCGGAAGAUCGGUGAUGUUGGGCGAACACCACUGGAAACUUAUGUUGUAUUUCUGCACAAACUAUUUCCACAGGAGGGAGCGAGCGAGCGACCGAGGUAAAGGUAUCGCGCCUUAGUCAGAGGCCACCAAAGUUGGGUUUCAUUUUGUAGUAAAGUACCCUAUGAUCAUCUUUUGUACAUGAUGGUAAAUGAUGCAAAGAAAAGAAUGUAAUGUGUAUUUUGAGGUAAAUGUGAUGUAAGAAAGAAAUGAUGAAAUGAAAUAUAAGGAAUUCGAAAAUGAACAAGAUGAAUGCAAUGUAUAUGAUCAAAAAUGAAUCAUAGUACAAGUGAAUGUUUAGUUUCCUUUUUCUUUCACUAAUGGCUAUUGCUUACCCUCGUGUAAGCCAUUUGUGUAUGUUUCCGCUAGUGCUUUUCUCUAUUGAUGAAAAUGUACAUGUGAUGAGCCUUGGGCGGAUAGGGAAAAACUUUGUCCGUUCGGCGUCUGUUUGACGUGCUCGGGUCAGGCCAAAUUGGUAUCGGUCCCGGGGCAUGACAGAUAGAGUGGUAUCAGAGCCAAGAGUGAAAGAAUAGGAAUGGACUUAGAGACCCUUAGGAUUGGAAGGCCUUAAGGAUCUAGGAAACGUGAGUGACGUGGGAUCAAAGUUAGCGAAAGCAUAUGAUUGGGUUAAGUUGGGACGUCUCUAAUGUGAUUAGAGGCUAAGUUUAAAUUUCGUUUAUCCUCUACUUCUAGUAUUGUGUCGGGCGGCCGACAACAUGACACUUGAGGCAAGGAUGAAUGUGCAUGUUGCUUUCGCCUAAUUGGGUAUGGUCAAGUAGUAUUGGUCAAGUGACUAAGGGAAAAGAAGGAGAAGAUGGAGGAAAUGCAGGAGAUCGUCGCCAUCGCCAUCCUCUUCGUCUUCUUCUUCUCCUUGGAGCUCUUGGAGAGGUGAGUUUCAUGGCUUCUUGUAAUAGUUCCUUGUAGAUGGGUUCUAAAACCCUAGAAAUGGAUUUAGAGGAACCCUAGCAUGCCUCUAAGAUGAUUUCACCCCAUUUCCUAGAUCGAUUUGGUGGUUUUGAUGUUGAGGGCAUUCUAGGGCAUCCAUGGGGGUUUUUGUAAAUAGAUGGGAUUGAUCUCAUUUGCCCCCUUGUAAACCUAAUUGGUAGGUAACGAAACACGUUAGCUCAAAUCAUCAACUCUAAGGUCUCUACUACCUUAGGAUCUCAACUCAGUCCACUGGCUUCUAAGGUCUCUAUUACCUUAGCUCAAACCUCUAUCUCUAGCUCAUAGGGUUUUACUACUUCUAUCAAGCUAACCACCCGACUCGGCUUCGAGUCAAUCAUCCGCGGAUAGUCCGCGCACUGGCUGCUCAUCAGCCUACCGCUCUCUCUAACUCAGCCUCAUAGCGGCGAAGUCGUCGCACACGCUUAACACGGCUCGAGUCGCUUGACUUAGCCAUCUGGUGGCAAUCACGUUGCUCUUACCCAGCGUGAGCUCGAGGCAUGACAUAUCGUCUGGCGGCGAACGAAUCGCACCUCACCCAACAACGAUGUCAGACUCAGCCACCUGGAGGCACCCGCAUCGUACUUACCCAGAUGGAUUCAGUCUACUCUGGCGGUCUGAUCCUUAAAUGGCUUAACCAUCCGGCGGUGAAAUCGUCGCACAAACGUCACGACAAUGGUGCAAGCCCCGGCGGCGAUCUCCAUGUGGUCACCCCCAAUCCUCCCUCGGUAUCAAGCUCGGCGGCGAAAUCGUCGCACAAACGCCCUAGCCUUUACCAGGGCCAUCACAAGUCAUGGGAUUCCGGAAUCCACUUCCCACAGGUCGAGGGUCCAUAGCCAACCCUAUACUGUCGAACUAGCUCAUCCUAGUGGCUGCUACCACUAUGCUCAACAACCUAGGUUCCAACACUCUAGGUUCUAUGUUCACAUCACAUAACCUAGACACAACCUCUAGGUUCUCGUCAUCGUUACCUAGAUGUCCACUUCUAGGUUUACUAGAUCGACCUAUGUUUGCUAACACUAGGUUCGAUGCCACACCUAGACUUGUUCGACUCUAGGUUCUCUUGUUCAACCUAUAUUCUUUAACACUAGGUUAGGUGCCACUCGAUCUAGUUGACAUCCUAGUUGUCCAAUCGAGUAUCUCAUGUCAAUCAACUCUACUCAACUAGAGUUAUUAUCUAGUUUACAUGCAUAUAUAUAAACAUUCAACUACUUGUGCAUUCAUGCGCUAUCUAGCAUUUUCAUAUUGUUCAUUAUGCUUUCUACCUAGCAUUAUCAUUAACAUGCACCAUUUAGCCUUGUCUACAUGCAUCAAUAUGAGAUUACAUUGCUUAGACAUAAAGGGCGACCUAGUCGCUUCGGUAAGCACAACCCACCUUAGUUAGCUUUCCGAUUGCUUGUCGACACUUGCAAUCGGCCUCCCGCGGCACUCGGCAUCCGUUUGGGCCCGAUCUCACAGUUGCUCCCCACGAGCGCGUCGCUUCGCCGUUUCAAGUGCUAAAGGUCUUCGCCUUGCUGCUACGGUGCUCGGGACCCGAUUUAACGAUUUAUGGAUGUCGCCUUGGCCUUCCAGGCGGAAACGAAGCUCUGAGCGCCCGUUUCUUCGAUAUCUUUACAACGGCUUGUCGGAUUGCCGAACCGACUUCGCCAACGUGUUUCGUUACCUACCAAUUAGGUUUACGAUGGGUCAAAUGAGAUCAAACUUAUCUAUUUACAAAAAUUCCACUUGGAUGCCCUAGAAUGCCAUCACUAGCAAAUCCACCAAAUCGAUCUAUGAAAUGGGGAAAAUCCUUCUUAAUAACAUGCUAGGGUUCCAAUAAUACCAUUUCUAGGGUUUAAAAACCUAUCUACAAAGAUCUACCAUGAGAAGGCUUCAAGCUUACCUCUCUAGGUUUGCUCCAAAGGCAAGAAGAAAAUGAAGAGGAUGAUGAUGAUGAUGAUCCUCUUCUUCUCCUCCAUCUUCUCCUUCUUUUCCUCUUCUAUUUUUCUUUUUCUCUUCUCAUUCCUUUCUUCUUCCCCCAUUUCCUCUGCUAUGAACGGAGAGAGAGAGAGAUAGUGAGGGAGAGUGUGAGGGAGUGAGAGAAAGAGAGAGAGAUAUCCCUCUCUAAUAGCCCCUAUCAUUUUGUAACAAUAUCCAUUUAGGCCCCUCAACUUUUCACUUCUUGCACAGCCCUCACUAGGCUGUCUGCGCGCGAAGGGACCGGUCUCCCCGACCUGGGACCGGUCCCCAGGGCCUCCCCUCGCGGGUACGCGUUCGGAAACCGGUCUCCCCCUAAGAGACCGGUCCUCGGGAGACCGGUUCCUCUCGGAGAGACAGGUUCCCGAGAGUUGAACUUUCGGGACUUAGCCGAUUUUUGGCCAUUCUCGUGGGUGUCGCAGGCUGGGACUGGUUCCUCAUCUGCCAGGGACCGGUUGCAUCAGCAACCCCGCAGCCUUCAGCUGAUGGGACCGGUCUUUCACCUCCAGAGACCGGUCCCCGAGAGCAACCUCAGCCCAAAAAUGCAGAUUGCAUUAUUUGCUCUCGCGCACUCCAUUCCAAUGCACUUCUUAGAUUUUGUGCAUCCUAACCUUUUCCAAAGCUUAUCCAAUCGACCAAUAGUCGAUUUUGGACGAAGCGCAACUAUCCAAUUUGAGGAAUUCAGGGUAUGACACCAAAACUGUGUCACUCCGACUCUAGUACACGUCAAUUUGACGAAAGAACUAGUUCAAGGUCAAAAAACCCAAACCGCUGAUUCCAAUCAGCAAUCAAGGAGGAAAGAUAGGCAUCACAACCCUAUCCAAAGAUAUGCGGAAGCAACACUAACAAUGCAGUCGUCUAAACGACCGCUAUCCAAACCCUAAGCUAUACCCUAGUAGCCCCACUGAUGUCUCGACCGUAACUGGUCUAAGUACCGUCUCCGUGGAGACACUCGCAGUAGCUCUCAUGCCCUCAGUAGGAAGAGUGGCCUGGGUGUCGACAGUUAAGACACUCGCCUAGGCUGAAGAUCACCUGGCCCUUCAAGGCCCCACCUGACAGAAGUGGCAACACCUGGGAAACGUCGCCCCACCACUCAAUGUCCAAAAAGAAGCACCGCCACUACUCCCGACUGAGACACCAGCUUGUACGAAAAUCGUAGUACAUAAGGAAAUAUCCGUGCAUUCGAGUUUACAAAUCUCGACAUGCACACCGGGACUCAAGCCCAAAUCCCGCACUCACGUGCCUAUAUACCGUAGGUCUUCCUAUAGGUCAACCUAACCAAUGGUUCAGUUCAUUUGGUUCAGUUCAUUUACUUUUCAAAACAACCUGUGAAUGGUGUCGUGGUUGUAACUUGUCUCUGAUACCACUUUAAUCUGUCACGCCCCGGGGUCUUAUUUAGUUGUGGUUGUAUCCGAUUUUCUUGUUGUACUUGUGCGACGCCAUGUAAAUACAGGGGAGACUCUGUCUAUGUGCUUUUUGUGCCAAAAAACUCAAAUGCUUCCCAAACUCUAUGAAGGUUAUCUAAAUAGUUUCCCAUUACUAUUUCUCACCAAAACUCUACUUUUUGCGAAAGUUCAAUGCAUUACAGUGGCUAUGAUGAAAAGAGACAUAUGCGUGAGUUGUUAUUGCCUUACAAGUUAUGACUUUGAGUUUCACAGAUGAAACUUUUUUUAAAGAGGGAGGAAUGUAUGAGCCGCAAACCACAUAGGUGGACUGUUGAUAAGAAAUAACUGGUGAAAUCAUUAAGUGAAAUGAUCAUGGAAGAGUUAGAGACGAGACGCUGAGAAAAUGCAAAAGUGAGAACUUUGGUGGAAUCCAGUGAAUUUUAGAAUGAUAGGUGAAAUGGUGACUAAAUGUCGUAUUUAAAGUAUUUGGGCAUAAUAAGAGAGGAUUAGGAAGUAUUGGAGAUGAUUCGGUCAGAUUUGAGAGGUAUCGGGAUCUACUAUGACAACUUAUAGUGGCAGUAUUUGUCGUCACUAAAACUAUUAGUGACAAAUUUUUUAUUUUUAGUGAUAAUAUUUUAUUGUCACUUAUAAAUCAUUUUCUUAUAUUAUAAGGUAGAAGAGAGUUGGGAGGAAACAAAAAUUUCAGAUGAAUGAUUGUGCUCCGAAGUUCAAUUAUUUUGAUAAGGAAAAAAUUGGAAUUCCCUAAUAUGGGAAGGUUUUGAAAGUGUUUAAAGUGUGUUGGAGUUUGGUUGGGUUGGAUUUGAUUUAGAGAGAAACAAAACGAAAAUUGGAGUUUCGAAAAGAAAAUGAAAAGGAAAAAAAAUGCUGAAACCACUAUUCACAGUGUCAAGGUUCAGAUCUUGUAAGGACUGAGAUUUGGCAGAGUAGCUAAACUCUCUGUUGACGAUGUUUUUGUGUGUAUUUUAAUUACAAAAGCACUCGUCAAGUUUCGGGGAAAAACGAGUUAGAAUGGAGAUUUUACGCGACCUUUACUUUUCACUUAAAGUGAAUAGUAACUCGGUUUUUCAGAGAGGCCAAUAAGUAGAGUUAGCUUCUGGCGUGUAUCGGACUCUGUUCAUAGUGAUCCAAUAGCUCGUUUUCAAUGGUUCGGCUAUCCUGGAACUAAUGGCACUGACGAAUUUUAGGUUUGACGCACGUAUUUCAAGAAAACUGGAAUUGCAUGUAUUUUAUUUAUUUGUGAGUAGUUUUUCCUUUUGGAGAGAGAAUGGGUUUUGUCGCAAAUCCGUGACCAAACGAGGCGAAACAAAAUUUUGAGUUUGUUGUCUCUAUCGUGCUAAUCACACUGGUGUGAUCUGUUCGCAAAUCUGACGGACGGAUCCCCUGAUAUCGCGCGUUGAUCGAGGAGGGGUCAUUAGUGAAAAAAACGGUAAUUUUGUGAAAAUCUCGAUAUUUUAUGUACCGUUUUGCGUGAAAUCGAUUGUGGGGGUGUAUUCGCGCGUUUUAUAUGCACUGUGAGGGACUCGGUGUUAAAUACUGAGGUUUGGUGGGCUAACUCCCAAUUUUACACCUUCUAUAUGUAUAGCUCACCUAGGGUUUGCCCCAUGCAAACCCUAACUAGCCCCAGCUGACCCCGCCAGCAACCUCUCUCUCCCUCACCUCGUGUGCCGCACACCUUCCGGCCGCUGCUGACCGAGCCCGGUUGGCUAGCCGCAGCUGUAGCCAUUGCCAUCUUCCCUCUCCAUCUUUCUCUCUCUCUCUCUUUCUCUCUCUCUCUCUCCCUCUUUCUCUUUCUCUUGAGUUGAGAGGAGGCCCGAGGCUAUAGUGCCUCCUCGCUCUCUCUGCCGACGUCGCCCUGAUCCCCGGUGCUUCCACCGCCGGCCGUCGCCGCCCCGAGUGCCGCCGCUGCCGCCCAAGCCACUUGUGGCCAUCUUGGUCCAACACAGGUUGAGGGAGCUUCAGCUCCCUCCCCUCGCGCCGCCACCGCUUGAGGUCGCUCCUGCCGUCUCCCUCGGAGCCCCAGCGACUUCCUCCGCCGGCCACAGCAGCCUCGAGCGCGGCCGUCGCGAUCCCUCUCUACUAGCGGCCUUCCUGGGCAUGUGCGGGCUGAGGUGAGCUCGCACCUCCUCCCUCGCACCGCCACCGCCCGGAGCCACUACCGCGGCACCUCUCCGGCCUCAGGCAAUCCCCCGCCGUCGCCCCUGAGCUCCCCACCGGCUGCUGUGGCCGCCUUUGCUCCCGAACUUGAACCCUAGCCCGUGCGGGCUCCGGUUGCACCAGCGCCGCCGCCGCCGCCUCCCGCGUCGUCGUCUCCGAUCUCGGCUUCAUCAAACCCUAGCUGAGUAUUAUAUAUAUCUCCCUCUCUCUCUCCCUCGUCGGCCGCACCCGUCUAACACCGGUGGACCCGCGUCGAGCCGCCGCCGGCUGUGCCCUAGCUCCUACUGCUCUGGUAAGCUUUGUCUAGGGCUUUUGAUUACUGUUCUGGGUUGCGCACAUUUUUUCGGCGAUCCAAGGCUGUCCCGAUGCCUCCGGAGGUGAGCAUGAUGAUCGUUGGUCAGUGCUGAUCAAAGUGCUUACCUCACUUUGGAUCAGCAGCUUCCAAAGUUGCGUUUUCGGCGCGGUUUUCUCCAAGUGCGCGCUAUUCGCAGAAUUUUUGGGUCACUCCCGCGCCUCCCAUAGUGAGCCGUUGUGCUUCGAAUCAUGGGCACGGCCUUCGGCAUGUUGAGACCUAUCAGUACGUAUCUCGGCGGACCUCGGAAGCCUUCGGGUUGUGUUAACGAGCCACAAAAUCGCCUUAUUUACAUAAAAUAGUAGGAUUUUAUGUAAAUAGAGGGACUUUUAUGCAAUUUUACAUCAUGUGGCUACUGUAGGCUGUAUGUCCGUGCGGUAGUUGACCUCUGAACUGAUCGUCCAAGGCCCGUUCGCCUUUACGAAAAUCGGAGGUCGAGUUCGGUGCGUUUUUCGGCGAAAUUCGCCGACGAAAUACGGUUUUGGUUCGGAUUUCAUCCGACGGUGUUUGGUUACCCCGAGAGUUGUUGCUGAGCCUUGUCGUCUAGUCACCAUCGUCAUUUCGUGAGUUCGAAGAUGACGGGUGAGCGAUGGUGGGUUCCGGUGUCGAAAUUGACACUUCCGGGAACCCGGAUUCGAAUAAUUAUUCGACGAUAAUUGUUUAGUUGUAUAUUUUCAUGCUUGCUGCCAAGACAUCCAAAUCGAUGUGUUUUGUGGCAGCGGGUGACUCGUGGUAUGAGUCGAUGAGUUUCGGGGCAUUUAGUGGGUUCCAAUGGCGUCUCGGUGUGAUUUUCGAGACUUCCAGCGAGUUAUGGUGAUCGAUUUUGGGAAACCGAUUUUUGGGGAUUUGUGUGGGGAUUCGUGAGUUGUGUACCUUCGGUUUGUGGGUUGGAUGCUCACCCGGUGGAUCUUCGUAGGUCCGGUUGACUUGUGUACACCCAGUUUUCUGACGCAACAAUAAUAGGUGGGCGCUUCGAGCUGGUAGUCAGUGAGAUCGUUUCACUUUUUUCUGUUCUUCUAUAUCAGUAUUGUAGUCUCUACAUGUCGGUUGUUUUGGUUAUCGUUCGUAUAUCUAUGCCUUAUUGAUUCCAUGAUGAUAGUUAUUGAUAGACAUGUAGAGCAGGUUUGCAUAUAUAUUGUAUCUCUGUGGACCUUGGGUCCAGGCAAGACAUCGACUCCUCUGUCGUGUGUUUCUAUCUAGUUGAUCGUGGUUCGGCGUGGUACGCCCUUGUAUCUGGCUUCGGCCAAGGCACCGGCUUCAGCCGGCUUUCGCAUUGAGUAUAUUAGCAUGAUUUAGUCACAGCACUUGGGUGUAUUCAUUGACACGAAGUCAGGUUGGCCACCGACCGGAGGUGUACUUAUUCGGAUGGAUCGUCCAGUGGACGGGUGAAUCAGGUCGGUGCAAGCAAUGUGACAAGCAACGCUUGAGGUCUGCGGACCAAUAUGGCAGGCACCAGAUUGGGUCUGGUUGUGGUUUAAUUACCUUGAGGCAUGCUCAUCAUUGUAUUCCUUACAGUAGCAGUUUUUAUUACUUGCUUCUUAUUAUAUUUGUUAUAGCUACUGUAGUUCUCUUUUGUAUCACAGCAUCUGUACUUGUUUACUUUACCUCCUUUGGUUUUCAGUGAAUACGACUUACCUUCGUGGCUCUGUCGUACCCACUGGAAAAUCUUGAUUGUGGUUUCUCACUCCCCAUUUCCCAAGGUGGCUCGGGCAAGGAGUUAGCAUUGGGCACGACGGGAGGACGUUCUAGCUAGACUGCAGUAGCGACCGUCACUCGGGUUACUUUUAUUUCUGCUUCUAGUAAUUUGAAUAAUUAAAUGGUUAAGUUAGAUGAUCAUUAUGAAUGUUUGCAUAUUUGUGAAUUGGUUUGAGUUGAUGAUUUACUAUGAUGCUUGCAAUUGGAGUUGUUGGAUCUUCUGUUUUGGAAUUAUGUAUUUAUACUUUGUGGUUUUUUACCCCUCGAGGUAGUUGGUUUUCAAAACGGAGUUUCCGAGUGGGAAACAGUUUUAAAAAAGGUUUCGAAUGGUUUUAUGGAUGGUUAUAUACAUUUAAAAAAAAAAAUAAAACUUCCGGGUGGGGAGCACUUUUAAAUAGGAUGCUUGUUGUAUUGUGCAUUGCAUCAUCCAGUGCCUGAGGAGUGUGUAGAGAAUGCAUCAUCUCUAAGGAUCACUAACUAUAUGUAAAUGCUUCGCAUAUAUUGUUUGUGGAUUCGUGAAUGUAAGUUGUGGUUGUGAUCCUGAUGUUGUUGUUGGUUCACUGUACAAAUACAAAGGAGACCUUGUCCGAGUGGACAGAGAAACUUUAUAUUUGUGUCGUGUCAGUACGUCACGUGGCCAGGUUGAAUUCAAAAAAAAAAAAAAUGGCACGUUUUCCACAACUCUGGUUUCUAAAUUUGUAUUCGUUAUAAAAAGGCUUUUAAAAUUGGCCCUGGGGCGAGAUAGAUCUCAAAGGAAAUGUCCGGAUCUUUGCUGUAUAAUGUGUAGAAUAAGUUUCGAGUUUCGAAUUUUGGAAGGGAAGUCUAAACCUUUGCUGCAUAAUGCACAGAAUGGCUUUCAGGAUGUGAACUUCACAGGGACGGUAUGGAUCUCUAGUAGUUUCAGGCCGAAAGUUGCAUUGAAUGUAAUUUUUCAUUUUUGGAGUGUCUAAAUGGGAUUGUAACUAUCCUAUUUGUACCCUAACCAUUCCUUUUCUCUUUUCCAUCACUUCCUCUAAGGGGGCGUUUGGAUUGACGAAUUUGUAAAUUCAACGUAAGUCAAGUGUAGUGGUGUUUGAGUUUCCCUGAAGUGUGAUUAUUUUUCUGUUGUUUGUUUUCACGUAACUCGUACCACUGAAAGUUAAAUUCAAUCACUUCUGCUGUUUGUUUUGAUGUAACUUGGUGCUGGUAAAAUUAGUUUUUUGAGUUCCGUUGUUUGUUUUGAUGUAAGUAAGUGGAUCCCAUUAUCUCCUAAAUAUAGUAAUAAAUUUAUCACUAUAAAAUUUAACCUAUUAUAUAAUUUAAUUUUUUAUUAUUAUUUAAAGAUAAUCUUAAUUUAUUAUAAAUAAGGUAAUUCUAACCCAUUAUAAAGAAAGUAGAGUUUAGGUUUUACUGUUUAAUAAAUUGUUUAGAGAAGGUUGAGUGUGGUGGAAGUCGAGUUCGGUACUUUAGAGCCGGAAGUCGAGAGUAGGUGAAGUGGAGCUCUAACGUAACUUGAGUUACAUUAUAUUUUUCACUUACACCAAAACAAAUAACGGAAGUGAUGGAACUUGAGUUCCAUCACUCCACUUACACCAAAACAAACGGGCCCUAAGAGGAACCCAACUCUCUCCACUCCCUCAACCUCCACUAUUCUUCCUCCUUUUCUCUUCUUCUCUCACCAUAAGUUCUAACCCUCAAUUUUUCCUCCUAUGGAAGCUAGUUCCCCCAUCAUGCUUGGAAUUGGAUCAAGAGAAAUGGCAGAGUUCUUGGAAACCUAAACCAAGAUUCUAAAGCUUGAAUUAAGGAAUUAGUUCUUGAAAGAUAUGAGGAUUAGUAGUCUAACACUUUGUGUAGGGUAAUUUUUGGAAAAUUUGACGGUUUUAGUAGGGUUGAAAUUAAGGUUUGAUUUGAGGAUUUUUUUAUCAUGAGGCUUUUAGAUGAAAUUGAUGUGUAGAAUCCCUUCAUGUAGUUUGCAUUAAGACCUAGACAACUUAAAUUGAGUAUACGACAAGGAUUAACCAUGUUUAUGUGAGUUCUUCAACAUUUCUAUGUGAUUUUUUAGGAAAUAAUAAAAUAAGGAUUUUGGAUGGUUCCUAAUGGUUAGAGCACUUCCUUUAGAGUAGAAAAGUAGACUAAAAAACUUAGAACAAGAAUAUGAAGAGAUUUCGCCAACCAUCUGGUGAGUUUUUGUUUGUCGAAAUUAGUUGUCUCCUUCUAUGUCUCUUUUCUUUCUCAUGGGCUUAUUUCCUUUCCAUGGUAGAAUGAGAAUUCAUAAUUAUUAUAUUAUAUUCAUAAUUGCAUGUUGUGUAGGCCAUGAGUUGGAGAAAUGUAUGUCUUAUAAUUAUAAAAUUUGGUGAGUAUCUGGAGAUCUAGAGUCAUGUACCUGAGAACAUUAUUGUUAAUGUUUUUUCCCCUAAAAAUAAGUAUGUUUAGAGAGUAAAUGACAUUGGACUCUACUUUGAUUACAUGUUGUCUUUGCUUCAUUGAGAUUAAUAUUUGUGAAUAAGUGUCAGCAAAAUUAUGAUAAUGAGAAUACAAUUGGCUCGAGAACUUAGUGUAAUUAGAACAAAAGGUCAUUCAUAGUUCAAAUAUUCAUAAUUUGAUAAUGUAGUGAAAAAUCUCCUAAUUAUUAGUAUGAUAGCUGUAAGGACUGAGAUUUUUGACAGUGCAACUAAACUCUCUGUUGAUGAUGUUUAUGUGUGUAAUUUAAUUACAUAAGCACUCGUCAAGUUUCAGGAGAAAAUGAGCUAAAACGGAGAAGUUACGCGAUUAUUAGUUUUCACUUAAGUGAAUAGUAACUCUGGUUUUCCGGAAAAGCCACGGAGUAGAGUGGGCUUCUGGUGCGUAUCGGACUCCGUUCAUAUCAGUCCAAUAGCUCGUUUCGACCGGUUCAGCUGUUCUGGAACUAGUGGCGCUGACGGAUUUUGAGUUUGACGCACGGAUUUCGAGAAAAUCCAAAAAUACAUGUUUUAUAUGUAUUUGUGUGUGUGUUUCCUUCUAUUGGAAGAAGGUUGGAUUUUGUUGUGAAUCCGUGGUCGAUCGAGAUGAAGCGAAGGUAUAGCUUUGUUGUCUCUGAGGUGCUGAACGCACUGGUGCAAUCCGUUCGCAAAUCUGACGGACGGAUCUGCGGAGAUCGCGCGUUGAUCGAGGAGAGGUCGGUGUUGGCAAAGCGGUAAUUUCGCGAAAGUUGCGACAUUUUAUGUACCAAAUCGCAUGAGAUCAAACGUAGAGGUGCGUACACGCAAUUUACUCGUGCUGUGAGGGACUAAGUUGGAAUUAACCAGAUCCGGAGGACUUUGGUGCAAAGCGGCAUUUGGUAUAUAAUGUCUUUAGGGUUUCUAUGCACGAAACCCUAGUUUCGGCCGACCUAGUCUUCCAGCUUUGCCCUAGGUAGCUUCAGCAGGCUCUUACCCUAGCCGUGCUCGCGCUCCGACCGCCGGCGUGCGACUCCGGCCGCCGGAAAAGCCGGGUUUGCUCUUUCUCCACCUUCCUCUCCAUCUUGCUGCCUCUUUCCUGGCCAUGGAUCACCCGGAGGUCGUCCACUUGAGCCGUGCCCCUCCCCUGGCCAGGGCCCAACCUCCGGCAGCUCCCCCGCCGGUCCGAGCCGCCGCCGCGCGCCGCCGUCGCAGCCUGGGCGACCCGCGGCCAACAGGAGCCAGUUCUGGCCGAGGCAACCCUGCAUCUUCCUCCCCGCGCCGCAACCGCCCGGGACCACGUCGGGGACCUUCCUCGAGACCCUCCGGCACCUCCGCGUCCGGCCGGAGUGGUCGCCGCCGCCGCCGCGCGGCUAGGGCGUUGCCGCGGCUACCCUCUGGCAGAACUGAGUUCGGGCGGCCGAGCUCGGGUCAUCCUUGCAUCCUCGCGCCGCCACCGCUCCCUUUCGGCCGCGCCGCCCUCUGGCGACCUCCGGCGACCUCGCGCGCGCCUCCCCGCCGUCCCCACACGCCGCCGGCCACCGCCCGGGCUCUCUGCGGCCGUCCCGAGCGCGUACGGGCCCUGCUUGGACCAGUACGGCCUUCGAGGGCCGCCGCCGCCCACCGUCGGGAGCACCACCUUCCCCUCGGUCUCCGGCACCGGAUAGUUGCCGCCCCGGGCUCCUCCGGCCGCCGCUUCACUGCCGCCGCCCUUGAACCCGAGAGGAAUUUGGCGGACUUGAUCUCCGCCGCCGCGCCACCGGCCACCUCCCGCCGCCGGCCAGCUGGUGCCCCGGACCCCUUCGACCUGCCGCACCCUUCCCCGACCGGACCGCCCGCCGUCCGGCCACCGCCGGCCAACCCUAGCUCUCUCGGAUCUGGUAAGCUGAAACUUUAGUUACAGCACUCAGUUUUAGGGUUCCGGUCACCCUUCAGGCGAUCCGAAGGCACCCCGGUGAAUAUGGAAGUGAGCACGAUCAUCCUCGUUACAUGCCGAACGUCGUGCUCACCUCCGUUGGGGUCAACGGUUCCCCGGUUUGCGUGUUUGACGCGAUUAAGUGACAGUGCGCGCUGUUUUGCUGUAGUUCACAUUGCUUGUGCACUGUUUGGGGUUGUGUGUACUUUUCGGCAACCCGAAUGGUCUUUUUGACCUCAGGAAGUGAGCACGAUGAUCCUUAGGUCGUGCUGAACAUCGUGCUUACUUCCGUCGAGCCCUGAGAUGCCUUGGUUGCUCGGGCAACCGCGAUCUUCCUGCGGUGCGCACUGUUUCGCUGACUUUUGCGUCGCUGGUGCGCGCACCGCAGUCGCCGAAUGUGCUCCGAAAGGUGAGCACGGCCUCCGGCACGUCGAGACCUGUCAGCAGGUGUCUCGGUCUGGCUGCAUGACUCCUGGUUUGUGUAGACGGAUCAUAAAAGCGCCGAAAUCGCAUGAAAUAAUGCGAUUUCGGGUAAUAGGGAGGGCUUUUAUGCAAUUUGAUUUGUCGUAGCUGCUGUUGGCAGCAUGGGUGAGCUGUGGGUGACCUCUGGACUGAUGGUCCAAGGCCCUGGACCCUUGCGAAGAUCGAAAAUGUAUUUCCGGUGCGUUUGUCGGCAAAAUCCGCCGACGGAACGCGGUUUUGGUUCGAAAUUAUUCCGACGGUGUUUCGUGAGCUAUUGUGUGGUCGUUGAGCCUUAUAGGCUGGUCACUCACAUCAUUUCGAGAGUUCAGAAAUGACGGGUGAGCGACGGUGGGUUCCGGUGUCGAAAUAGACACUUUCGAGAACCCGGAUUCGUACAAUUAUCCGGUGAUAAUUGUGUAGUGGUGUUAGCUUGGGUUUGCUGCCAAAACAUCCAAAUUGGAGUGUUUUGGGGCAGCAGGUGACUCGUGGCUCGAGUCGGUAUGUUCCGGGACAGUUCGUGGCUCCCGGCGGAGUCCCCGUGCGAGUACGGGACUACCGGCGUAUUACGGCGAUCGGUUUGGGAAACCGAUCUCCAUGGGUUUGCUUGUAGGUUGUGGAUUUAGUAGUUAUUAGCUGUGGGUUAGACACUAACCCGGUGGACCUUCCUUAGGUCCGGUUGACGUCCUUUUUGCAGUCAGGAGACAGGCGCAGCAUUUGUACAGGUGGGUACUUCGAUCCGAAGUCGGUACAGUGGUGCACGCUCGGUGAUAUUCUUCUAUCCCUGUUCUUCUGUUUAUUGAGCUUGCAUCCCCGUUGUUUCUAUUAUACUCUACUCAUAGGUUUCUAUGCUUAGUAUCAUGUGUAGGAGUAGAGUAGUUUAUCCAUAUGUGAUAUCGGUGACCUGAUUGGUCGGUUCUCGUACUUUGUUCCGGUGACCUAAUUGGUCGGUUCUCGUACUUCGUUUCGGUGAUCUAGUUGAUCGGUGCUUUUAUCUUAUGUCUGUUGACCUGGUUGGUCGGUUGUUGCACUAUGUAUUGGAUUGGUCUGUUUCGUGACUUCUGUUGUUCGAUGACCUUUGAGGUCGGUGUACCCUGAGGGGCAGGAUUGUCGGCUGGUGCUGACGGUAGUUCUGGACUAUAUCUAAUACACUCCUGUGACCUAUCGGUCGGUUCUUGCGUUCGUACUUUUAGUUGACAUCUAGCAGUAUCUACAUAUUAUCUUUAUUUACCCUACCUAGUUGUUCUAUGUGUAGUAUCCUGUAUAGGGGUAGAGUAGAUGGCAUUCGUAUAUACUAUACUCGUGACCUGGUUGGUCGGUUCUCCUAUUUGCAUCGGUGACCUGUUUGGUCGUUCGUUACUUUCCGUACAUUGACCUAUCUCGGUCGGUUCACGUUGUUGCUUGAUGACCUACACGGUCGGUAUGCCCAGAAGGGCAGUGAUUGUCGGCUGAUUGCCGACGGUUGGCUAUUGAUCAUAUCCGCAUUGAUCGCCACAGCUCGAGUGCAUUUCACGUACACCAGCGGGUUGAUCCCCCGCAGGAGGGUGUUCUUUUCCGGAAAAGUGGUCGUACAUCCGACCCGUGAGCCCAGCGGUGUUCUCUUUGUGCUAGGGUUACAUGCCAGGUGUGAGCAGAUAGUGGCUUUUGCCUGAGGUCCUUAGACCGACACGGCGGUUUAGAUUGGGUACUUUUGGGACUUCUCGUCCGGUUGACGCAUAUAGCUAUAGUAGCGGUUGUUGCAUAUGUACUUCUAGUUCUUUCUUUACAGUUGUCUUGCUACUAUAGUAUUGAUAUCCUUGUAUGUUUGUAGUUGUACAUUACAGUAGCGGUAGUUGUGCUUUUAUAUAUAUAUACCUCAUUCGUUCAUUAUCGUUGCUACUGUAUUUCACUUAUCAUACUGUUGUUUAUCUCUUCCUGAUCCGGUGAGUACUCCUCGCCUUCUUCGGCUUGCGGUACCCACUGGGAGGGGAGACAUGUUUACAUGUUCUCACCUCCCCCACUAUUUUUCAGGUAUUACAGGUGUUGAGUUUUGGGACGAGACGUGAGGUACGUUCGUAGCGGUCGAUAGAGCUUCCGACCCAGGUUAUUUCGAUUUAGUUGUUAUCCUUGGUAUUUCUGUUGAUAUAUAGUUUAGUCGGUUUAUGUGGUUCAGUGUUCAUUUACAUUUGAAAAUGUGAAUUUCUGGAUUUUGUAAAAUAAAAGGUUUUCUACCCCUCGUGGUAGCGUUUUUAAAAGAAUAAAGGUUUCUGUGUAGGAAACAGUACCAAAUCGCAUGGAGAUCAAAGUAAGUGCGUACACGCAAUUUACUCGUAGCUUGUGGACUAAGUUGGAAUUAACCUAGAUCCGGAAGACUUUGGUGCAAAGCUGGCAUUUGGUAUAUAAAUGUUUUAGGUUUUCUAUGCACGAAACGCCUAGUUUCGGCCGACCUAAGUCUUCCAGCUUUGCCUAGUUACUUCAGCAGGCGUCUUACCUUAGCCGUGCCGCGCUGCGGACCGCCGCGUGCGAUCCGGCUCCGCCGGAAAAGACCGCGUUUGUCAUUUCUCCCACCUUCCUCUCUCAUCUUUUUGCUGCCUCUUAUCCUGGCCAUGGAUCACCGGAGAGUCGUACAUUGAGCGUCUGUCCCCUCCUUGCAGGCCCAACUCAGCAAGCUCCCCGCCGCCGAGCCGCCGCCGCGCGCCGCUCGUCGCACCUGAGCGUUGCGCGGCUUAGCGUCUCGCCGCGGCUACCUCAGCAGAUUAGUGUUCGGGCGGCGAGCUCGGUAUCCUUUGAUCUCGCGCCGCCACCGCUCGGCCUGAUCGGGGCCGCGCGCCCUCUGGACGUACCUUCCGGACGGACCCUCGCCGCCGCAGCCUUCCCCCGUCCCCAACGCCGCGGCCACGCCGGGGCUCUCUCGCGGCGUCUUCGAGCGCGUAUCGGGGCCUCUUGGACCAUACGGCCUUCAGGGCCGCCGCGUCCCACCUCGGAGACACCUUCCUCGUUCCGGUAUCCGGAUGUUGUCCGCGGCUCCUCCGGCCGCCGCCUUCUACCGCCGCGCCUUGAACCGAGAAAUUGGGACUUGAUCUCGCCGCCGCGCACCCGGCACUCCGCCCCGGCCGCUGGAUGCCCCAUUCGACCCUUCGUGACCUGCCGCACCCUCCGACCGAACGCGCCGUCGGCCACCGCGUCCAACCCUAAGCUCUUCGGAAUCUGUCGUAAUGCUGAACUUUAGUUACAGCACUCAGUUUUUAGUGGUUUCCGGUCACUUCAGGCGAUCGAAAGGCACCCGUUGAAUGUGAUAGUGCAGCCAUCAUCUCGGGUAAUGCCGAACGUCUGCUCACUCCGUUGGGGCGUCAACGUCCCCUGUUUGCUGUGUUUACGCGUUUAGUGACAUUGCGCCUGUUUGCUGUAUGUUCACAUUGCUGUCACUGCUUUGGGUUUAUGUAUACUUUUUCGCACCGAAUACAUAAAAUAUCGCGACUUUUGCGAAAAUACCGUUUUGCCACUACCGACCUCUCCUCGAUCAACGCGCGAUCUCCGCAGAUCCGUCCGUCAGAUUCGCGAACGGAUCACACCAGUGCGAUCAGCACGACAGAGACAACAAAGCUGCGAUUUCGUUUCAUCUCGAUCGACCACAGAUUCACGACAAAAUCCAACCUUUCAUUCCAAUCGAAAGAAACACACAAAAAUACAUAUAAAACAUGUAUUUUUGGAUUUUCUCAAAAUCCGUGCAUCAAACUCAAAAUCUGUCAGCGCCAUUGGUUCCAAAACAGCUGACCCGGUCGAAACGAGCUAUUGGACUACUAUGAACAGAGUCCGGUACGAGCCAGAAGCCAACUUCNNNUCGUGGUAGCGUUUUUAAAAGAAUAAAGGUUUCUGUGUAGGAAACAGCUUUUAAAAGGUUUUUGUGGAUUUCUGUUUAAACCUCGAAUGUAAAACUGUGAUGUGAAUGGGGAAUGUAUGAAUGUAUAGCUAUCUGUAUAUUCAUUUGAUUGUGGUUGUAUACUGUUUGUACUUUUGUACUUGUGUGACGCCGUGCAAGUACAGGGGAGACUCUGUCCGUGUGAACAGUGGAUUCCUUGUAUUUGUGGCGGAUCUGGCAUACUCUGGGGUCAGGUUUUUAAAAAAAAAAAAAAUUCAAACGCUUUUCCGCUGUAUUUCAAACAAAAAGGGGACCCCGGGGCGUGACAAUAGCAUAAUAUUCAUGUUCAUUGGUAUUAUAAUAUUGAGAUGCCUAUUUUUUGAGGAAAUGACAAUAGAGCUAGAGAGCUCUCAUAAUUAUUAUGGAUGGAAUCUCUUUGAUCAUAAUAUGUGAUCACAGCUUGUAAGGGCCAAAAUAAGAGCAUUUGCUCAUGGGGAUCACUACGCCACAGAACUGGGCCUCUUUAGGUAUAACCAUGCAAGUGCAUUUGCAUUUGCUAUUUGGGUGUCAACUGGGUGAUAGAUGUUGUAACACACUGGACCUUUGCAAUUGUAAGAUUCGAGUGUUUGCUCUGUGUUCCGAGUUUUUCCUGACAUUCUGGAAGGUCGUUGACAGUGAUCCGACCUAUGGCUCGAUCUCGAGAAUUGAGGUUUAAAACUUGGCACCAAAAUCCAAAAGGUUGGGUUGUUGGUCCUGCUCUCGGGUUAGCCUUAGCCAGGCUAUGUAUCGGUAUAGCCUUGAUGGUUGUACCGGUACAGGAUUUGUACCGGUACACCUUGAUGGUUGUACCGGUACACCUUGAUGGUUGUACCGGUACACUUCGAUUUUUUUGCCAACCCGAGGCUCGGGUUUGGGUGCCGCGCAGGAAGUGUACCGGUACACUUUCCCGUGUACCGGUACACUUUGCUCUACGGGCUGAUGUUGUGGGGGGGUGUUUUUGCAAUUGUUGCAAACCUUAUAAAUACCAUCCCAGUCCCCUUAGGAGCUCUUUUAAGCCCUAACCUGUGGAGAAGUAAGGUGAGACUCUUCCCCUUUGAUUUCUUCUUCAUUUUUGGUGAAUUUUGGUUAGUUUUGAUAUCUCCUUUCUUCUCCUCCUUGCUUUUUGGUGGGUUUCCUCCAUUGUUGAAGACUUGGAGCUUGGAGAGGAGCUUGUUUGAGAGGAGAUCUUCAACCCUACUUGGUUUAGAUCUUGGUUUGGGGCAUCUUGAGAGGUAAGUUGCACUCUUCUGCUCCUUGAUCCUUGUUUUGGUAGGUUUUGUGAGAUGCAACCCUAGAAUGUGAAAAUUAUGGUUUAAGUGGGGAUUUUUGAUUGGAGACUUCUUGAUCUUGAUUGACCUUAUUAGAACCUUCCUUUAGGUUGGUUUUGAAGGAUUCUUGCUCUCUUUGGGAGAUCAAGAGGCAUUUUCACCAUUUUCGGUGAGUUUUGCCCUUUUUCUUGAGUUGUUUAAUGUUCGAACCUAGAAUUGUUCGUAACGUUCGUGUAUCCCUCCUUUUGUUAUCUUUAGGGUACUCACUACAACAAAACUAUGUUUUAGCGGCGAUUAUUUUUUAAAUUAGCGGCAAUUACAAUUGCCGCUAAAAUAUUUGUGGCAAUUUUAACAAUUGCCGCUAUUGGCAGGGUCGCUAAAAGUUUUAGCGGCAUUUAUUCCGGCGGUUGGUAAAAAUCCAAAUAAAUGCCGCUAAAUAUUAUACAAUAACGACUAUUAUAAAUGCCGCUAAAUAGUAUGCAAUAACAACUAUUAUAAAUGCCGCUAAAUAAUAUACAAUAACAACUAUUAUAAAUGCCGCUAUAAUUAAUUAUAAUUGCCGCAAAAAACAUACUAAAUGAUUGAUUAAUAAAGCUUAUAGCGGUAAUUAAAUUAAUAUUAAAAUACUUGAUUAACAACUAAAUACUACAAUGAAUUGAAAUAUUAAAAAAUAUUAGUAACUAAAAAGCAUUAAUAAUUUGUAUAACAAAUAGUCUCAACUCUCAAAUUACAAUUUCAGAAUUCAAAUUAAAUUUCAAACAUAAGUUCUAACAAAAAAUACUUAUUCAAAAUGUAGCAAAAAAAUAACAAACACCGCAUGUCUUGCUUCCCACUUCAAUUUCCACAGCUCCAUAAUGAGCAAUUGCAUUACUCUAAAAAAUAGGACCAUUAUGUGUUUCCAGUAUAGGAACCUACAAUAACAUUAAUCUGGUAAGUCAACACAGGAAAAUACAUGCAACAAACAGCUGAAAUUUUCAGCAAAGUCUUGUUUGGUUACUACUAACUACGCUACCACACACUCUUCUCACUAUCUGNGAUAUUGAAAAGUUUGGCGGAAAUAGAAUACUAACUGCGUCAUUUUCCAAGCAAGGACAGCACCAAAAGUACUUUCAGUCAAAUCUUUAUAAGCAGUUAAUUAUAAGGAUAAGCAAUUGCUAGACAAAGCAGUGCACAAAAUACUUCUACAAUUCACUGGAGCAGUUAACUAUAACGAUAAGCAAUUGCUAGACAAAAAUUUGGCAAUGAAUAGUAAAAAAGAACACAAAUAGGCAUUCACAAUUUGGCAAUGAAUUGUGAAUGCUCUUUUUUUUUCCUUACAAUUGAUCUAGUGUGCAUCUAACCAAUUUUUUUUUCUUUUUUCAUAGAAAUAUGAAGAAAUAACAUAGCCCCAUCAUCAAUUAAAAUUAUUACUAAUUAUGAACAAAAAUAUAUAUAAAAUCUACAAUAAUAAUUUGCAUCCAAAAUUAAUUUAGUACAAUAGGAGCCCUAAUUAAAGACACAAAAAACACCCAUCAGAUCACACAUUUUAGACAAGAUAUAUCACAAACUUCUUUCUCAAUAAAAGAAAUAUGCUUACCCUAAAAUAAAAAAAAUAUGCUAAAAUAAACACAUAGUAAACUAACCUCCAAUGUGGACUACAAUUAUAGAAUGAUAACCUAGUCCAUAGCAAGUAUCCAAAGGUUGUAUUUUUCAGUUGAAGAUUGCAAAAAUCCUCCAAUAUGCAUGCUUCGUACUUAAAAAGAUUUAGCCCUAAUUCUUGAGUGCCUUUGCUCUUCUCUUCAAAAGAGUAGAAAAAUUUGUGAGGUAAGGAAGAGCAGCCUAGAGAUACAAAGAAAAAAAAAUAUUUUCACAAAAUAAAUAAAAGGAAGAGAGUAACUUGGAGAAGAAGGGGGUGGAAGCAGAGUUAGGGCAAAUAUAAUCCAAAGCGAAAGCAGAGUCGGCGGCGACUGGAGCAGUGAGGGAGAGUCGGCGGCGACGACGACAGCGACGACGACGGCAACGGCGACGGCAAUGGCGAUGGCCGCGGUGAGGGCGACGGCCGCGGUGAGGGCGAACGGCGACGGCCGCGGUGAGGGCGAAUGGCGAUGGCCUUUCCCUCUACUUUUGCUAAUAAUAGAUGGAGAGGGACAGAGCUAGAGAGAGGAGGAGAAUCUGGUGGUUUUGGGGAAAAAAGAAGUGGGUUUUGUGGUUUUGGGGGAAAAAAGAAGUGGGUUUUGGAAAAAAAAGGUGGGAUUUUUUUGCUCCAACCCCAUGGCGCGAACGGGAAAAAGUUCCCGCGCGUGAACUUGCCGACACGAGGCGUUAGAGUCGCAAUAUUAACAACAGAUGGUUAAAAGUGCCGACGCCCUAUGUAUGCAUCGCCAAAAAAGCGUAGCUAUACACUACUUUUUCUGUAGUGGAAGCUGAUAACACUAUUACCCAAAAUCCUGUUGUGCUCAAAAGCAAUAAAAGUAUUGAGUAUGUAAACCAUAUAUGAAAUUGAUAAUUUCUGUCAAUUGUUAGUCUCAGCAUGUUGGACCUGGGAGGUAAAGCAAAAAAUAGUAAUGCGUGUCCGAAAUAAAAAUAGAGGACUGUACGUAUAUAUUUCUACAAAAUAAUCUAUUUACCUAUGUAACAAUGAAGAGUCUCAAUAUGUCAUAUAUUUUCCUCAAAAAUGCAGUUUCUUAUAUAGACAUCCCUAAGUUUCUAAUAAUCCAAAUAUAGGGAGUAACUAAUUUUGUAUCGGAAAAAGUCCCUUUUGUUUCACUCAAAAAGAAAGUUCAUUUAAAGUGUGAUAAAUAGUAUCUAAUCAAGAAAAAGUGAACCGAUUAACUUACAAUAAUUUUGCAAACAACACUGAGCAAUAUCCGACAGCACAAAAAAUAAUGAUGCGGGAAAAUGGCAGCAAUUUGCAUUUAUAGACAUAAAAUCAGACCAAAAAUUUGAGAGAAUAUCUUCUCCUUCCUAUAUAUGUAUGUAUGUAUGUAUGCAACUUAAGAACCAGAUUGUAAGCCUAAAAUGCAAAUAGUAAUGAUAGUGCUGUGAGGAAGAUGGCAAGAAAUUAGAGAAAGAGACCCUUAUUAACAUUUCAUCAAACAGUUGGCAGGCGCAAUCGAAAGCACUACCAAUUUGGAACUUCAAUUGCUUUACGUAAUAGAGAGAAAGAGAGUGAAAGAAACUUCGAAGGUGGCGAAAAUAAAUGUCGGCUACAAUUGAUCGUGAUGUUUACCUGGUAAAGAAGUUGUCACAGUCAAUGGGAGGUAGUGGCUGAUACGGCUAUGUUGCGGCGCCAAAACUCACGUAGCAUGAGAGAUCAAGGGACAUAGCUGAAGGCAUUAAGGUUGUCAUUACCAUCAGCGUGGGAUGUUGCGACAAAGGCGAGGCAAUAAAGAUGAAAAGGGGGGGGGUUCAAGAAGGGAGAAGGUAAAGAGUUACAAUGCCUUAAUGUCGAGGCAUAAAAACGGAACAAAUCGUUUGGGGGAGAUGUACCGGCGCGAGAGCAUAGGGAACGAAGGAACAAAUCGUUUGAGGGAGAUGUACCGACUGCAAGGGCAGAGGGAAUGAAGGAACGAAGCAAUAAUAACCGGUUAAUGAGAAGAUGACCGGUUGUGAGCCAGUUGAUGAGAAAAUUAACCGAAUAUAAGCUCAAAACUAAGUAAAAGAUGCCACGUGGACAUAGGAUACGGGGAUUAAUAUAAGUUUAUAGAUGAGGACGAGAUACAUUAUGUAUAUUUCUACAUAGGAAAUGUUCUAUAACACAAGAAUUUUUUGAACUUUCUUUUUUCUAAUUGCUGCUAACUGAAUGGUCACUUCAAUAGUAUUUUGAACAUUUGCAGGAUUGGACAUAUUAUAAAAUCAAAAAUGUGUAACAUUUUAGUUUUUUUUAAAAAAAACCUUAAGGCAAAAAUUAUAUAGAAUUUUAAAAAUGGUAGAUUCUAAUAGGGGCUUUGUGACACCCCAAUAAUCCCACAUCGGAUGGGAAUGGGGUUGUCAUUGGGUUUAUAAGAGACUUAGACACUAGUAAUAAUAACUGGGCUUAAGCAUUUUGGGCUGUUGACUGGGCCCAACGAGUUAUCAUUGCUAGUGGGCUGGGUCGUUACAGGUUUAUUCAACGAUCAGAAAUUAAGUGAAAAUUUGUAACAUAUAAUUUUUUAAAGCCCGCUUAAAUUUUUCAAUUUUUAUUAAAAAGACUUUAGAGAAAAAAUAGGGAGAUAUUAGUUAUUAUUUUAUUAUUUAUAAUAUAAUGAACUCAAGUAGAAAUUACAAUCUAUUGCACUUUACUUUUACAACUAUAUUGAUAAUUUUCAUCAAAAUCAACAAAGGUAUGAAACAAAUUAAUUUUUUACUUUAAAAAACAUAUGAAAAAAUAAUAGUAAAAAUUAAAAAUACAAGAAUAAAGAAGAUGGUAAAAAUAAUUACGGAUGAGAAUAAACUUAUUGUUCAAUAUUAAUUUGUAGGAAGAGAUCAGUCCAAGACGAAAAUACGUGCAGCAAAUUUUUUCUGCCUCCAAUUGUCAAAGUACUUCUACUAUCUCCUCCUCAUUUGUUUUUUAUGUUCAAAUAUAAGAGGUAACUGAUGUCAUUGGUGAUGGCAACAAAGGUUUCUUAUAUAGGAAAAAAAAUAAAAUAAAAUCAGUGAAUUAAAUAAUCCAUAUCAUAAAAAUAUUUAAUGAUAAUUAUUUACCUGAAAUAAUUACUAGAAUUGAAGAAAAAGAACAGAAAUUAUAUACAUCAUUUAUUUAAUUUGUAGAUUGAAGAUAAUAAAAGAAUAAAUAUGUAUAAACAGUAAUAAUUUUGUAGUUAUUAUCUAAAAACCGAACCCUUUAUUGUGUAAGUAUUAAUUCUGCUCCGUCGAUUCUGCUCUGAACCACCGUUUCUCAAAGUGCAACGCUUCAUGCUAUCGCUUUGACUCCUUAUCAUAAUUUUUCGAAGGUGUAGCCGUCGGCUGCCGCUCAUUGCUUUUCAUUAGGUUAAAGAAGAAGGGCCAAAGUAGUGGUAAGUUUGUAAAAAUUUUCAUUGGACCUGGUGUACACGGUAUAUAGGUCACAGUACACUAAUUCUAUAUAUUUUUAAAUAUGGAAGAUGUAAUUAAACGAAAUGAGUUUAAGAUUUUGAACUAUAAGUUUAAUCUUGAAUUAAGAUUUGAAAUUCUAUUCUAAAUUUCAAUUGCAUAUCAAAAUUAAAAAUCUAAAUUCAAAUUUAAAAUUUUACUUCAAAUUUUAUUUACAUUGAAUUUAACCGUCCAAAGUUCUUUGAAUUAAAAAAUUAAGCUCAUGAUUAAAUUAAUUGAAUCAAAUUAUAAAUUUAUAACUGUGAACUUAAUUUGUUAACUGUGAAUUUAAAGAGCUUAAUUCUUUUUAAUUCAAAGUAUUUUUAGUAGUNUUCAAUUAAUAUAAUUCAGAAAUAUGGAAUGAAUUUUAGAGGUUCUUAUGUCUAAAUCUAAACAAUCUAUUAUUGUUUUGUUGUUCAGGGAACUGCAUACGCUCAGUCACUGUCAAGAAAGUGAAAGAAAAAAAAGUAGAUUUCCAAGUACUUGAAUAUUUAUGCGUCUCCCUUUCGCAUUAUUAGAGCAGAAAACUGAGAUAGUAUGGAGAACAUGGUACCUUCUCAAGCUAAUAGGCGGAAAUUACGAAUGUCAUGUUAACAUUCAGAUAGCAGCUUAGUUUCAGUUUCUAGUGACAUUUUAUGCGCAAAGAAUUGUGUGGUGAACUUGCAGAGCAUUUUCAGGAAAUUCAGUUUUGUUAUAUCAUUGAUACAUUCUUGCUAUUGAAGAAUUUCGUUACUGAUCAAGAAAGAAGCACAAACCUUUUGUGUUGCCCCAGAAUCCUCUAAUAUCGCCACAGCUUGGUUCAAUCUCGCAUCGAUUAUAUCUGCAGGGAACUCGGCCUCGACAAGCACAUGUAAUGGAUCAUUCAGGUGUUCAUAACCAGGUUUAUCUCUUAGAUUGUCUUCCUAAAGAAACACCAACUUUUCAAAAUUAAAGAGGGAUAAGCACUUCAGUUGCACUUACAAAAUAACACAUACUUAUCUAAAAAACUAUUUGAAAUGUCGUCGUAAGUCACUUACGAAAGCACUAAAAAUAAAAGAAUGUGCGGUGCAGCGAACUUUUGACUAAUGGAGAAAAAAGAAGUAUAAUUCAUAACCAAAUAAAUGAAAUCUUCAUUACUCAUUCUAGCCUUGAAUUCAUGAUACGAAGAUAAGUAAUUGAAAUGAAUAUCUGUAGUUCCAAAUGGUUAACUUACUUUUACAAAAUAAUGUAUUGAACUUGAGUAGCUUUCCCCAUUACCCAUUAACAAAGGGUCUCUAAAAAACCAUAGCAUGAUGCACAAAGAUAUGUUUUUUUUUUUUUUUUUUGAGAAUUACAAAGAUAGGUGAUAUUAUUCCACCAAUAUCAACUAUACGAAUCAAAUUGAGUUGAACGAAUGUCGGAAUCCUAUUUAGAUUUCCAUAUGACUCUAAAACACAUUGUACCUAGCAAUAGGACUUAAAAACUUGUCGGAAAACCAUGAGAGAAUGCAAUCGGAAAAACGACUUGAAUACCAAGUUCGACUAGACUAAAUCCUAAUAAAACAACUGUUUAGCAUGGCCGACGGCAGAGAUUUUUCAAUUGUCGACUUUUCUGGUAAAAUAUUGUCAUGCUUUGCAAACCAAAACCUGAAAGUGUAACGAUAUUUGAAACUUCAGUCGAAACUUUAUCAAACGAUGGAAACUAGAGAGUAGACCGGCUUACCUUUAAAGAGUCUUUUACCGAACCCCGCCUGCGUAUGUAAACUCUGCACUGAGUCGUAGCUUCGACUCGUUUCAAGGAAUUUCCUCUGCAACUAUUAUUCCUAUAUCAUGCACUAACUCAAAAGCAACUAUCAUUUCUACACAAGAUUUCUAAAUUGCUGAACCAAUAUUCUAACGAAAGUCAAUAUUAUAUGUAAAUUCAACUUCGGAAUCAACUUUACUUAAUUUUAGGCCAAUGUACCUUACAAUCCGGCUUGGGGCAUCUUCGAAUUAGCUAGAAUUUAGGCAGGAAUCAGCUAGAAUCCCCUAAAAAUUACAAGAAAGUUGGAGUCACAACUUGCAAAGAUAAAGCUUCAUUAUCGAAAAUCAGCACUGCGACCAAAAUUACCUCAAUUGAAGCUCAAUUAGACAACAAUUCGGCUAAAUAACUUGCUCCUCUUGCUUCUUACAAUCAAGUAGUCCAAGAGUAGGUUCCAAUUUAUCAUAUCUUGAAACGUCAAAAUGCAUCCAUUUCACCCUCAAGUUCAGUGGCCUCCGCUGAGAUGCACUGUAGUAACUGCUGGACUGCACCUUGGUGCUGCGAAUUUCUUGCUUCACAAGAAAAUCCAGCGCAAGACAAGGCUAGGGGGCGAUCCACGAGUGAUCUUUGACUUCUAUACUAUAAGAAAAAUCUAUAAUUCACUACGAAAUUCCACUGCAAUUAGGAAAUAGAGGUCAAUAAUUCAACUUCGACAUAAAAACAGUUUUCGACCUCGAAGAAAACUAAAAUUCUUAUUCAUCUUACCUCCAAAUUAGUCCAAACAAAAUUCAAAUCACUAGAUAAUGAAGUCAAGAUCACUCCCAAUCCUCCCAAAGCUCGGAUCCUAAAAGAAUAUCAAACAAAUUUUAUCAAAAUUCAAAACUAGUUCAGUUCAGUCCAGAAAAUCAGCAUUGCACCAUUUUGGAUCAACUUUAAAAUUAGAGCCACAAACCCGAUUUUCAGCUCAAGAAAGGUAUAAAUAGCCUCUCAACAUCCCCCCACACAAGUACAAGCCUUUAAUUUUGAAGGUGGAACUUCAAAACUUCACCAAUUGCACAAUAUAUCAUCUCCUCUGACUAAUAACCACUCUGCUGCCAGCUUCACUGCUGCAGUGAAGCAGCUGGCAGCACUUGAUGCUGCUGCUGCUGUUGUUUGCUAGAUGUGCAGGGACCAAACCAGCAAGGAACACAGAAAGAGGGAUGAGAGGGAAAGUCGCAAGGGUGCUCUUCAGUCAAAACACUAUAAUCAUCCAAAAUAAAUGAGUAAUUUUUCAGCCCAUAAGGAGUUGAACUUAGAUUAAGAACCAAAUUUCAGCAUCGAGCCAAAUCGGUUGCAAACUCACUUAGAACCAAGAAUUUAUUUUCCACUAACCUCUCACUUGGCCCAAGUAAGCUUCUAAUUAGUAAAAGAUGAAGAUAGGUUCGUUUCCAACCUAUCAAGAUCUCAGCCAAAAGAAGAAAAUCCAAAGAGAUUCAUCAACCGCAUGAACUAUUCAAAUUCAGCUCAUAUAAUAAAUUCGACUAAUUGAUAUGCCAAGGCAGGUUAUGCCCAAAUGAGAUGCAGAAAAUGCAGCCUCUGAUGAAACAGAAGCUCUCUGAUCAUGGGCAAGCUUUAGUGUUGAACUAUCAGUCCCCUUCAGAGUAGCACUAGAAUUCCUAUCAGGAAAAGAGUUUGAGCAAAAGUGAAGGUAAUUUAGCUAAUAGUAGAAUUAUAUAUCCACUACGAUUACAUUGUCAUUAGCUACUUGGUCCAAUAUAAAAUCAACGAACAGUGAGAUAAUUAAUUCUUUAACAACUCUUUUAAUUUGCGAUGUCAUUCUGGUAGUUUCAAUUUCAUCUCUUUCCUCUCAAAAUUGUUUAGCAGUUCUUCGACCAUUUAGCAAUACCUGAACUAAAAAAAACCCUGAAAAAUCAAUAGAAUUUAGUGUUCCCAGAAAGCAGUCUAAUACAAGUUAACCUACUUUUCGGAAACUCUAAAGCAACUAUUUUCUGAGAAUAUGAUUAUUUCAAUUCUUCCUAUCUAAUAUUUAUCUUUUGAAAAGCUUAGUAAUUUUUCACCAACAUCAGAAACCAGAACCUGAAACUCUAAAAAUAGCCAAAACUAAACUCAAUAAGCCUACACUGAAGCCUAUAUUGAGCUUUCAAUGAUCUAGUUAUACCAUCAAAUCGCAGUGAGACAGAUGUAACAAUGGCUUCCAGUAAUACAUAUAGUUGUUUCAGCAAUUGUGGACUAAAUAAUUGGAACAUAAGAGAGAGUUAUGCCCAAAUGAGAUGCUUGUUCUUAAAAACAAAACAAAUAUUGAAGAACUUCAUGCUUGUUAGUUUUAAUCCAAUGUUCGUCAAUUAGAUUUUGCAUUAUCCUCUUGAUGGAUUGUGGACCUUCAAAAAGUUUAGCAACGCAACAAGAAACCAUUUUAUAUUGUCAUUCAGUACUAUCCUCUAAACUCACGGUCAAAACUGAACAGAAAAAGCCUAUUCUUCGAUUUAAUACCAGGGGAUCUAAUAAACAACAGAGAAAUUCUUUAAGAAAUCAAUUUGGAUGUCACUACCUAGUUAAUGAAGUUUGUGAUGCAAUCUAGUGGUGACCGCAUAGAAAGAGACGGUAACAUGUCACACUGAUAUAAGCAUCCGUCCGUAAACCAAUAAAAAAACAUAUGUUAGACUAAUGUCGAGCAUCAUUACUGUAUAUAGAUUUAGAUGAUAACAAAUUAUGAGUUUCCGUGUUCUGAUGCUAAAUACCUGAGAGCUUUGUACUUGACUUGAAUUUUGAGAUAUUGGAAUCCUGCAGCAUCUCGCUCUGCACAUGCCGUAAAUUGGUAGUGAGGGCCUCGACACUGUGAUUCCUCAAGCAAGUGGCGGAGGAGCAGUCCUUGAAGAGCUCAAAGGCGUGACCGGCGAUGUCGUGAUUGAGCCCUAGAAUGGAGGCGACGUCGAUGAUUUGCAGGUAGGCUCGGAGGUUGUCGACGGAGACGAGCGGCCCGGAGGGAUCCGCGCCGCCACCGCCUUCUCCUCCUCCUCCUCCUCCGUCGCCGCGCCACCGCGCCACCGAGGAGGUCGCGCUCGAGCUCGGCGAGGUGGCCAGAGAAGGAGAGGGCGAAGCGGGCGAAGACUGGGGCUGGCUCGAGGGUCCAGGCGGAGAAGGCGAUGAUGAAGCUGGUGGGGAGGAAGGGGUCGUCGUCGUCGUCGCCGCCGCCGUGGUGGCCAUGGUCGCCUUGGGUUUGAGGAGAAGGAGGGGGUGAGGGAGAGAAGUGGUUGAGGGGGUGAUGGAGAGGAGAGGGUGAGGGAAAGAAGGGUCCGACGCAGGGGAGGGGUGAUCGGGUUGCGUUUCGGUGAGGGUUAGGGUUAGGAUUUUAUUAGGGCUAAGUAAAUUUAUUUAAUAUUUAAAUAUUAGUCGGUAAAGAUAUAAAGUUUAAACAAUUGCCGCUAAAGUAUAAUUAAAUAUUAAUUAAUAGCGGCCAUUUCAUAAUCGCCAUUACUAAAUUGCCACUAAAAGGUAAUUUUGUUGUAGUGACUAGGAGAGUGGUGGACACUCUCGUCGGAGCAAACGAAGGGUUUCGUGAAGUCGCGGUGGGUUUGGCUUCAUUGGAAUAGGAGAAAAUUUCUCCUAAGUGGUUAAAUGUCUUCGUUUCAUCGCAUCGCAUGCAUAUUCAUGCUAGAUAGAAUUUAUGUGAAUUUUAGAAUGCUUAAAAUGUAUAUGUUAUAUAUUAUGAAAAUUCAUCUCUAUAUAGUAGAGCCUUAUAUGGACUUAAUGUGCAUGUGAGUAGCAUUCUUCUUGUGGUUUGGAAACAUGUCUCAUAUGACGAAAAUGACUUGAAUUAUGUAUUCUUGAAUACUAAACUCAUGCUUGGACUUAGUGGGCAAAAGUGCCAUAAAGGGGCACUUGAACUAGUAAACGGUGAAACUGCAAUAUAGAGACAUAGAAAUAGGCCAUUGUGACAUCGACUAUAUUCCGUGGUUUAGACACGAUGACAUAGUGAUAGGCCAUUGAGACAUAGGUUAUAUUCCAUAUUUUAGACAUGAUAAUUUGAUACUUGAGACAGAUUUUACGCUUGCUUGCCCUUGUGCUCAUUCGCACAUGCUUGUGAGGGUCGCUCCCUACAAACCGGCACUUCGGAGAUAGCCAUCGCGACAUAUGCUCGCCCGUGGGGGAUUGGGCGCNUAAAAAAUUAAGCUCAUGAUUAAAUUAAUUGAAUCAAAUUAUAAAUUUAUAACUGUGAACUUAAUUUGUUAACUGUGAAUUUAAAGAGCUUAAUUCUUUUUAAUUCAAAGUAUUUUUAGUAGUAAAUUUGAGUAUAUAAUUUGAAUAUAAAGCUUUCUUUUACAAUGUGAAUUUGAAUUUAACAUUCAAAUAUGGUUAAAAUUUAUCAUUUAUUGAAUUGAGAAUAAUUGAUGCGAAAGGUAUUUUGGUAAUUUUAAGAGUACCGACAAAAUAAAGGGGUGAAACAAAACCAACAAACAUAUUUGCUUAGGCUUAGUUUGGUAUUGAGGUCUAUCUAACAUUAUUAGAUAAAAUGCAGUUAGGGUAAAAACAUAUAGAAAUAUGCUUCUGCGUUUUCUGGUAGGACCGCAGAAAAUAUAUCAUAACCGAUUCAUCGCAAUAUGCGGUUAUUACGUAUUAAUAUUUUUCCAUCGUACUUUUUCACCACACGUAACGCAAUCUUUCCACAAUCCCAAACGAAGCCUUAUAAUAAUAAAAAUAGAUUAUCUACAUACCCCAUUUCUUUUCAUAUCCAAUCACAUCCUCCUCCCCAACCCAAUCCCUAAGCUGAGGGCUCACCUACAAAAAUAUUAUAAAUUCGUUGAUUCCUCGAUCAAUCCACGGCGCAACGGAGUCACACAAAGAUGAAAACCCUAAAUAGUAAAUACCCAUUUAGAGAUCCACCAAGCAAUCCCAUAGCUAACCUCUGAAUCCAAAACUAAAAAAAUAAAAAGAAAAAAAAUAAUUUAUCUCAAUCACUAAACAAGUGAAAAAUGGAGCAGAGAUAGAAUUUAAUUGACAGAAAAUAUCAUGAUCGUGCUAAGUAUAAUUAUUAAAUUGACAGAAAAUAAAUUAAUAAUUAAUAAAUAGAAUAAUUAUUAGAUUUAAUAAAACUGCUAAAAUUGUGCUAAGUAUAUAAACUUAAAUAAAAAGUUUAAAAGUUCAAAAGUCUCUUCUUUUUUUUUUAAUAAAAAAGGGGGCCAAUUAUUUUUUUAUAAAAUAAUCUUCUAAAAUUUUAUUAUUUGCGAAAUAAUCUUGCCAAAAUUAUAUUUGAAAAACUAAUCUCUUAAAGACGGUGAAUAGUUCACCACCUUAUAAAGACGCUGAACAAUUCACCACUUUUCUAAUUUCUCAGAAAAGCGGUGAAUGACACCGCUUUUCACUUGUUUAUUACUUCUUUCUAUCAUCCUAACAACCUCAUAAAUAUUUCAACAAAGAUCCUAAUAAUCUACGUACAAUUUACCCAUACAAUCCUAACAAUCAAAAAGAUCCUAAUAAUCUAUCCAUACAAUCGUAAUAAUCAAACAUCACAUAUAAUCUUAACAAUUUGAAAAUCCUAAUAAUAUAUCCAUAAAAAAAAAUUCUAAUAUUUACAAAACAAUCCUAACAACAUCAUUUUUUUUUAUUUCCCAUAUAAUCUACUUACAAUUUUAACAACCUCAUUUUUUUUCUCUUUUUUUAUUUUCCGUAUAAUCUACGUACAAUUUUAACAACUUUAUUUUUUCUCUUUUUUAAAAAAUUAUGAAGAAGACGGUGAAUGAUUUACCAUCUUAAUACAUAUUUGAUAGGAUUGUUUUGUAAAUUAUAAAAUUUUAAACGAUUAUUUUGUAAAGAAGUACUAAAAUAAAAUCGCUAAUAGCUGAGGGAACGGGCAUUUAAGCGUUUUAUAUCUUCCCGUCUCUUUUUCCAUUCUUACGAUCCCUCUAGAGUCUAGACUCUCUCCCCUCCAUCGAUAUUGGCAAAUUCCCGGCCGACGUCGACGUCGACGUCGCCGCCACCACUCUCUCUGCCACCGACGCAGCCGCAACGUUAUUUCGGUGCGUUCGGAUUUAUGUUUUCUCUUUCUUUCUUUCUUCGCCAAAGUCACGGUGAAAAUAAAACCCUAGGUCUAUUUUAAACAUCUUGGCUAGAUUUAUGCUUUCUCUCUUCGAUUCGUUGCUUUUGAUGCCCUAAUCGAUCUAAUGUGUUGACCUAAAAAUAAAAACCCUAGUUUAUUUUUUUCUUUUAAUUUUUGGUUUAGUUUUGAACUUUUGUUUUCUCUCUUCAAUUCGUGGUUGUUGAUGCCCUCAUGGACCUAAUGUGUUGAUGUAAAAUUAAAAUCCUUAGUUUGUCUUUUUCAAUAAUUUUUUGUUUAGUUUUGGAUUUAUGUUCCCUCUCUUCAAUUCGUGUUUUGCAUGCUCUUAUCAGCUUGAUCUGUUGAUGCUAAUUUGUAAACCCUGAUUUGUGUUUUUUUUUUUAUGUUGGUUCAGUUCGGAUUUAUGCUUCAUCGCUUCGAUUUGUAUUUUUUUUUACGCUCUAAUUGGCCUGCUGUAUUUCUCGUAUGCUUAGACUUGUGCAACAAAAGAAGAGGACAAAUUAAAAAAAAUUAUUAUGCACGUCCUAAAUUGCUUAGGCUAGUACUGUUUGUCAUUUGCAUAUUAACCUAUAGACUAAUUAUUUCAGAUGAAAACGUUUUCCAUCAAAACAAUCACCAAGAUCUUGACGUUGAGAUGUUUUUCAUUGAACAAAGUAAUGGUCCAAACACUUCGAAUGGUGGUACAUUGGGAAGAUCAAAGAAGCAGAAGUCGCCAUUUGGAGAGAAUUUGAUCAAUGAACAAUUUUGUUCAACCUUGCAUUCCCUUGAAACUACAUUUAACGAUGCUAAUGGGCACUUUAGUCGGCUUGCUAAUUGUUUUCAAUUCAUAGUUUAAAGAGAUACUAAAGAUUGAGGAACUUGCGGAUGGGCAAGUAAUGGAUGUUAUUAAAAUCCUAUCGGGUGAUCCUACCAACUAAACACGUUUUCCUCGAUGCCCGAGCAUUAUAGAAAGGAAUAUAUUCUUCGUAUCUUACGUGGGAAUGGUUAAAGAAAUUGUGUUAUUUGACUGGUUUGAAAAAGUCUAAAGUUGGCUAAAGUGCACGGAGCUGUUAGAGCCUAGGCGCAAGGCGUAAGCGUGCACCUGAGAGAGGAGCGGUGUACAACUCCUUAAUAUACUUUCUAACAAUUGAUAAAUGGCACUGAAGAACCCUUUACAUUCAUACUAUCACAACAAACAUUUUAAGUAUCCAAUAAUCAUGUUAUUUGGGGAAGAAAAAGAAGAGAAGAAAAUAAACCAAACAACAUAUAUGAUAAUGUUAAAAGAACAGAUUAACACAAGUAAAAUGUAAAGACAAAAUACUUUGUUGUCUCCAAAUAAAGUCUAGUAUGAAGAUAAUGAGGAAUGUAAAACAUAUAGGAAAGUUUGAUGUCAAAAACAUAUAAAUUUAGAAUUUCUCAACCAGUUUGGCGGGUUUGAUGUUAAGAGCAUAUAGAAAAUUUGUGACAGAUGAGGAGAGGAGCGGAGAUGACAGAGGAAGGAGAGAACAAAGGUAAGCAAGAGGAGGGGGGUGGGGGAGUGACUGAGAGAGAGAUAGAGGGUUUAGGGUUUCUCAACACUUUAGUUUAGGGUUUAGGAUUUUUUUAAUAGUUUAAACCCAUUAGACCCAAUAAAAAUAUAGAUCCAUACACAUUAUACAUAAGGUGCGUCUUGUCUGCGCCUUGCGUCUAGGUGCCCAGGCAUGUGCCUAGGUGAGGUCGCCUACCUAGGGACUUCCUAGGCACAGGUCAAUGGGCUUUGCGCUUAAGAGCCUAGAGGCGAGCACCACGGUGCGCCUUUUUUUAACACUGCUAUGGACUAUUUACUAUUUUGGCUUGUCUUUUUGCAUUGCGUGGACUUUUAAGACUUCUAUAUUAUUUACUAAUGUAGGUGUUUAAGCUUGUACUUUUGGAUGGUAUCACACAUCUGGAUGGUAUCAUGAUGUGUGGAAGUUUGUAACUUCCUAUUAGAUGUUGAUUCUGUAUGAUGCUUUGUUAACUUGGAAACUUGUAAUGGUAGUAUGGUACUUAGCAUGUUUUGUUAAUUAUGAAAUAUCUAUGAUAUUUUAGUAUUAGGCAAGUGAAAUGUUGGAUGUUAUUUUAUUAUUGUGGCUUUAUGUGAUGUUUGGUUAAUGAUAUUGCUUAUGAAUGUGUUUUUAGUUUGAAAUUUAUGUUUUUUUGUAUGGUUGUUUGAUCAUGUGAGAUGGUCUUUUUCUAUUUNUCUGUACACGUGCCGGGCAGGCUUCCGCUGUGUCCCGGGGCAUGACAGAUUAUUUUGGUAUCAGAGCCUAGGGUUGAGUCUUAGUGGACCUAGCAGACCUUAGGCCGGUUGGACUAUAGGAAAUAGGCUCGUGAGAGACGAGGUCUAUUUGACUUGUAAGCGAAAGUAUCUUGAUUGGGUAUCCUUGAUAACUCUAGAAAGUGGAGUUAAAUCGAAGUGUAUAGCUUCUAACUUCGCGGAGGUUACGUUGGCGGCCGACAACGUAACAUCGGGAGUUAGUAGUGAAGGACACUUCUUUACUUUCGCAUGAUUUGGGUAUUAUCUUCUUGAGCGGGGAUUCGAUAGCGUGGGUUUUACUAACUUGCGUUUUUAUAAAGUUGUAGUGCGAUGCCGAUCACUCACUCCCAAUCAGCUAGAGCGGAUAAUGCGGCACACUUGGAGGAUGUCAAGACCUCCACCACCUCCGGAUCCGGCGAGGUCCGUGAAUUGAGGGGCCAGCUUGCGGCUGUCAAGCCCUGGGACUGGCGGAGGCCGUUCCGGUAGAGCGCCCAGACCCGCCAUAUGUCUACACAUAUAAGGCGUCUACGAUAAAAGCGGAAGUAAAGCAAGAGGUAGAAUAAAUAGAAUGAAUAGCAACUAAUGAUAUCAGAGCAAGUAAAGUUCUAUCAUCUAAACCAGAGUAAAAGAAACAUAUCUAAACAAUAAAAGUAAUCAUAAGUAAUACAAUAUCUGUCUCAAAGGUACACAAAAGGGGGGUCUGUAGUAUACUGGUACAGCUCUCAUCUUCUCCAAAAAGAAAUACAUCGAGAGGUAGACCACCUAAACUCGUCACUCGCUGAAGAGCUAACUCGAAGUAGCGCCCUUCCUACGGUCCCUAGCCUCUCCCGGCGUGGAAGGCUCUGAAAGAAAUCAUGAAACAGAGGGCGUGAGAACUAUAAUUUAUAGUUCCCAAUGGGCAAUUACUGACAUCAGCUCAAUGCACCACUAGGCCCCAAAAGAAAAGGGUAAGUAACGACAAUAAUAAUAAUAAACAAUAAAGAGUGAGUAUAAAAACUGCUGAAAGAAGGCAUAAAUGAAAUACUAUACUACUAUGUCUCGAGUAAGCUUGAUGUCAUGGUGAUGUGCAUCUACGCUAUCAUAAGAUGAUAUGUCCAAUGCAUACUAAUAUGCCUUAACAUAAUGAACAAGUAACCUUCACGAUGCAAUAGGUCAAUGCAUAAGGAGUACGCUCUAUCAAGCAACCUAGUAUACUAUGAUGCAAUGAAUGAAACAGGCAAGUAUACUAUAUAUAUCCCAAUGCUAUAUCAUGAGCAUGUCAAGUAAUCCAACUACUAAGCCUAUCUAGUAGUGAUUAUUCAUUCACAACACUGUGUCGAUUUUCAUUUCCAAUUAAGGACCUACNCCAAGCUAUUUAGGUGACACUAUAGAAUACUCAAGCUUGUACUUUUGGAUGGUAUCACACAUCUGGAUGGUAUCAUGAUGUGUGGAAGUUUGUAACUUCCUAUUAGAUGUUGAUUCUGUAUGAUGCUUUGUUAACUUGGAAACUUGUAAUGGUAGUAUGGUACUUAGCAUGUUUUGUUAAUUAUGAAAUAUCUAUGAUAUUUUAGUAUUAGGCAAGUGAAAUGUUGGAUGUUAUUUUAUUAUUGUGGCUUUAUGUGAUGUUUGGUUAAUGAUAUUGCUUAUGAAUGUGUUUUUAGUUUGAAAUUUAUGUUUUUUUGUAUGGUUGUUUGAUCAUGUGAGAUGGUCUUUUUCUAUUUAUUCUUGUAUGGUUUGAAACCAAUUAGGCUUUAUGAAUUUUUUUCAUGUUUGGUCUUUUUAUUUAAGUCUUAUAUUGCUUAUUAAUGUAAUUAAUCAAGCGCAAAUUAUACUGUUUUAUAGUUUAUUAAAAAUAGUGUUAAAUAUAUGACUACAAGAGCAAUUUUGGAAUAGGCUAUAAUACUUUACUCUCAGUAUUACUAAACUUUAUAAAACAAACCAAACAUACUAAUUUUGUAGGCACCGUAAUCCAAUAUUACAUUACUGCACCGAACCAAACGUAGUAAUGUAAUAUUAGUAGCAAUUUGAUUUAGAAAUCUCCAGUGAUUUAAAAAGGCGCGCCUCGGGCGCGCGCCUAGGCGCCUAGGCGCUAGGCGAGAUCGCUCGCGCCUAGGCAGCUCCUAGGCGGGCGACCUCGCCCAGGCGCGCGCCCGAUGCGCCCAGGCGCUCGCCUUUAUUAAGGCGCAAGGCGCGCCUGAUGCUUAAAAAAAAAAUUAUCAUGGAUUGGACUUUGGAUCCAACAUCCAAUAACCCGUUAAGUGUAAAAAAAAAAAAAAAAAGAGAAAAGAGAAGCCCUAAUUGAUCGAACGCGAGUCCUCCGCCCCCUCGAGCAACCCAUUUUCCCUCUUUCUCCUUCUCGCUGGGUCUCCAGAGCCUCCGCUGCUUCGCUGCAGUGCUCCGCUCGAGCUUCGAGCAACCAUCCGCCAUCUCCGCGGCUUCGGUGCUCCGCUUGACAGCUCGAGCAAGCACCCAAGCUGCCCAAGCAUCAUCUCUCUCUCUUUCUCGCUCGGUUCAAGUGUUCAACACUUCAACCCAUCGCGUCGCGCGCUGGGCGAGGUGCGAUCUCUUCGGUCCAUGUAUUCUUUUACUGAGAAAUCCCUCUUUUAUAGUUCUUAUCCUUAAGAAAUUAGGGUUUUAUCUUAUGUUUUUCUUGCCUUGUCUUUUGGGUUAUACCUAGCUUGACUAAGCAUUUCUAGAUGUUUAACAAGGGAAGAGUAUAGAAAGUGAGAAUUAUUGGUUGCACAUAAGAAUCUUGGAGCACAAGCAAAAGACCUGGUAUUCGAUGGUGCGGCACCCUAGGUGUUUUCUUUUUUUUUUUUUUUUUAUUUACUACAGGUUGCGCAUACUGUGGCAACUAAACCUUGGCUGAAAUCACAGCAGCACGCUAAGUUCGUUAGCAAAAUCUUUAUAAUAGGACUACUUAAAUUUUAUUUUUAUUUUUUAAUUUCCUACAUGUUGCACGUAUUGUGGCAACUAAACCUUGGCUGAAAUCACAACAACACGCUAUGUUCGUUAACAAAAUCUUUAUUACAGGACUAGUUAAAUUUUAUGAAACUGAACGCUUCAUGGUUUUCACAUCAGUGUUUAUUAGAUGUGUUUGGGGUUGUUUUUGUUUGGUAAUCUGCUUAAUCCUGUAAUAAAUCCUUUUGCUAUUCAUAAGUUUUUUUUUUUCUUAUAUAAAAUUGUCUGUGCUAAAAUAGAAUAGAUAGGAUGAGAAAGUUAGUUCUGGCUUUCUUGAGAACUCAUAGGUGUUGUACCUAUUGGUGUGUUAGAUGCUUGUUAUAUUCUAUACGUGAAUAGAGUCUGGAAAGUUCUUGCUAUACGACUUGACUUUUUCACUCUGCAGGGUUUUUAUAUAAUGCCUUCCUUAGCUACACAAGGCCUAACUCUACCAAUAUUUCUAAUCCCCGCAAGGAGAUACCAAGGCAAGUAAUUGCAUUUUACAGUUGUUCUUUUUUUAUUACAAAAUGUCAUCAAAUUGUAGUUAUUGAAUUCACAGAUUUUCUUUUUUCUUUUUCAUUUUAUUUUACAUUUAAAUGUGAAAGCAUGUAAUUUUAGAUUCUACUUUUUAUUAUGCGAGAUCAUUUUCGUACUUCUCACUUAGAUUUAGAUUUUGCAAUUAUACAUAUAGUUUUAGCUAUUUGGUUGAGUGACGAUCAUGCAAGACAUUGUGUCCUGCUUUUCAAGUUGGGAAGGAAAUGCAAGAAAAGCAAGCUAUUCUAUCUGCAGGCUUAAAAAUCAAGCACACUCGCGUUUGUAAUCAAAAUUUAUUCACAAAUAGUCUUGACGUAUGAGCUGUUGUUUUUCUUCUUGGAUGGGAAUUCGACUAAAAUCUAGUAUUUGUUAUACGGUGGAUGUGUUGUGGAGAAUAAAUCCCUUAAGAGAUCUGGAUAUUAUCUGUUGUAGAUAUAUGAGUUGUUUCUUUUAUGAGUGAGAGAGAGUGAGAGUGAGAGCGAGAGCGUUAGCGUUUCUUUGAUCUUUCCUGCACGUGAGAGAGAGAGAGAGAGAGAGAGAGAGAGAGAGAGAGAUUCCUUGAUCUUUUUCAUUCCCAUAGAUAGUGUCUGAUCUUUUCCAUUCCUUGCAGGAGAGAGAGAGAGAGAGAGAGAGAGAGAGAGAGAGAGACAAGGGGGAAGGGGGGAGCUUCUGAAGUAGACUAAGCCUUAGUGUGUUCAGCUCAUGAAAGUUUUCAUCUCAUUUAGGGCUUGUUCUUACAUCUAUAUUAGAAUUUGACAUUGGAAUGAGAUUCACUGAUUCUAAUAGUACUAGUUUGUUUUAUAGAAAUCGGAUUCCCAUUCCCAUUCCCCUCUGGGAAUGACCCAAUCUAUUUAUGGCCCAAUCCUGCUUUGAAUUCUGGAUUGACCCAUUCCAGAUUAAAGUACUCAAAAGUCCUCCCUUACAAACACCUCUCCCUCUUCUCCUUUCAUCACUCUCCUCUCCCUUAAUCAAAACUCUCUCUCAAAAUCCGAGGUGUUUCAAUUGUCCAUUCCGAUUUCCAUUUCAAUAAUAAACCAAAUAUUUUUGGGUGAUUUGUUGUUUCAUUUUCCAUUCCAAGCCAUCCAAUUCCACUUCACUUUCCCAUUCCAACCAUGAACUCUAUGAACAAGGCAUGCUAAAUUGUCAUCAAUAGAGACAGAGACAUUGUUAAGCGUGCAGAACUGAAUGUUGAUCGAGCAACACAAAUUGAACCUAUCGAUUUGCUCUGAUUUAGAAAUCAAUUUUUACCUUGUAGUCGGUUCAGUUUUGGCUUGAACAACUUUCAUUCAAAAAAAAAUCAUUCAAUUUCAGUUUAGAUUUUUGAAGAACCAAUGCUUCGGUUUAAUUUUGGCUUGGAUAAUUUUCAUAUGAGCAAAAUUCAUUUAAUUUCAGUUUAGAUUUUUAAAGACUCAAUACGUGAUAACUCGUGUAUGUGUAUAGACGGUAAAAUGUGUUGAUGUGCAUAUGUAAGCAAAUGCAUUCUUACUAUUUUACCUGCAUACUGUAUUUAGGUUGGAAGCGCAAAACUAGGUUUGUCUAGGCUGAGUUGCCCAACUCGUCAGCUCGGUCCAGACCUCUUUGAGUAAGUUUUGGGAAAUUUCAAGUGAACUAAAAUAAAAACCUUGCCUUAAUGUAGUUCCAACUUCGACUUGGGUUUGGUGUGCAACUGCACUAGAAAGUUGUAGGCCCAUAUAUAAAAUGAUUGUAGAUAGGAAUGUGUGGCAUGCGAAAGUUAAUUGGCUUGCCGACUAUGAAUGUUGUUAUUAAGGUAAGAUAAUUUGAAGUAAAAUUUAGGAACCAUUAUUGGUGAUCCCUAUUAUCUCCAUGUUUCAGUUAAUCUCUCUUGUUUGUGCUUCAAAAAACAAUGCAAUGGGCCUAGUAGGGACUCCCAAUUAAUGGCAGGGUAAAAAAAAUUGUUGAUUUUGAGUGCAUGCUAGACAUGGAAAGCUAUUAAGCUACCACUGAACUUAUUAACAACAACUUACGUCUUGUGGAACUGUAACUUAUGCAAUUCUGUGUCGAUAAACAAACCUAGCAGGCACAAAAAAAAGAAUUAUCAUUUUCUUUCUUAAAUAGUUUGUUCAGUUUUAACUGCUAAAUUGUCUUGUUUAGCGAACGAUCAAGCCAAAUUUAGGUGCUAGCUCUAAUUUAAAUGUAGGCUGAGAAUAGGGAUGCAAAUGAAUUCAGGUUGGAGAUCCUAUGCCGAUCUGCCCCUAGUGGGGUGGUAAGUGGGAAACAAAAGUAAGGGGGAAAAAACUGCCCCGAUCUCCUAAGAAAUCGAGGAGGAUGUAGGGAACCCCUUCCUUUGAUUUGCCAUAAAUCUACGAAAAACCUGCUUCCGCCUGAUCUACCCUCAAUAGAUUGGUUUCUGCAUGAAAAAAAGAGAAUGAAAUCCAACCCGCCUUGCAUCCACACCUAUCUGCCAAGAAAACGGGGUAGUAGGUGGGGGGCCCUUUUGCCCCACGAUACGCCGUGUUUGCAUCCCUAGUUGAGAACCACUAAGGAUGGCCAACCUUCCUUGGAAUGUAGUAACUUAAACGGCAUGAAGUUGCGACUUGAGAUUUUUGAUGUGCCAUCUCCUUGAUUAUGAUUAAAAAUAAAGAAGAAAACAUGGCUGAAAUGUGUCUUAAAAAAUAAGAAGCUCAUGGAACAACUAUUUGGAAAGGAAAGUAAUUACAGAAAAUGUGUGUCAUAAGAGAUUGGUAGUGGAUUGGUAGUGUAGAAUCAAGGCUUAAAGUGCCGUGGCACGGAGAAGUGCCGUUGUCUGCCUGGCAAGGUACGGCACCGGCACGCUUGCGUGCCGACACAUGGUACGCUUCUGUACCGAUGGAUAUAUAUGACCUUCUACUAGCACGCUUUGGCACGGACUUGUUUUAAUAUUUUGUGUUCCAAUAAGCUCUUAUAAUAUUAUUUUGAAAGAUUUAAUCAAACAAUUAUGAAUCUUUGCUAUAUAUAGCUUACUAUUCUCAUCAGUUAAUAAACUUGUAAACUUUUUUGUAUGUAAAGUACAACUAUACUCGAUGCAGAAUAAAAAUAUUUACAGGUUAAAAUUUUAAAAUGCAAAGGCACCUUUUUUUCUUUCUUUCUUUUGACCAUAUUACAGUCUUUCUUUCAUAAAAUACAAAAAAAAUAAUUUUCAAAAAAAUUUUAAAAAUUAUUUGAAAAAAUUAUUUUAAAAAGUAUUUGAAAAUUUAUUUUUUUAUUAAUUUUUUUCAAAAAAUUNUAUUUGAAAAUUUAUUUUUUUAUUAAUUUUUUUCAAAAAAUUAUUAGAUCUACCAAAAAAACAAGCGAUAAAUUAUAUGACAAAUAAAUUAAACAAAUUUAAGUAUCAAUUGAUUUAAUUUAGUUUUUAAUUUUAUUAGUAUUUUCAAUCUUCUAAUGCAAAAAUAAAAUUCUAUAUUUAAUGUGCCUCAAAAUUUGUUUAUUGAGUUCGAUUUUGUUCCCCUAAUUCGCCAAAAGUUUCGCGGCGCGACAAAUUUUGAUAAAAUAAUUUGUGAACAUUAAUUAAUUUGAUAAAAUAAUUUUUUUGGCCUACCUAACAAGUAGAUUUUCGAUUUGCAAUGCCUUUGAGAGUGUGGGGUACCUAGGAUACUUCUUGGUGCCCCAAAGAACAAAACAAAAAAAAAAAGCAAAAAGCAAAAGAAAAAAUGUGUGCCGGCACGGCACUGUGCUGCGGCACACUCCUACAUAUUGCUCUGUCUCGUGUGAUACGGCGAAGCGUGCCGUGGAAGAGAGAGGGGGGGUGGGGGGUCCAAGACCCCUUUUGUACCAUGCCCCCUUCUUGGGGGCACGGUAUGUGCCGGCACUUUAAACCCCCCUUCUUGGGGGCAUGGUACGAGCUGGCACUUUAAACCCUAUGUAGAAUGGCCCAUGGGAGAACCGGAGAAGGUAUUCAUACAACAAAUCUCACCAAAAUAUGUCCUCUCCCAGAAAACUAACUAAUUUUUGGAGCAAAGUAAUUACACAAGUUGGUGAAUUGGUCUUCUUCCAAACCUUUGGGGAAUACUGAAUUCAGAUAGCACAUUAUGGAGGAUAACUGUCUGUGUUCUCUAGCUGGAUAUUUUUUAUUCCAGUGUUAGAUCAUAUAUUGGUCUGGAGCUCUGGGUCUAGAAACUGCACUAAACACAUUCUAACAAGUUAAUUAGCUUAGUAGAUACUGGCUCCACAUUAAAUUUAAUAAGUACAUUUUGAAUUCAAUAAUUAAACAUUUGAUGCAAUUGAUUAGCUUUUUGUUUAUUUUAAAAUACAGGCAUGGACUUGCAGAUUUGUUCAAUUGAUAGCACAUCAUGGAGGAUAAACGUUGGUUUAGAGUAUUUGUUUUAAGUUCUUGCCUUUUCCUAUAGUUGAUUAAUCAGUUUAUUUAAAUCGUUCAUCAACAAGCUAUUAAUUGAGGAAAAUUUGAUUCGACUAUGUCCAUAACUGGUAUAGAUGAAUAAUACAUCGUCUACUGAAUAACCAGACAAUUGUUAUUAAACAUAUUAUGUUUCUGUAUGUGAAUAAAAAGUGGAUAUUUGAUAAAAAUAUUGCUAGUUUCUUGUCUGUUUCUAUCUGUAAGCAGAGAGAAAUUUAAGUGAGGAGAUGAUUUGAGCUUGUAUUAUAUAUGAUACAUAUAAGAAUGCUCUUUUUGCAACUAAUAGAAUGAAGUUGCAUUGGCCUUUGAUCUCAUCCAGAGUAUAUGUGAAUCAUAUUCAUAUGUGAUAUGGCAUUUCUUCAACAGCAAAACUUGCCGUGCGUUUUAAGCUGAUGUUCAAAAUCAUUAUUUUGUUAUUAUGAUAGAAUGUGCCAUGAUGGAAUCAAACCAGUUCUAGUGUUUUUUUUCUAUUUUUUCUUUUUUUCUUUCUUUUCGAAAUUCAAAAUACUGCAAAUAAAUGUUUAUAUUAAAAAGUCUGUGUCACCUAAAAGAUGCCAGUCCGAUGCGUCUAUUGCUAUAUGAAUUUGGUUUGUUACAUCUUUACUGAUGAGUUUAAUUUUUAACUUUUAUACAGAAAUAGUUCUUGUUAACAUUUGAGAUAGAGAGUGCUAUAUUAACUAAUUAUUAUCCAAAUGCAGGUGAAAGGCUGAAAGGUAGAGCAACAUCCAGUUUACAAGCUCAACAAACUUUACCUACUUCUGUUUCAUUUGCUCGCAAAGUGCCAUCUAAAGCAAGUAUAUGUGCUGGUAAUAUGGUAUGUUAGUCUUUGCUUAAUCAUACCUGGAGUAGGUCUAGUGUACUAUCAAUUCAGUAUUCUAUGGGGGUUGUACUGUUAGUCUUAUUUUUGAUGUUAGGGCGUCCAAAAUCAAGGAUCCAUAUUGUUGGACAUGAAACAGGGUGUUUGAAGUAUCUAGAAACAUUAAGUAAUGUUUUUCGACAUUAUCUACCUAGUGAUCAAAUUGUUUAGAGUUGAUAGUUUUUAACAGUCUGUAUGAGUUUUUAUGCUUUAUCAAUGUUUUAAGGUAAAGCUAGUUGAACUUUUGAUAGAAAAUACGUGGAACUAUUUAGAUCAGGAUUAACACCUCUGGUCUUGAAUUGAAGAAUAAUCCUAUCCUCAAGUUUUAAGGUAUCCGAUUUUCAUCCAAUCAUUUUAUAGACAUUAUGACGAGAUUUGAUCACUGGGUACAGAUGUCAAAAAAAUAUGAAAAUUUGCUUGUAGAUACUUCAACAUCCUAGAUCAUAUUUAACCGUUCACAUUGUAGACUCGGAUUUGGUAGCAUAAAUAACGAGACUGGAGAACCAAAACCAUAAUACUUAGGGCUUUGUUUGGUUCACGGUUUAUAAUAUUCUAGUAAUCCUCCAUAUAUUCUAUUGAAAAUAUUCAAAUCAUCACCAUUCAACUGUAGUUUGAUAACGGAAGGUGUUGGUAAAAUAAUGGAAUCAUUGUAGGUUCCUAGCUAGUAGGAACGCUUGAUUACUAUGGGUUAGGAGAUAUUCUCGUUCACAUACCUGAUGGGAAUCAUUAGUGGUCCAUAAAUAAGAAUAUACAAGUUCCUAACAACCUCUCAACCCAAGUGACAUGAUAAGUUAGUAACAAACUUAUCAUUCCAAAUAUAAAAUAUACAACAUUUCCGGAAUAUUACAAACCUUAAACCAAACGGCCCAUUAGUGAUAGUAUAUAAUCCCUGCUAUCAUGCUGGUUAUCUUGUAUGUCCUUAUUGAACACUGUACCCUUUAAGAGUAGGGAGAGAAGUGGGGGCUAAGAGGGACGGAAAAAAAAGAAGAAGAAAGACGACGAAAAAAAUGGCAUGGAGAACCUUACCUCUUUGCAAAGGUCGCAUUACUAUUUGCUUUUGUAUUCGUGCCAAAAUCUUUCUGCUGCUUUGGCAAUGAAAUGUUUUUAAAGCAAUUCUUGAAAAAACAAAGGGGGAUAAAUUGACAGCUAUUUGUUUCCUUUGAGGAAAUCAUCAAACAAAAGUUGAUGUUUUAUUGAUUAAUUUAAAAUCAUAAUAUCAUACUUGUACACUUGUUAGUUUGGACGAACAAAAUUUGCACGUUGCGGAUGGAAAAUAACUAGCAGAUAUUGUUAUUUUAAGAUCCAGUGCUUUUAUUUCGUCGGAAUUAAGCAAGUCUAAUGAACCGUCUUGUGUUAGCAUUUAUUAUGUGUGCGACCUGCCUGUUGAUCUAAACCAUUUCGUCUGCUUAUCCUCAUCUGAUUGAUUUGGCACAUUACUUCGGUGCAGAAUUUUAGAUGCUACGCAACCCAAACCCAAACAUUGGAGCGGAAAUCACCGACGAUCACCAAAUCUCAAUAUGCUCCUGUCAAAGGUAAUUUAUAGCAUUUAGCACAGCUAUUCUCCUUUAUUAUUCUCUACUAUUAUUAUUCUAUAACCAUUUCAUUUUGGACAAUUUCCGAAUGAAUUACAGGGAAGGCAAAUGGACUGAAACUUGAGUUUGGGGGUGGAGGACCUCCUCCGAAUGACGGUAGUGGCGGAGGCGGGGGCGGCGGCGGAGGCGGUUGGGGCUCUUCGGGUGGAUUUCUCCUUUUUCUAUUCCUCAUGUUUCUAGAUUAUCUGAAGGAACUCGAUGAAAAGAGUCAACGGCGGCGUCAUCAAGAUGAUUACAGUCAAUUGUUACUGUAAAGAGAAUUUACAAUCUGUCCAUCUUUUUAAUGUUUCGUAGGAUGCGGCCCAUGUUUUAUAGGAACUAAUUCUUUUAGGUUAUUUGAAUGAAAAGAGCACUCGAGUAUAUUAUCUUGUUCCUGUGUGGCUGUGUUUAGUACGCGAAAGUAGACUUUGCAAACUUGUUCCUUAUAACUGUAUCCAGCUUCUUGUGUUUCAAGGCGCUUUCGCUUCUCAUGCUUUUCUCGUCCUCGUACGGCCUUGUUCGGGUCGAUGCGCUUUUUGUUUAUUAAGGACCAGGGUGGUGGGGUCUUGCCCCAGCCAAAUAGAUAUUAUUAUUUUUAUUAUUAUUAGUAGUAGUAGUAUUUCAGAGCAUUGAAAGAGUUAGUUAAAGAGUUUUGAAGCACUUUCGGAAUGUUGUUAAAAAAUUUAUGUAUUGGAGGAUGUGUUUCGUGUGGAUGUAAAUUAAAGCUUUCUGGAAUUUCUUGCUGAGAACAGUCCCCGGUAACUUUUUAUGGGCCGAUGACACAUCUACUUGAGAAUGAUCCUUAAAAAUAUCCGUAUAAAUCACGUAUCCGAAUAAUUGAUGAAUCCGUUUUUUAGCCGUAUUUUUCAACGAAUUUAAAAAUUAGAAAACAAAUUUUAUCCGAAUUAUACCCGUAUCGAAUUUGUUGUGAAAUAUCUUAAAAAAAAAAUAAAAUUAUAAAGCGUUUUGAGAAUCCAAAAAAUUUGUGAAGGAUUAAGCUUUUCAGAAUUACAGUUGUUUCACAAAAUUUAGUUUGACAUCGGUCCAGCCAAGCUCGUAGUUUUUAUGAAAUUUACUCCCAUUUAUUUAUUCCACGUCUUGCACUGAUUAAUGUCUCUAUGGAGUAUAUAUUAAUUUAUCACUUCCACUACCUUAUCACUAAUUGAUUAGUAUAUAUACAGAUACUAAUGUAAUGCGUUAUCUUCAAUUAUCUCAGAAGAUUGGAUGGUGAAUUUUAUCGUGCAACGUGCUAUCAUGAAUAAUCUCAAAAGAUUCCAUAGUGAUGAAUCUUAUCAUUAAAUUCCAACGAAAUUGACCUAGCUGGGUACAUAAUCUGCAGGCAAAGUAAAUAUAAAUUUAUGUGCGUGUUUAUGCAGUAAGGGAUCGUGUACUAGAAUUUUUUUUCUUCUCAACUAUUGAUAUUUGUGUAGCAAGGAAAGGUUUUGGGGUUUUUUUUUUGUAUUUGGCCCCCUCAAAAUAAUUAUUUUCAUAAAUAACCCUACCAAAUUUAUAAUUGCAACUUUGGCCCUUUCCCCUCCACACAGACGCCAUGUAAGCGCCACGUGAGUAAGGAAAGAAGUUGAAUACGGUAAUUCAUUCAUCGUAUCUAAACAUACUGAAUAAUUCACCGUGUCUUGGAAAAAGGAAAAUAUAUUUAUUGCGAAAGAAUAUAAAUAUUGAAUAGGGGAUGUAAGUAUGGAACACGGUCAAUCAUUUAUUAUAUAUGUUUAAACACGUACGAUAAAUGAUUCAUCUUGUUCAACUUAGCGCUCCUUACGUGACGCUGAUGUGACGCCUGCGUGUGGUAGGGAUAAGACCAAAAUUAUAAUUAUAAAUUUGAUAUGGCUAUUUGUAAAAAAAAAAAAUUUGAGGGGGCCAAAUGCAAAAAAAAGCCAAAGGUUUUCAUAGUCGUGGUCUGUAGCUUCUUCAUCAUUGCUUUUGGCUUUGGGACGAGUUGUGAAACAACAUAUCGAAAUCUUUAAAAGCAUAAGCUAUUAAGGAAUGGUCAUUUUGAGUUUCGGAGAUAAUUGUGAAAUAAUUUGUCGAUUUCUUUAAAAGUUUAAGCUAUCGAGAAAAAAAAAUCUUUACGUUGUUGUUUGUGAAUUUGAGAUUUCUCGAUAAACCGAAAACAUAGACUACAAUUUUACAGAUUCUACAAUGAUCGAAUGUGAGUUAAACCACGUGUUUGUUACGUCAUGCAUCUAAUUAAUAUAACAACACCCGAUAGAUAUAUCAGCGUCAUUCAUGGUUUAGCCUAAUUAAUAUCUCCAUAUGAUAUUCCUGCAACUUGCAAUCCUAAUAUUUCAUCCUCUUCUAAUUAUCGACUAUGCAAUUUUAAAAGCAAUUUAAUAACAUGUUUUAAUAGGCAACAACUAAUGAUAAUCAGAGCAAAAGAGAGUUUUACAAUUUGAUUCUCUCUAUGUCUUGCCUCUCCUUAUGCGCGCCUUAAUUUCUUCGAGCAUUUUAUUUGAUCACUUUUCUCUUCAUUAAUUGCAAAGUAAAUAACAAGCAUCAAGUAAAUCUUUGGAACCGCAUUUUGUAUAACCUCUAUGAUGAGAAAUAGUAGACUUUUGUCUCCAGUUACUUUGUUAAAUAAUGCGCACAUUAGGAUAAGUGCCAAAUCUUGAUAGCCAAUGUAUCAAGAACUUUUUUUCUUUUUUUUUCUUUUUUUUUUUUUUGAGAAAUAGAUAGCAAGCUGCUUGUUUCAUUCAUUAAGUAAAAUGAAUUAAAUGUACAAGGUGGAAGCAGCUAAGGCCUCUGAAAAGCAGGCAAUAAAGGUAAAAUUAAGAAGCGAAAAAGAAGGGGCUAGGUGAGAAAAGAAAGAAAGAAAGACUAGUGACACAUUAGAGUGGUGCGAUCUAAUUGCUCGUCAAAAGUUUGACACUUUCUAACGACCGGGUGGCGUUGGGCGGAUUUGCCCGAAAAACGGAGUUAUUUUUAUCCCUCCAGAUCACCCACCAGAUCGCAGCUAGAAGGGUCAAGCCUUUUUUUCUCAUUGAUUCCACAGGAUUGGCAGAAAUUCUGAACCAAAGACUUCGGACGUCACCCGUGAUGUCAUCAGGUACGUCUAAUCCUUCCACACUGAGGAGUAGGUAUCGUACGAAAACAUAGUUAUGGAAUAAGUGAUCGCAACUUUCCGUUAGUAUAACACAGAAAACAUAGUGUUGUUCUACAAGCAUGCCUUGGUUGAGCAAUCUGUCGGCAAUGAGUAAUCUCUUCCGAAGUAACAGCUAAAUGAAGACUUUGAUUUUGACUGGAAUUUUCAAACUCCAGAUGUGCUGGUUCAUUGGGACUCGCCAGCAAUUAAAAUUAGGAGUUAUACACUUGUUUUACUAACCUUUUUGGAUUGUCCACACACUACAUGGCAACACUUUUAAUAACGAUUAAAUGCAUAUAGGUCCUUGAAAAUAUAGUGAAUUGCAAAUAUAUCUCUAUAAGGUUCAACUUUUAUAUGUUGUUUUUACAAAAGUUUUAAUAUUUUCAAAUAUAUCCCUCUAGUUUGUUACGAUUAGAGAACUGUUUAUAUUUUCAAUUUUACCAUCAUAAAUAUGUCUCUCCAAAGCCAUAAUAGUAUAAUAUAAGAGGAGUAAAAAAUGUCAAAAACUAACCAGGGUUAAGUAUUUAACAUAUGGUUAACUAAAUUUUUCUAACGGAUUCUAUCGGCAGUGACAUAUUUGAAAACAUUAGGACUUUUGUAAGAACAACAUAUGAAAGUUGAACUUCGUAGAAAUGUAUUUAUAAUUCACUAUACUUAUAGGGACCUAUAUGCAAUUAACCCUUUAAUUAAUCACCAUUCUCUUUAUGCUUCGGCAAUCCAAUGGCUUGCUGAACAGGUAAUUAGUUACUUAGUAUAAAAUUAUACUUGUCAUCCAGUAUUUGAAAUUGUAUGAAUUCUUUGAUGGGAAUUUAUCGUUCAUAAUUUUUAUAUUUUCAUUGUGUUUAGUAAUAUAGAAAAAUUGUGUUUCAUACUAUAGAAAAAAUAAGGAAAUAUUGUAUUAAAGCAAAGUCUUACAACAAAUUAUUAGCAUGCAAGAAAACAAAUUAAAGGUGGUAUAUCUCAACCCUCGACUUCAUGAAUCAUGACCAGGUAACAACAUUCGAGCCCUUUACAAUUUACUAUCUCAUAUUUUUACUAAAAAGUUUUAAUACACAGGAGUUGUACCAUUUGAAUGCUUAUAUGUAUCGUCAAUAUUAAAAAAUAUUUAUCAAAAUUCGCUAUCAAAAUAUGUAAUCAUCAGAUUGUCCAAUUAAUCUAUGGAGUAAAUGUACUCAACACAUAUUCCCACCUUGCUACAUAGGACGUCUUUGUCGUAUUUGGGCUUUUAGAUAACGAAUAAUAGCAUAAACUUACAAAUUUUGAUAAAAUCUUCAACUAUCAUUGAUCUCAAUGUAUAGUUUGCAACCGACUGUGAGAACUGAGAUUUUUUCUUUAUAUAUAUAUUUGAUAUCUUUUUAAAUGUUAUGGUGUGUAUUUUAAUUUUAAGCUUGCCUGUCCAAUUUCAGCAAAAAAAGAUUUAAAAUAAAAUUUUUAGGUGAUUAUUACUUUUCACUUAAAUGAAUACUAACCCGCGUUUGCAGAUAUGAUUGAGGAAAGUGGUUGGCUUCGAAUGCGUAUCGGACUUCGUUUCGCGCAAUACAAUAGCUCAUUUUUGAUGGUUCGACUAUUCCAAGAUCAAUUGCGCUGACGGAUUUUAUGUUCGUCGCACGAUUUUCGAGAAAAUUAGUUUUAUUGCUGAGAGAGCUUUUAUUCCACGAUUUUUAUAUUUUUUAAACGUGAUCAGUGCAUCAUUUUGCAUGAAAUCUUACGGGUAGGGGUCUUUUUGCGAGAGAAGUCCAGAGGAGAUGGACUGAUUCGAGAAGCUGGAGCUUCGGAGGACGUAGAAGCAAUUAUUCUCCUAGAAUAUUAUUUUUUUAUGGAAUAGAAUUUAAAUCGGGGUUUUUGGAACCCAACAAACCCUAACCCUUGAUGGCCUCUCCUCCUUGGACCUCCUGACCCAAGCUUCGCCGUCGCCGAUCGCCGAAGAAGGAGAUGAAGCUCGAUUUCUUCCUCUUUCUCUCUCUCUCUCUCUCUCUCUCUCUCUCUCUCUCUUUGGUGCAGUGAAGGGGACCAAGCCCAAGCCUCCCAUCCUUGUGUCGCCGCUAGUUAGGGACCACCGCCGGCGUCACCCUCGAUCGUGGGCAACCGUUCUUUUAUGGUGCACGGCGUCGCCCCGCCCGUGGAAGUUGCCGCAGCCGAGAGAAGCCCGCGGGCCUUGUGCGACCACGGGGCUCCACCCGACCGUCGACCUCGCACCCGCACCGCCCCAAAGCAAUGCCGUGGGUCCCAAGGGACCCAUCGAUGUCGCCCUAGGCCUCCCCAAGCCGCUAUUGGGGCGCACGUUGAUGCUCUAGCCGCGGCUGCUUGGGGAGCUCCGUCGCGCCGCUCUGCCGCGGCCUCCCGCGGGCGACCCUCGCCGUUGCUCCGUGGCACCCCUGAUAGUCGCCGCCGCCGUUGAGCUCCACGAGCCCAAGCUCGUGCCACGCGGGCUGCACGACUUGAGGCGUCGCCGCCGAUGCACUUCGCCCCCGGCAGAGGGAAGCACGGGGCUUCCCUUCCCCUCCACGGCCAACCCCCGCAGAUGGAAGCGCCGGUAGGUCUUAGGUAGUCGACCGGAGUCCCUGCUCCCUGCCUUAGCUUCACUUAGGGCCAGUUUGACUCGGUUGGUAUUUUUCGGUCAUCCGGCACUUCCCGAUCGAUCCGAAAGUGAGCAUGGCGAUCCCCGCGACUUGUUGAACACGGUGCUCACCUCUAUUGUUGCCGGCGACUCUUCGUCGCUGGGUUUCGGCUUUCCAACUUCCGGAAGCAUGCCAUUAGAGAGGUUUUUCUGCUGUUUCCAAGCCGUCCAACGAUCGAUCACGUUCUGGACAGUGAGCACGAGGAUCUUUGCUUUGAGACAAGUCAAAUCGACUAGUUGGAUUGAUUCGAUGCGCUGCGGAUUAGGGUAAUGUGCUCGAAACUCAUGUUGUAUGCAUUAUUUGUAUAGUGGUUGUUGCUUUGUUCGGUUAUUUGCAAAUAGUAUGCAAUGGGGACCCCGCGCACAGCCUUGGACAGCAUGUAAUCGCUGUUGGGUACCUCUUGAUUGAUCGUCAAAGGUCCGAGAGCCGUUGCGAAGUGGAAAUGGGGUCCCACGGCGUCGUUUGGCAAAAAUUCGCCGAUCUGACGCGGUUUAUGUUGCGGCUUUUGCAUGUUAGCAUUUCGAGCGCCCUAGGGACCCUGCCAAGCCUUGUUGACUGGUUACUACCGCCACCUUCAAAGUCCGAAGGCGGUGGAUGAGCGGCGGAGGGGUUUCGGUGCGUUAUUCAGCGAAAUAGUCGGUAGAACGUGGGUUUGCGUCACGAUGAGUUUCCGGUUGUGUGGUUGCCCCAAAAUCAUCGCCUAGCCCCGUUGGUUGGCCGCCAGGGUCGUCUCGUGUGUUCGAAGGCGACAGGUGAGUGGCGGAGGCUUCUGGUGCCAAAGUGGAAACUUCCGGAGGCUUAGAGCGAAUUGAUCGCCGACAAUGAUCGAGUUAACCUUGGUGCUUGUGUUUGCUGCCUGGACACUCAAAUGGAUGUGUUUCAGGGCAGUAGGUGACUCACGACAUGAGUUGGUGUGUUUCAAAAAGUUUUGUGGGUCCCGCGGACAUUCCGGUGUGUUUUCAAGAUUCCCGACGAGUUUGAGAGUCGGUUUUGGGAAACCGAUCCCACAGGUGGUGUUGGGUUUGUGAGCAUUGUCUCUUGAGUUAGUAGGGUUGGUUCUGACUCGAUGGACCUGUCGUAGGAUCGGUUGACGGUUUGCACACCGCGAGAGCUUGGUGCAGCUGUGACACAAGUGGGUACUUCGAUCCGAAGUCAGUUCAGUGGUGCACGCUCGGCGAUGUUUCCUUUAUCCCUACCUUUUACUGCUUACAUAUAUACAUAUUCGAUACUUAGAGCUCUUCACAACAUGACUUCGAUCCUUACUCUACUUAGUAUACUCUCCCGCUUCUCAUGACAUAGAAAUAGAGCGGUAGUGAUACUUGCAUUUAUAUUCCUGUUGAUUUGAGUGGUCGGUGCCUGUGUACUUAUAGUGUCAUUGAUCUCACACUUUCUAGUUGACUAGAGUGGUCCGUUCUCUUAUACUCUUGUCGUUGUUGACCUGAGAGGUCAGUUCUCGUGGAUACACCCUAGCGCUGCGUUUGGUUGGAGAACAAAAUUUUGGAGAACAACUUUUAUUGUUCCCGAGAAUAAGGGAUAUUCUGGUACAAGAUAGAACAAUUGUAAAUUUAUGUUUGGAUGCAUUCGAGGAUAUUCUAGAGGAUAUCCUUAAUAGCGUUUGGAUAAAAAGUCUAGAACAACGUCUAAAUAUAUUUUUAAAAAUAAAAUAAUUAAUUUAUAUUAGUAUAUUUUAUAUAAAAUUAUUUAUAAAAUUAUUUCAUAUAGUAAUUUAUAAUAUAAUAUUUUAUGUAAGAAUCUAAUUUAAAAUAAUAUAUUUUAUUUUAUUAUAUAUAAUAAUUUAUUUUAUGUAAUAAUUUAUUUUAUAUAAUUUAUUCAUAAUAUAUUAAUGAAUAAAGUAUAAUACUAACAAUAUCCCUAUAUUUUUAAUUAAUAAUUAGUAUAAAUUUCAAUACAAAUAAAAAAUAUAUAUAUAAUUAAAUAUUAAAGUAUAAAUGAUAGAGUUUAAUAAAAUAAAAAAUAUAUCAAAUUUAAUUAAUUUAUAUUAUAUAAUAAAAUUUAAGUAUAAAUAUAUUAUCAUAAAAAUUUAAGUAUAAAUUUCAAUACAAAUUAAAAAAUAUAUAUAAUAUAUGAAAAAAUAAUUUUAUGUAUAUAAUACUUAAUAUAAAAUAAAAUAAUUAAAUAUUAAUAUAUAAAUGAUAAAACUUAAUAAAAUAAAAAAUAUAUCAAAUUUAAUUAAUUUAUAUAAUAUAAUAAAAUUUAUGUAUAAAUAUAUUGUCAUAAAAAUAAUAUUCAUAUUAAUAUAUGUAUUAUUUAUUAAAUUUGAGCAUUUAUUUAAUUUAUUUGAAAUUAAUUAAAAUAAAGCAUAAAAAAAAUAAAAUGGCAUAAAAAGAAAAAAAGAGACAAAAAAAACAAGUUCCGGCUUGUUCUCCAUUUCAUGGAGAACAAUCUUAACGGGUUGUUCUCGGAACAACCCGUUAAGCCCGGAACAACCGGGUUGUUCCAUUUUCCAUUGCGUUUGGGAGGACAACGAAGGAUAUCCCGCCUUGUUCUGGGAUAUACUUCCAACCAAACGCAGCCUAGUUGACCAGAGUGGUUGAUUCUCUUAUACUCUUGUCGUUGUUGACCUUGUACUUUCUUGUUGACCUGAGUGGUCGGUACUUGCAUACUUGAGAGGAUUUUGAGUUGUUCCAUCCUACUUAACUAGAGUGGUCGGUACUUGCAUAUACUAGAGAAAAUGUUGAAUUGUUCCAUCCUAGUUGACCUAAGUGGUCGGUACUCGUGUUCCCUUAUAGUUCGAGCACCUAUUGGUCGGUGUGCCCCGAGGGGAGGUGAUUAUCGGCUAUCCGCUGAUGGUUGGCCAUUGAUCAUAUUCGCAGCGAUCUCCACAGCUCGACAGCAUUUCAAGAACACCAGCGGUCUGAUCCCCCGCAUAAGGGUGUUCUUUUUCAAAAAAGUGGUUGGUUGCCAACCCGUGAGCCCAACGGCCAUUUGUUAGGAUUAUAUGCAGACAAAGCAGUUAUGGUUUGCCUUAGGUCCUUAAACUGAUACUGAGGUCUAGAUUGUGUAUACUUGUGCUAUCAGUUGUAGUUAACGCAUAGUCAUUUCUCUGUCUUCCUUACAGUAGCGGUUAUUUAUACCAUUAUUACAGUUGUUUUCAGUUCAGUUAUCAUACUAUUGCACUAGUUUGACUAUUGAUUAUAAUUGGUCGCUGCUUCAUUAUCUCAUUUUACAGUAGUAGUUUCUUUGGUGAUUACCGGUGGAUACUAGUCAUUAUUAUCAUGCCCGAUUUACUUAUUACUGCUGCUGUUUAUCCUUCCUUCUGCUGAUGGGUAUAGCCUGCCUUCGUCGGCUUGUGGUACCCACUGGAAGGGGGAGACAUGUUUACAUGUUUUCACCCUCCCCACUUUUUCAGGAGAUGUGGGUGAGAUUGGUUUGGAUGUAGCGUGAGGCCGUAGCUAGAGAUUUCGAUCUAUGGUAUUCCUUUUUUAUUACUUCAUACAUAGUAUCAUAUAGAUAUUAGUGGAUAAUAUAUAUCUCACCCUAUACUGGUUAUUAGAUAUCUACUUCUAGUUCAGUUGCUAGUUUAUACUUGAUGUUUUAGAUGAUGUACGUAUGAGUUUUGGAUACUCAUGAUUUUGGAAUACUCGUGGAUUUUGGACUCAUAUGGCUUUGGAUUCGGAUUUUGGAAUAUGGUUUUCUACCCCUAGCAGUAUUGUUUUCAAAAUAAAUGUUUCCAUGUGGGAAACGGUUUUCAAAGUGGUUUUGGACUUUUCGUGAAUUUUUGAAAAAAACUAGAAUUUCAAAGUGAAGCCUUCGUGUGGGAGGCGCUUUCAACUAGUAGGAAUGAAUGUGACUUUGAUGUGGAAUAGUUGAGACUAAGGACGGAUAGUUUUAUGAUAUGAAAUUAGUGAUUCUUGUACAAUUUGUAUCGUUGUGUGUGUGAGUGGAAGUCUGGUUGUUAAUUGCAUAUGUGCUACGCCGUGCAAAUACAGGGGAGAUGAUGUCCGUUUGUUUCGAAAAUUUUUUAUAUUUGUGGCGGUUCUGUUAUAUCCAUGGGUCAAGGUUAAAAAAAGGGUAGUUUUUUGCAGAUUCUGAUUUCUAAAGAUAGCCCGAUUUCAAAUUGGCUUUCAAAGAGGACUCCGGGGCGUGACACCGACCGUCCCUAGCACAAGUAGCAAAGGGUUUGAUAGUUCGUACCUGAGAUUCCAAGUUCGAUGUCUAGUUGCUUCACAUUUUCAGCCAACUCUAUUUUCUAAAAAAAGAACGAAGGGGAUGACAUGCUACCUUUUUCUUAAAAAAAAAACGUAUAGUUUGUAUCACGCAAUAUUUAAAGAAAGCUCAUACAUAAGUAAUAAAAUAGCUCUCUGACAUAUCGCAAUUUGAUUUGGCAACUUGUAUCUGUGUUAAUCAAUUAGAUUAGUUAGGUCAAUUUGUGACCAUGUAUAGAUCUUUAUCUAAACUAAUUGUUAUUUGUGGAGAGAUAAGGAGUGAUUUUUUUUUUCCUGUGGGGAGAUAAAAGAUUUCGUCAUUGUUAGAAAAAUUAUGAAUUUCAUACAAAAGAUUCUUUGUUUAUUUUAUUAUGAAUUUCAUACAAAAUAUAUGGCCAAUUUGCGUAAAAAAUCCACAAGUUUUGAGCUUUUGCAAAAUAUAUUGGACCGCCUUUUUCGAUUUUAUAGAUUUAGUCCGAACUUUCAGCAAACUGACCAAAAUACCGUUGUACCUUUUUCUCUCUUCUUUUUUUUCUCUUCGAAGAAAGCAGCGGAGGUGGAAACGGAUCGCCUAGCCUCUUGUACACACUGAACUUUAGCAAAUUGUAAGGUUCGAGUGUUUAAUUUGUGAUCUGAGCCUUUUUGGGUUUUCAGUAUGGUCGUUGAUUAUGUUCCGACCUAUGACUCGCAUCCCGAAGAGCGAGGGUGAAAACUUGGCAACAAAAUCUCCAAAAAGAGGAUUUUGGGCUGCUAUCGGAUUGACUCUGCAGGGCAGAGUACCGGUACCGCAUCGACCUGGUAUCGGUACUGGACAUGGCACCGGUACUGCAUCAGGCUGGUACCGGUACUCAGUGUAUUUUCUCGCCAACCCGAGGCUCGAGUUUGCGCGAGUUGCUGCCUGGUACUGGUACUCCAUCCCGUGUCACCGGUACGGAAUGUAGACUGCAGUCUGCAAUUUUUUGAGGGUUCUCUUUGUAAUUAUUACAACACUUUAUAUACCCCACACCCUUUGGCUGGGGUCUUUUGUGCUACAACAGAAAAGGAGGAGAGGUGGGUUUCCUCUCCAUUUUUCUUUGCUUUUUUCCCUAUUUUUGCUUAGAUUUUGGAGGAUUGAUCUUUCCCUUUUGCUUCUUUUUGCAUUUUGGUAGCUUUCCACCAUCGGAGAAGCAUUGAAGCUUUGAUUGGAGUUUGUUCGAAGGAGGAUCUUCAACCCUAGCACCUUUCCAACUAGGUUUGAGGCAUCAAGAGAGGUUAGUAUCAUGUCUCUCUCAUUUUGGAGCAUGUUUUGGUAGAUUUUUGUGUGGAAACCUAGAAAUGAGAAAUCUAGGGUUUAUUUGGAGAUUUUUGAUUUGUAGCUUUUGGAACUUAAUUGAUAGGUGUAGAACCUUUAUUUGGAUUGGAAUAGAAGUGCUCUAGCUUCCAUUUGCAAUUUAGGAGGGUUUUCUACCAUUUAAGGUGAGUUUUGACCUUUUUUUUGGGUUUGUUAAAGAUGAACACUUUGGGUGUUCGUUCGUUUCGUCUAACCUUCUUAGAAUUUUCUUUAGGGAGUUAGGAGACUUGUGGGUGCCUUCGUUCGCGCAAACGAAAGGGUUGUAAGGAGUUUUUGGUGGGUUUGACCUCACUGAAAUGGGUGAACUCCCCCUAUGUUGUUUUUCUUGAUAUAAAAAUAAAAAUUUAUGCAUAUUCAUGCUAGAUAGAGUAUAUGUGAAUUUUAGAAUGCUUAAAAUACAUAUGUUAUGUUUCAUGAAAAAUCACUUCUAUGUAGUAGAGAGAUAUGUGCAUUGUAAUCAUGCAUGUGAUUAGCAUUCUUUUAUGUGACUUGGAAUCAUGUUUCAUGUAAUGGAAAUGACUAGAAUAAUAUGCUCUUGGACAUGGAACUCAUGUUGAACAUAGUGGACAAAAAUGCCAUAAAGAGGCAUUCAACUUAGUAAAUGGUUAAACUUCUACAUGAUGAUAAAGUGAUAGGCCAUUGGGUCACUAGCUUUUAUACCAUGUUUUAGACAUGAUGACUUGAGACUUGUGAUGGAUGAUUACAUUUGCUUGCCAUUGUGCUCAUUCGCACAUGCUUGUGAGGGUUGCUCCCCACAAGCCGGCACUUCGGAGAUAGCCAUUGCGACAUAUGCUCGUCUGUGCGAGAUUGGGCGCCGAAAUGGGAUGCCGUGGGGGAGGCUCAUUCCUAGGGUGGGAAUGUUGACUACCACGGGGCCAUUAGGCACGGCGCAAACCGGAUUACCUUGUGUAGGUCCUAUAUGAUUGGAACAAUAUUGAAUUAAAAUAUAAAAUGGACAUUAGACUAUUUGUAAAUGUUGACAUUCUACUAGUUGCAUCAUGGACAUCAUGCUACUUAUAUAUGUAUAUGCUCAUUCAUAUUAGAAUAGCAAUUAUACUUGUGCAAAAUCAUGCUAAGUAGAGGCAUAGUAGUUUAGCAAGUUUUAUUCAUGCUUAAUAUACAUAUUGUUCAUUUCAUUUAAAUGUUAGAACUUACUACUUAUGCUUCCAUCGCCUAGUGGUGUAUUUCGCUGAGGUCAGCGGCUUGCCUACCGGGAACUAUUGAUUAAUAGUUCUCACGCCUUCUAUCCUGUUGUUUUUUUACAGAGCCUUCCACACCGGGAGGGGCUUGGGAUCUCGGCAAGGGUAUUGCCUCUAGCUAGUUGUGAGGAGCUUCGCUAUUAGGUGGUUCACCUCUCUUUUGUUUUAUUUGGAGAGGAUGAGAGUUUUGUACCUUUAUAUAGAGGCCACUAUUUUUGUAUAUCUAGCAUUUGUAUUGGAGAUCUUAAUGUAUUAACCUUUAUGGUUUAUGUUAGUUGUUUAGUUCUUUUAUCUAUCCACUUGCUAUUAGAAUCUAGUUACAAUCAUGCUCUGAUAUCUCUAGAUAUUUAUUUUUUGUUACUUUAAUUAUCGCUUUGUUGUAGACUCCUUAUAUGUUGUAGGCAUAUGGCGGGUCUGGACACGCAUCGGGCGGGCUUCCGCUGGGUCCCGGGGCAUGAAACCUCUGCCCCUCAUGCCCUCGCGCCCCCCUCCCUCCUCGCCUCCGACCCCGCCAAGACUAUGCCGCAACCCUUUUUUUUUUUCUCUCCGGCCCUCCUCCACCGCCUCCUCGGCCCUCCGCGAUGAUAGCGAGGACGGUACUGCGUCCUUUUCCUCCGCCUUCGCUUUCCACCUCCACUGUAGCAGAUUUUCUACUCGCCAAACAAAACCGUUGUUCCCACUGCCGUCGCCGGAAACGAAAAGAAAAUGCUUUUCGGGGCCGAAAAGCACGCUUGCGAGGGAAGGGGAGAAAAUUAGUUACAUUCCGGCGAGAGCGGUGGCUGCGAUAGAGGGCAAGGGAAAGGUUGUGACAAAAAAAAAUUAUAGAGAGAAAAAUAAUAAGAAUAAUAAAAAAAAAUUCUACAGAAAAGACCAAAAAUAAUAGAAGAAGGAAGAAAAAAAAAAUUGCACUACUAAAAUAAAGUUAUACUGUUUUAAAAAAAUUUUGCACUGUUUUAAAUAAAAAUUGCACUCUUUGAGAUAAAAAUUAUACUCUUUGGAAUGAGAGUUACACUCUUUAGGCAAAAGUUGCACUCUUUGGGUGAAAUUUAUACUAUUUCUUUUUCUCUUUUUCUUCUUCUUCUUCUUCCUUCUUCCCCUCCAUCGCCCCUCUUCCUUCUUCUCCUCCUCUAGAGCCUCUGAUCAGCAGUAGCAGCAGCGCAUCAACGACCUCCUCGCCGAGCCCGAGGCCCUCCAUUGCCUCAAGGCCUUCGCCGAGGACGAUGUUUGCUGCCUUGCUGGUAGCUUGUUUAUAGUAUUAUUAUGGCUGGGUAUAGUUGAGCAAGUAUUCUGUAGUCUAUAAUGAUCCAUAUAUAGUCGAGCACAAGGUUAGUAUCAAAUUGGUUUUAAUUUUAAUCAAUAUUUAAUUUAAAAUGAUUUAAAUUAAGCAAAUAAUCAUAUCAAUCAUCUGGGAGGCGGUGGAGAUCUUGGACUCGAGGGCGUCGCUACGGGAUGAGGCCUCAGCGGGCUUCGCAGUGGCGUCGUCGAGCUUCUUGGCGGCAUUGUCGGCGGAGUAGAGGGCGUCAUCGUGCUUCUUGAUGACGUCCUGGGCGAAGGCCUUGAGGCGGAGGAGGCGGGACUCGGAGUCGGCGCGGGCGUCCUCGGCGGAGCGGCGGGUGCGACGCUCGACCUCGAGCUCGGCGAGGAGGUUGCCGAUGCGCUACUGCAAGCUGCGGAGGAGGAGGAAGAGGAGCCGGUGGAGGGGAAUGAGGAGGAUGAAGAAGAAUAGAAAGAGAUAUGGUAUAAAUUUUGUCCAAAGAGUGCAACUUUGGCCUAAAAAGUGUAACUCUAAUCCUAAAGAGUAUAAUUUCUAUCUUAAAGAGUGCAAUUUUUAUUUAAAAUAGAGCAAAACUUUUUUAAAACAGUGUAAUUUUAUUUUAACAGUGCAAUUUUAUCUUUUUCUUUCUUCUUCUAUGAUUUUUGGUCUUUUUUGUAGAAAUUUUUUUUUUUUUUUAUUUUUUUACUUUUAUUUUUUUUUCUCUAUAAUUUUUUUUUUGUCAUGAUCUCUCCCUUGCCCUCUAUCACAGCCACCAUCCUCGCCAGAGUGUAACUAUUUUUCUCCCCCUCCCUUGCCGGCGUGCUUCUCGGCCCCGAGAAGCACUUCCUUUUCGUUGCCAACGGGGGGGAUGAGGGCAGCGGGUUUGUUUGGCAAGUAAAAAAUCUACUGUAGUGGAGGUAGAGGGCGAAAGGGGAGAAAGAGCACGCGGUACCGUCCUCGUCAUCGACGCGGUACCGUCCUCGUCAUCGUCGCGGAAGGCCGUGGAGGUGGUAGAGGUGGGUCAGAGAGAGAAAAAAAAAAAAAGAAGGAUGGUGGCGCAACCUCAGCGGAGUCAGAGGCGAGGAGGGAGAGGGAUGCGCGGGCGAGGGCGAGGGCGUGAGGGGCAGAGGCAAGGCGGGCCAUUUCCGCCUCCGCCUUUGCCGCCUUCUUCGGAGAGGAAAAAAGAAAUGCAAGAAAAAAAAAAAAGAGAAAAAAAGAUAUAAGAAUAUUUUGAUCAGUUUGCUAAAAAUCCUAAUCUAAUAUGCAAAAUCAUGCAAGAUCAAAGAAGACGGUCCAAUUUUACAAAACCUCAAAACUUGUAAAUUUUUUUAUACAAAUUGGCCAAAUUAUAUUUGUAUUUAUUAAAUUUUAAAUUUUACUCAAUCAAAUAUAGGUAUAUAAAAAUUUAAGCACCCCGCCACCCACUCCCCAAACCCGUUUUCACCCGUAUGCAUCCAUAUCCAACCCGUUUGCAAAUAAAAUUGGCGCCGGAGUCCAACCCGAUUUCACCCCUAUUGACGUGGGAGUGGGGGGUUACACGUGAAACUAUUCAGUUUUGCAGUUGUAUAUAUGAAAACAUCUCAACAAUCACUACGAGGAAUAAUAGCAAACCGAGUACUCAGCUACACUCUAGUUAAAUAGUGAAAUUUCAAGAAGAAAGAAAAACAUAACCGAAAGCACCAUGAAGUAAAAUUGCACCUAGAAAACAAAUUGUUGAUAGCUAAAGCAAGCCAUCAACUUGAUGUUUACAGUAACAUAUCAGUGUACCCAAAUCUAUCCUCGGCUGAUAAAUUUGAGAACAAAUUAAUAAACAAUAUCUUCUGUGUCGAAUUGAGCAUCUAGUAACAGGAUUCUUACAACUAAAGCAUAUUUCUUUCUUCCGCCCCCCCCAAAAAAAAGACGACAAAUGGAGCAAAACUUGACCAAAUUUGAAGCAUCCAACUUAAUCAACACACGGCUAUGAGGUAAGAUGGAAUACUUGGCAGCUGGGGUUGUAAGAUCUCUUGCUCACAGCCUGCUCAAACUUCUUUAUCGCAGCUUCAUUCUCUUCUAAGCCGCUCUGAACAAAGUAUCGGAUCCACCAUGACGAGCUCCUUAAUUUAGCCUAUAAGAAAUCACCAACAAGAAACAAUUUUUAAGUCAAAAAAAGGAAUUGCAAAAUACCAAGACAUCUGGAGAUUUAUUUGGUAUCAGACUUUGCAGCCUCAUGCAAAUUAGAAUUCAGGCUAUAAUUAUAUAUUUGUAAGUAUCAUGAAAAAUACUAUAAAAACAAACAGUCAAUGCUCCCAAAAAGAGAGCAAAGAAAAGAAGAGUAAUGAAUCAAAUGCUCUGACGAAACUACAGCAGAAGCACAAACUUUAAAUUAGAGCCCCCACUUGUAGAGCCCAGAAGCUCAUUUUUAGUAUUAUGUCAAAGCGAAAGCUUCGAACAUUCUCGCUAGCUAAAAUGUCUGGUUUCAAUGGCCCUAAGCUCGUAACUGAUCCAUCAAAAAUGUUGAUUUAAAUCAAAUAAGAAAAUGGAAGCAAAAGCUUCUCACAGAUUUUCAUACUGCUUACUAAAAUAGGGGAAUCACAUGGAAAACCAUACAGCCACAUCAAAAAUUUCAAGCUAGGUUUCUUUCUUUUGCAGUCUGUCAUUUGCCUAUACCAUCUCUCUGCCCUAUUCUUUCUCAUUUAUUUGCAAUUUAUCAUUACAUCUAUCUCCAUCUCUUUUCACUUGCUGAUGGUCUCCUCACAAUCAAUUUCUAGCAACCAUUGAUACCGCCAAGUUUCGAAAGUUAAUCAAGUUUUCUUUAUAACAAUCUUUUUGCCUUGUUGCCAUAGAUUGUUGUAACAGAAAGGAAGCAUCCUUACAUAUAAUAUUGAUACCAAAAUUAACUAAAAAUAAUUUUAAAAAAGUUUUACAUGAUGAAAUCUACUGCUCUGAAAUUUCUCCGUUAUUUAGUUAUAUAUAUGUCAUUCUGUCAGUUGAUCUCAGGUUAAUCCCAGGAUAAUUUCAUCCUCAAUCUUAUAGGCGACAAUCACUCUCCAGGGUCAAUUAACUCCAACGAUCACUCACCUUCAUUAGACAUGCCAGCAUAGAUGUCUAUAAUUAGAGCUGAAAUAUAAAGAAGCUAUUAUUAUAUUUCCUUAUAACUCUGCUAUACAAUAGGAAACUAAAUUACUAUUGUAUCUCUUGAUUAUUUCCCUUGGUAGACCAACUGAGGCUGUAUUAUACUGUGAAUAGUAACAAUUCUGUUCUUCGAGCUUCUUCCGCCUAAAAAUCUUAAGUUAUAAUUCUUCUACAAUAUUUACUAUAUGGUAUCCGAGCUUACUGCUCAGACAAGCUAGAGAUCCUAUUAUUUUUUUUCCCCAUGGCUGAAAAAAGCAUUUCAAACACCAUUACCUCCCCGUUGGCUAUUCCCAACUCCCAUUCUGACCCCAGCAAUAUGCUUAUUUCAAAAAAUGCUUCAGCCCAACUCCCUCUUAAGCUUACUACUCUUAAUUAUCCGUCAUGGCAAGCGCAAUUCAAUAACCUUUUGGUUGGCUAUGAUUUGAUAGGAUAUGUUGAUGGUACUUUGGUAUCACCGCCCAAAACAGUACUCAUAAAUGAGAAUAUUGGUCACUGAUAUGGCCUAUUCUUAUUGGUUUCAUCAAGACCAACUGUUACUUCAUGCAAUCAUUGCAUUGACUUCAGAAUCUGUAAUGCCACUUGUGGCCACAGCAAAGACGUCGCAUGAAGCCUGGAACAAGCUCUUAUGUCUCUUUGCAAGCAAAUCACACUCGCGAGUUAUGAGUCUCAAAAAGUGAUUGGUGUAUCACAAAAUAAACCUCGAGCCAUGGUUGGUGUUCGUGUCUCCAAAAGUGAUUGGCAUAAGAGCCUUGGUCAUCCCUCUUCUCAAAUUCUUCAAUAUCUCAACUUCUACGUCAACUUCUACUUUGCUAUGCGACUUAUGUCGCUGUAAUAGAGGUCAUAAACUUCCUUUUGGAAUCUCAAGUUUGUCUAGUCGUCGACCUCUUGAUCUUCUCUAUACUGAUGUUUGGGGUCCUGCUCUUGUGCAAUCAGUUGAUGGGUUUAACUAUUAUGUAAUUUUUGUUGAUUGUUUUACAAAAUAUGUUUGGCUUUUAUCCCAUGAAAAGAAAAUCAGAUGCCUCUUUCUUAUUUCCUAAAUUCAAAAAAUUAGUUGAAAAUUAUUUUGGCAUGCCUGUUGUUUCAUUUAUUCUGAUUGGUGUGGUGAAUAUCAAAAAAUGAAAGCUUUCUUUGAACCACAUGGCAUCACUCACUUAACAACUCCACCCUAUACACCAGGACGUAAUGAGUCCACGAAAUGGCGCCAUAGACAUAUUGUUGAAACAGGAUUGACACUCCUUCAUCAAGCAUCUCUUCCAGCUUCAUUUUGGUCCUAUGCUUUCCAAACUGCUACGUACUUAAUUAAUCGCUUACCUACCAAAAUACUUCGUUAAAUCUCCCUAUGAAGUGCUUUUUAAGAACUCUCCAAAUUACUCAAAGUUUCACAUUUACCAUAUGCUAAACAUAAGCUUGACACAUGUUCCAAGCCUUGCAUCUGUCUUGGUUAUUCACCUAAUCAAAGUGCCUAUCGGUAUUUCGAUCCUAGCACAAAUAAGAUCUAUGUUUCUCGACAUGUCAUCUUUGAUGAGUCAACAUUUCCUCAUGGCUCCUCAUCCUCCCAAGUUCAGUCUAAUACUUCCAUGAGGUCUGUGCCUAAUCAAGAUAAUCUUGGUCUGUCUCACUUUAUCUAUCAUUUCCAAAUCCUCUACUGCAACUUCUAAAGUAGAUCUGUGUCCCUAUUCCAUUGCAUGCACACUCAUCUCCUAGUCCAGCUUCACUUUCUCAAAUUUCAGCUAGUAGAGGAUCCUCUCAUCAGUCUUUUGUGCCCACUUUGCAUGAACAGCACCCACAACAAGGUAGCUCAUGCUCGUCGUCUCAAAGCCCAAGUGCAAAUUCAUCAUCAAAUACAAUUUCACCUAAACAACCCAGUCACUUCACCCCUCAACACACACAUCCUAUGACCACUAGAUCUCAAAAUAAUAUUUUCAAGCCUAAACAGCUCUAUACAACAUUGAAGCACCCUAUUCCCACUAUCAUGGAACCAACCUGUGUAUCUCAAGCUAUCCAAGAUCCAAACUAGCGAACUGCUAUGUCUGAAGAAUUUACUUCUUCACAAUGGUACUUGGGAGUUGGAUGCUCCUCAACCUCAUUACAAUGUUGUUGGCUGCAAAUGGAUAUUUCCUAUCAAAAGGCAUCCCGAUGGUAGUGUUGCACGCUAUAAAGCACGACUCAUCGCCAAAGGCUUCCAUUAGAGACCUGGACUAGACUAUCAUGAGAUGUUUAGCCCGGUCGUUAAACCACCCACCGUACGAACUAUUCUUUGCCUUGCUUUAACUCAAAGAUGGUCUCUUCAUCAGCUGGAUGUGAACAAUGCCUUCUUACAUGGUACUCUCAGUCUCACUGGAGUUGUUUAUAUGCAACAACCGCCGGGAUCUGUAAAUCACUCCUUACAUAUUCAUGUCCGUCCACUUAAGAAAGCAAUCUAUGGUCUCAAACAGGCCCCUCGAGCUUGGUAUCAUGCACUUAGUAGCUUUGUUAUUGCAUAUGGGUUCACUCAGUCAAAAUCUGAUUGUUCUCUUUUGAUCUAUCGACAUGAUGGAAUAAUGGCAUACUUUCUUGUGUAUGUUGAUGACCUAAUACUUACAGGAAAUGAUAAAUCAUUUCUACAAAAUUUUGUCCAAGCUCUUUCUGGCAGGUUUUCUCUUAAAGAUCUUGGUGAUCUUCAUUACUUCUUAGGGGUUGAAGUUAUACCAACAACGUAGGGCUUAUUUCUCACUCAGCAUAAAUACAAAAGAGAAAUCCUUGAUAGAACUAAAAUGCUUGGUGCUAAAGAUGUUGCUACUCCACUGUCGACUAGUAGCUCACUAUCUCGUCAUGAUGGCUUCCUCCAACAAAUGCUACCAAGUAUCUGGUGCUCUCCAGUAUCUCUCUAUCACAAGGCCGGACAUAGCUUUUAGCGUCAACAAAUUACCUCAAUUCAUGCAUCAACCAUCGGAGCUUCAUUGGACUGCAGUCAAACGUGUUCUUCGAUAUCCCAAAGGCACUAUCUAUCAUGGAUAGAACUUAAAGCGCUACUCUAAUUUACUAUUACACGCCUUCUCUGAUGCUGACUGGGCUGGUGAUAAAGAUGAUCGUACAUCCACCUCUACGUACAUUGUAUUCCUUGACAUCAAUAAUAUUUCAUGGGGCUCAUGAAAGCAACGAUCUGUUGCCCGCUCUUCUUCGGAGGCUGAAUAUCGUGCCAUUGAGAAUACAGCAUCUGAGUUGGCUUGGAUCCAAUCUCUUCUGCAUGAGCUAGGUGUAUCACUAUCUCAAAUUCCGACUAUUUACUGUGACAAUAUUGGUGCAAACAUAUGUAUGUGCUAAUCCAGUCUUUCACUCCAAGAUGAAGCAUAUAGCUAUUAGCAACCACUUUGUUCGUGAUAAAGUAAGCAAAGGACCGCUAAAAGUAUCUCAUGUAUCAACUUGUUAUCAACUUGCGGAAGUGCUAACAAAACCUCUCUCACGGCAGUGAUUUUCUCUUAUUCGUUCCAAGAUAGGUGUUCACAACGAUACACCUAUCUUGCAGGGGCGUAUAGGCGACAAUCACUCUCCAGGAUCAAUUAACUCCAAGAAUCACUCACCAUCAUUAGACAUGCCAGCAUAGAUGUCUAUAAUUAGAGCUGAAAUAUAAAUGAAGCUAUUAGUAUAUUUCCUUAUAUACAAUAGGAACUAAAUUACUAUAGUAUCUCUUGAUUAUUUCCCUUGUAGACCAACUGAGGCUGUAUUACAUUGUGAAUAGUAACAAUUCUGUUCUUUGAGCUUCUUCCACCUGAAAAUCUGAUGUUAUAAUUCUUCUACAAUAUUUACUAUACAUAAAUCUAAUCCCGGGUUAAAAUAGGGAGUAGAUUUGAAAGAAGAUGAAACUUCAGAGGGGUAAAUUUUAUCACUUAAACUUUUCAGGGGACAUAUUUAAAGGACGAUGAAUCUUUUUCUAGAGUAAGCGGCUACUUUUAAUAGUUGACAAUGAAAGUUAACUCAAAGGCGCAUUUGGUUCGCGCUAUGUAGCAUUCCUGAUUAUUUCAACAUAACCAGGAAUCUGAUUCCUGUGAAUCAGACUAAUGUUGCAUUGCCGCAUUUGUUCAGUGCAGUAAUCAUGUAACCAUACAUGAACAUAUUGGUGAUUAAUAAAUUUAUGACAUGCAAGAUAUGCUAAUGUACCCAUAAGGCAUAUAUGUGAUGAAAAUGUUACAAACAAAAAUAUAAACUAUUUUAUUCAACUAUCAUACAAGUAAAAAAGCAAUCCCUCGAGAUUUGUGGGAAGCAUGCAUCAAAAACAGCACGUAAUGAAUUUAAACAAGUGAAAAACAUGAGAGAUCAGAGUGUUGGCUUAAAUAGGCCAGCAUCCUGUCCUGUGGCGGAAAGCCAGGUUGGGCCAAAUCACGUUCGAAAUGGCAUGAGGCUGGGUUGGGCUGAGUCAUGUUCGAAGUGGUCAAGUCAGUUGGGACGAGUCACAAUCGAGAUCCGUGGGAGCUGUAUUUGUAUGCUUUAAAUAAAUUGGUUGCAUAUUUCUAAUAGCUCCAGCAUUUGGGAUUAAUGGUUAGCCCCAAUGAUCCAACAAAGAGGCUCACUAAAGCAAGAAAAAAAAGAAAAGAAAACAAAAGGAAAGGAAACAUCAAAAGACACUAACAAAAAAGUAAAAAAGAAAAGUUCUCUUGGUCUCGACCAAAUCUCGAACACGAUGGCUAGAUCUGCUUGAGAUCUGGCACAACAGCCAUAACCUGGCAGGCUCCACAAGAAUUUGACUGCCGCAGCCAAGUUGUGGCCGAGCUUGGCUUCGUGACGAGAGAGUGGAGGAGGGUAGAGAGAGAAGGAAAAGGAACAGAGAUAGAAGAAAAUAGAGUACCUCAAAAUCCCAAAAAGGAGAGGUGGAGAGGAGAAUACUACUCUCUAUAAUUGAAAUGAAGAGAUGAGAAAGGAUAUGGCUGGUAGGGAAAGGUAACUUCAUAGUUUUUUAUAAGUUGCAGGAUACCCCGUAACUAGUAAUACAAGAUACCAACCCCCCUCCUCUAUUAACUCUGUUGUUAGUAAUCUUGCAUUACUAAUAGAGUAGAGCAAACGAAAUGUGCCCAAAAGGUAUAUUUGAAAAGGGUUGGAACUUUAGAGAGGUAGAUUUCAUAACUUUUUCUAAGGGUCAAUAUAGAAGGCGGAUACUUUAAGGGUAUGUAGGCAAUUAACCUAAUUAUGGUAGUUAUCUGGUGGGCAGGAUUUACCUUAAUAACUUUGGAGAUAUUCAUCUCUACAACACUAUCGUCAUCUAAUUUCUAGAUUAUUAGAGAAGCUGUAAUGUAACCAGUCUCAAAGGCCCAUAGACAAUAUAACAGAUAUAUCUCAUAGAUCAAAAUCGACAAAAAGUUCAAAUAAUUCAACAACACUUUCUCAAAGCUAAAUUCAUACUAAAAGCUUUGGAAUUGUUGGUUGUGUUAUGAUAAAAGCCGAAAAUCCUACUUCAUCAGGUACAAAGCACCAAUGACAAUCGAGAAGGAGAGAAGAGAAUAAAGCAAACAAGCAAUUUACAUGAUUUGCGCGACUGGCCUAAAUUUAGAAGUCUAACUAACUCACCGAUAACGAUACAAAUAAGUUUGUAUGGCUAAUUUUCUUCAGACAAUGUUAAGUUACCACUAGCGAUAAAAGAAAACCAUAAUCACUAUGUAGAAGAGGCUCAGGACAACUUAACUGAAAUUUACCAAACUACAAAAAAGAUCCAAGAAAGAAAAAGAAAACGUUUAGUAUAAAAAAAAAUGCGUUUGCAUAUUCGAAGUACGAAAAAGAAAAGUAAGAAGUUAUAUAAACAUUCCUACAAAUCAUCAGAAACAUAUCUACAGGUUGUAUUACAAAUCUACAAUGUUAAUAGUAUUCCUAAGGUAUGUAAAAGGUGGUAAACUAAUGUAGGUUAGCUGCUGUGCGUACCGGUCUUCCAAAUUUUGAUAGCUCAGAAACCUUAGCUCUCUGCUGACCUGGAAAACCUAGCAAAAUAAAGAAUAUAAAUUAAUGAACUAAAGCCACUCUUCCUAUUGAACAAUAUGCCACGUUGUACAUCCUUGGCUAACUUAAAAUUUGAAAACUAGCACAACAAGCAUGGAAUAGGCAUUAAAUAGCACUUCUGCACCAUAAAGUGGAAAAGAAACUGAAUCUAGAAUUAAUUGAUCCAUAACCAAUAUAAGAGGAGAAUUAUGUCAGCAACAAUACUUACAAUACAAUCAACAAGUAACAGUGCGAGUUUUCCCUCUAUAUAUUGGCAAACAAAAUACUACAUAUUUUCAUGAUGUGAACAAUUUUAGAUAUGAUGUGCAACAAUUAAAAGAAAAUGAAGGCCAGCCGAGUGAGGCUUGAGAACUCGCCCAGUUCACACCACAAGAAACUAUUCAAGAUCCAAACGCAUAAACUCUAAGAUUUAAGGGAAAAAAAAAUCAAAUUAUAGGAACACGAACUAAAAGUAAAAAUUGUGUAUUGCCUAGGAGGAUGAAAACAAAGUAAUAACUUAGGGAAUUUCACCAAAGCAAAAGCUCUUCUGGGAGAAAAUUAAGUUCAAGCUUAUUCCCUAUUCCCCUGAAAAAUGGGCUGGCAGGUUGUGUUUUGUUCAACAACAUAGUUGGGUCAACUUGAGACUACAUAUAAAUGUUCAUAACUUUUAAAUGUUGAAAAAGAAAAGGAAUUUAUUAAUCAUAUCAUGUUGUGUCAUUUUUGGAUAAACAGGUUUAGGUCGUGUUGAUUUAGUUUUUCUCUUGGUAUUUUUGGGUCAUGUUAUUUUUGGAAUUACUGGCCCUACCUACGAAUGCAGAAAGAAAUUUUAUGGUUGUAAGAAUAUUAAAAUUUGCUGCCCUUUGUCAUCACCAAGAAAGGGAGUGAAUAAAUUAGCUCAUAUGCUGCAUUUUUUACAUUGCAAUAACUAAAAUAGAUAGAAUAAAUAAUUCUACUUUCUUAUAAACAUACCAGCAAAUAUAACUAGGCCGUCAGCUGAAAUCCUUGCCAAGUCCGGAAGGGUUUUGUUAAGGUACUUUGGUGAUAAAUAAUCCAAAGCAUCUGAAACUAUGACAAGGUUAAAAGAUCUUGGUCGGUAGGGCAAAGGGAACUUAAUAUCGGCUACACGCACAAAGCCCUUUCGCACAAGGCUUUUGCAGCUACUAUCAGCAUCCUCUGAAUCAUAAGGUUCCACACCCCAGGCUUCAGUGUUGUCUUCUUUCAAUAGCAUAGAAACCACCGAACAGGCAUUGGGUCCCACAUGAAGAACUUUUUGCAUAGUGUCACCAUAAGCUUUUUGUAAGAAAGGUAUUGCCCGUAUAACUUCUGAUGUGCAAGAGGCACCUGUAAUUUAACAAAAGAAAGUGGGAAUUUUACAAGGAAGAAAUAUUAAUAUCAAGGUUACAACUAUAAUUUUGAUAAAAACACUAACAAUAGCAUCUAAUUUUUCAAGUCUUAUAAGAUGGUAUGCAUCAGACUCUCUAUUCUCAAACAUUCCCGAAGGUUCAAUAAAAGUACUCAAGUCUACAUUACUUUUUUGUUCUGUGCGAGAGAACUGUUCAUCUAUUUUCUUAUUUUCUUUAGGUAAAAAUGUAUGAAGACACCCUCAACCAUAGGCCAUUUUGAAAUAGGCCCCUCAACUUCACUUUUUUUGAUUUGACACCCCCUUUUUUGACGCAAUUUCAAGCGUACCCCGCUAAAGAAAUUUCAUAGAUGCCCCUUUAAAAAUAUCACAUAUACCGCUCAAAGUAUAUAAAUUUAUCACAAAUAACCCUACCGUCAACUUAAUAAGCUUACCCAGGUUAAAAGAGAGUAACACUUUCAGUAAAUGAAAUGAUGAUUUUACCCUCACCUAUCCAUUGUAGGGCAAAAUAUUAACUCAUUUUUUAUUUAGGAUAUGGUUUUUAAUUUAAUAGAUUAUAGCAUGAUUUUUUUAAUUCCUUAUUGUGCGAACUAUAACUUUUAUUUGAUUAAUUUUUUCUUUAAAAAUUGUUAAAAUUAUGAAAAUUGCUUUACUAAUGAUAGUACUAAGCUUUUAGCUUAUUUCGAACAAAUCCAUGAAAUUUGCAUGAGUUUUACGAGGAGCAUUUUAGAACAUUUUUGACAUUUAUGAGGGCAUUGGUUAUAUUUUGAAAAGGGGAACUGAUGAAAUUAUAGCUCGGUAGAACGGCAUUUAAGAAAUUAUUCCAUUAUUGCCCCAGAAAUAAAGGGAUAAUUUCCUUUUAUUUUUGCAGUUAAAUUAUUCUAGUUAGCCGACAAAGAAAUAUUAGUACAAUGGUUACAACUAUAUUUGAUCAAAACAUUAAGAAUACAAUCGAAUUUUUCACAUUUUAUAAAAUUGUAUGCAUCAUAAUUCUGUCAUAUAAGUGUUGUCUAUAAUUAAAUAUUGUUUGGCUAAUAUUAGUCUGAAAAGUACUGUGAAAUAAUGUUAAUUGAUAAAAUACUAUCCAAACAUUAUUUUUAAUACUUAUUCACAUUUAAAAUGUUUUAUAUUGACAAAAACAACCCACGCCAAUUUACCCUCACUAGUGCCCACAACUCCCUGAACCCCCCCAAACGCCCCUGCGCUUUGUCACCGUUACGCUACACCCCACCCCCGCAGUCCCUUGCCGUGCCCCACCCUUGCCGCUCCCUUGCCCCUUGCCAAUGCACGACCCGAAAAGAAAAAUAAUAAUAAGGUGCUUGACUGUUGCCCCAGCCCCACCCCCGCACUCCCUCGCCGCGUCAACACANNNNNNNNNNNCCCCCCCCCGCUCCCACCCCAAGCAUUAAUGUAUACAUCAUUUGUGAAAAUCCUUGCCCUAUGCAAAGCUGAAUGGCAUCAUUAAGUACUGUAACCAAGUCAAAUAUGAAAGGUAAGAGUAGUUAAACAGAAAUCUUUUUAUAUUAUACUUUUCAAUUAGCUAAAAACUUUCUACGUGUUAAAGAGCUUAAUGCAUAAGUUUUUUCUCUAUGCAAUCAACAAAAAUUUGCCUUAAGUUGCUUUGACUUGAAGAGGUAGGAUUUUCAAAACUUUUUCAGGACUCUUCAAGAUAAAAUAAUGUUCCAUUCAUCAUCCAAUAAAAGCUGAUGGUACAAUAGGAGACACAAAACUAGCGUAAAUGAAAAGGAUGAAAAGGCAGAGAUUGGGUAUUAGAGGACCAAAUCUUCAGAGAUCUCCUUAGAUGAAAGUAUUGAAUCAUGAACCUUGAUCAGUUGAUAGAUCAAUCUUCUUCAGCAAAAGAGAGUUGGAGAUAAAUGACACCAAAUAUAAACAUUAUUACACAUGUGAACUUACAAUUUAAAAAUCCUUUUGUUUUAUCAAAGUUACAUUAUAGCAAUGGUCAACGUUGAAGGGACAGGAAAAGGAUUAACUUCAUAUUAGCUUUUUAGCAAUUAUUUCACAAACAAUAAUGCUGGUAAAAAAACACUAAUGCAAGUAAACAUGAAUACUAAUAUUCAAUAAACAAUAUUGUAAUUAAAAAGGUAGAAGUAAAAGGAUUAACUAAAUAGAAAACAACCAAAACAAUGGCAGUGAAUGAGACUGAGAUGUCUACCUUCAACCUUGCUUAUAGCUUCUCUACCACCACCAAAGCCACCUGAGCAUUAACAUACAAAAAAGAAAGAAUCACUUCAGUAUAGACUUAAACCAAGUUUUACUAUUGAAGUAAUUGAAUUGCACCCCAAUAUCUGAAUGUGGAAUGAUUUUGUACCUACCUGAGCCAUGAUAGGAGUAACCAAUCAGAAGAAACGCACCCUGAAAUUUUCAACGCGAAGAUUACCAAAUAAAGACCCAAAUCUAUAGAUGAAGCACCAGAAAAACAGCACACUUCAAAAGUAAAACCUACCAAAAGAACCAACCCAACAGAGAGUAAGGGCGAAGAACGUGACUUCUGAUGGAGUGAACCAACAAGCGGGUUACUCCCGCUGUCUACCAACCGCCGAUUGGGAUUAACUGCUCUUCUUGACAUACUUUUCAGCCUUCAAAACAAUAAGAUCACCUCAUUCACAGUUGCAACAUUCUAGCAUAGGAAAAGAGAAGGAAAAAUAAAAAUAAAAAUAAACUUGGAUAAAAUAUAGGCCAUUUUGAAAUAGACCCCCGAACUUAUUUUGCCUGACACCAACUAAACUUUCAUGUAGGUAAAACAAUAUAGAACUUUGAAUUUGUUUGAUUUAAGCAAAUAGCCAUUUGAUGCUUCUUCUGGUAAAAAUAUAUAUUUAUUGUAAUAUCCUGACCCACUACCAAUAAUCACCGGCCUAAAAUGCCUAAGCACAAUUAUUAUUAAUAUACUUUGUGGUCCUUAUAUUUCCAAUCACAACCCAUUUUCCAUCCGAUAUAGGAUUAUUCGGGUGUUACAAAAUCCUCCUGUUUGGAAAUGACACCCUCAUCAAGUCCAAAUCCGAUCAUAUACACAUAGACUGGAUUACUAGGCGAUGUGAGAUUUUAGAGGCAACUUAUGCAGGUUUAAGAGGUGACUCCCACCAAACUAGUGGUAUAGUAUAGCCCUUUACGCUGCAUAGCAGUUAGCUCUCACACUUUCAACUGGUAUUUUGCUCUAAUACUAAAUGUAACGACCCGACCCACUAGCAAUAAUAAUUCAUUGGUCCCAAAACAUCAGCUCAAAAUGCUUAAAUGCAACUAUUGUUAAUAUGGUCCAUGGUCUCUUAUAUUCCCAAUCACAAUCCGUUUUCCAUCUAACGUGGGACCAUAGGGUGUUACAUUUAUCACUUAUUUAAUGAAUUAUAGCGGUGUUUUAAAUAGCGGCCGCUAUGCCCGCCAUAGCGGCCGCUAUAGCGAAUUUUAUGUGCUACCGCUACGCUAUAAUAUGUAAAACGGUAUGUACCGGAUCGGGUUCAUAGCGGUCGCUUUAGCGGGCAUAGCUAAAGCGGCCACUAUAAAGCGGUUGGAAAGCGGGCGCUAUGAGCCCCAACCUUUAAAAAGUGCAAACGGGUUAAAAUAACUUAUGGAGUUGGAUUCUUAAAUGAAAUAUAAAGAUCAAACAUUGUUUCUAAGGGUUUGGAAAAUAAUUAUUUACCUAAGAUAUCUUUUUUGAUAUCCAUUUACAAAUUGUUUUGAUUGUUAAUGGAUUAUAAAUUUGCAAGUUUUAUAUCUUUUUGGUUUGCUAAAUAUUUUAAAGUUAAUCUUAAAUUCUUAAUAGAUAAUGACAUUAAAUAUAUGUAGCCUUGCAAUACUAAAAAAAAAAAAGAAUGAUUAGUUUUCUUUUCUUCAAAAUUAUAUGUAUCUUUUAUGAGGAACAUAAACAUAUUAAAUUUGUUUUUAUGAAACCUGUUAUGGGAUGGGUUCAUAGCGCCCGUUAUGGUGCCCGCUAUCUGCUUUCCAUUAUGAGACACUCCAAAUGCUAUGUACCCACUAUUCAUUAUUUACAACCUUGAUUUAUAGUCACAUAAAUUAUAUAAAAUAUGCUUAGUAAAGAUAAAUGAUGCAUCCAAAUUUUGAAGUGGGAGAGUCUUUAAAUGGCUUAUCAAAUAAAUGAAAAGUUCAGACAACAAAAUCAUAAUUUUUAAAAGUUAGAUAGCCAGAUCAAGAUCAAAAUGGGUGAUAGGCCUGGUAAAUUCUCUACAUUUUCAUCUUCCAUUUACUUUAGCGUGAAUAUUUCUAGUUUGUCGAAUUCAGGAUUUCUUUAAAUUAAAAAAUGGUUUCGCCAAAUUUCACAGCUCUUACUGUUUUUCAGGUUUCCAGGCUUCCAGCUAAAGAAAAUGUAGAUUCUGUUAUGCCUAAUAGCUGAUGAAGCCAUAGAUUGUGAUGAAACCCUCAACCCAUUUGACUGAAUUUACUCAAAUGCAAUUCAUCUUAUUGAAAUAACUCAAAUGCAAACAGAAAGUUAACAUGGUGUCGAUCAAAAAGUCCAAGAGCCUAUUUCAAAAUGCCUAUUAUAGCUUAAAAGUCUCCAUUCAUUUGUCAGAAAGAGAGCAAUUAAUUUCAUUUAUGAGAUUAUAUAACCAGAAAACACAAUUAAUUUCAUUUAUGAAAUUAUAUAACCAGAAAACACAAUUAGGGCUCGUUUAGUUCGCACUAUGAAAGAUUACUUGGAGUAAAAUGAUAUUCGAGAAUCUUAUUCUUAUUCAUCCUAUUACUAGGAAUAUAGUAUUUCGGUGUUUGGUUUGUAUGGUCAUAUUAUUUAAUCAAUGUUAUUUAAGAUUACGAAAAAUAUAUAAUUAAUUAAUUUAUUUUUUUAAUUAAUUUUAAAUAAUACUAUAAAAAAAUUUCAACAUCUUUUUAGAAAAAAAAGAGAGAGAAUAUAAAUUAGAAAGAGAGAGCAUAAUAAAGAAAUAGGAAGAGAAAUAGAAUCGAGAUUAGAGAGAAUGAGAGGGUUGAGAUUUUAGCAAAAUAGGGGGAGAAAUAGCUUAGUUUAGAGAGAGAAAGAGAUAAGUUUAGAGAGAGAUAUGAGGUUAGAGUGUAAAGAAAAAUAAUACCAACUAGCCGGCGGGUAAGAAGAAAGAAAAAGAUUAGACAUAUUAUAAUUACCCCAAUCUAUUAAUAUAAGAAUACCCACCCUCCCUCAAAGAAAUGAGAUUAGUACUUUGGAAUGCAUCUCAUUCCCAAAUAAAUCUAAUAUUACCAACUAAAUUACUCAGUGCGUUUAGCCAAAUAUCGUCAUAUUUUUUUAUUCCUAUUGGAUUACUAGAAAUCUUAAAAGGAUAGCGCGAACCAAAUGCACCCUUAAUUUCAUUUAUGAGAUUGUAUAACCAGAAAACUGCAUGAAUCCCAAAUCACAAAAUACGUAACAUUAUCUCGCGCAUCUUAGUUCAGAAAAUAAAGCGGGAGAAAUACACAAAAAAAUAGAGAAAAAUAUUGUAGAAGACAACAAAUAAUCAACACCGCCAUUGAAAAUAAAGCAAGAUAAAUACAUAAAAAAAUAGAGAAAAAUCUUGCAGAAGACGAAAUAAUCAACACCACCAUUAAACAUCUUAUAAGCACCAAGCAACACGAAAUCCCUGUAUAUCGAUUCCAAAUAUCAAUCAAAUCUUAAUCAGUUCGAAUCCAUGAUUUAAACCUUUAAUGAUGCCAAAAUGGAACAAAAUUAAACAAAAAGAAGCGGAUUUAACGGUAAGAAAGGGACAUUCAAUCAUUUCUCACAUUUUUCACUAAAAUAAGGGAAAUUGACAGCGAUUUCGUUCCGAAGAAAAAGGAAAGAAAAGUAAUCGAUCAUAUAAAUUAGAAAAAUUAGGGAAAAUUACCUGAAUUAAAGUGAUGAGAGAUCGUGUGCGCGAUAGAUCUUGAGAUCUGAGAGGAAUACCGCUCUCUAAGCUCUACGGCGAGCGCGAGCGAGAGAGAGAGAGAGAGAGAGAGAGAGAGAGAGAGAUCCACCGACGUUGAUCGCACGUGACACAUUUAAAGAGCGAGAGGGGUUGGAGCUUGUCAGCCGUUGGAUCUUCUUCGGACGGGAUUCAUCUAUCCUUUCCUUUUUUUGGUAAGUUAUUAAUUAGGCGAUUUUGGAAAUUGGCGGGCCCAUUAAAGCAUAACGGAAGUUAUUUAUUUAUUUAUUUAUUUUUAAGAGAGAGAAAAAAGAAAAGUCAUCGGCUUUCUUUAUUUUUUCAAAAAUAAACUCAAGUUAAUAAUAUAAAUUAACUAAACUUCAAAUUUAAAACUUCAGAUACCAACCAUUAAUGUCUUAGCCGUUUAGUUCAAGUUAUGUAAUAUUACAGAUAUUUUGAUUAUCACACCCGGAUUACUUGUUUCUUCGGACACUCUAACAGAUCAGCCGUAUACAUAGAAAUUUUUUCUGUAUACGAAGCGAAACUGUACCCGUACCUGUAAUCAUACAACACUACAACCAGUAGUAUAGAGCUGCUAGAAAGAAAUAAAAUAUAUAUAAAAGCAGAAGUUCACUAUACAUACAUAACAUCCAGAUGUACAAAAUGCUCGCUCCAGCGAGAUACAACAUAAGUAUGUAUAGGAAGUUAAAACUAUAACUAUCUGUAGCUGAUAUACUUUAGAUCAGCAACAACUGGGAAGCGAUCUAACUCGCGACUCCCUUUCCGUGGUCCGAAUCAGCAGCAACAGCAGCCGAAGGAGAAGGCUCUGCAAAAGAUUCCAACAACUGAGUGUGAGAACUACUGCAAAAAGAAGUAGUCCUCAGUGGGUACCGCUACCGACCUCAACGGCUCGCCCACUAAGUCUACAGAUGUAUGCUCAAAUGAUAGUAAGGAAACUGGAAACAAUCUACAGUUACAUUCCACUAUACUAUCAUGAUUCGACACUACUAUCUGUAAAAUAAAGCAAACUCUGACCUAAUCUCACUGGAGACUGUAAACAUAGCCGUCUCAGGGACUAUAAACACACCCGUCCCGUCUAUCGAACCUAUACAGCUACCUCCACACUAAGCAGUCCGUGGAGAGCAAGUCCAAACAGGACACAACGACACCAAUGCAAACGCACAAAGCCCGACUCCGGAGUGGCACUCGUGGGUGCUACCGAACUGAGUAUACAAGCGUAUCUCUGUCGAGCUCAAUCAGGCUCUCACAGGCUAUGAUCCAAGUAAACAGGGUCACACUGGCCUAACAACCAAACUCACGUGCCCUCGGUACAAUCUGACGCAAAAAUAGCAAUCCGGGUCCACCGUCAACCUCAACGACACCCAACAGACCGAAACAGUCUAAAUACUACUGUAAAAAUAAGCUCGGUAUCCUAGCACGAGCGUAAAUACAUGCUACACUAUCUUGGGUAUUCACCACCCACAACCUGCGGUGAUACCAAUAAACUAUGGUUCCUAGAGCUAAUCUGGUAGUUUAAACAUAUGACGGUGUAGAAUCGUUAGUUUUCUCCUAAGUCAAAUCCCAGUCCAACAUGUAUAUUUAACUAACAUUUAAGCUCCAAUUUUAGAUUCCAAUAAACAUGCAAAUCCACUAAUUGAGCUAUCUAACAAUACAACAAUAACCAAUAUACAUGCCGACAACUAUAACUUCGAAGGAAAUCCGGUAAUUCCAGUAGCUUAACAAUUCAACCCACCUCUCGCGCAACUCCAUGGCAGCAAGAGGGUCACGAAAACACCGAAAAUCUCUGUUGUAUUCACCAUUAGACCAGCAGUAAACCUCCUCAAAGAUCUGAACAUCAAUACACCAAAAAUUGCAUUAUAACCCAAAAAUUCGAUACUUAAGCUUAAUCCUCCCAUUUCCAAAGACAACUUCACCUUCCAAUCUUCAAAUCAGGUGAGGAAAGGUCUCAAAUCCAGUAGAAAAAGAAAGCACACAAGGUUCAGGUUGCAAUUCCAGCUCCCUCCAAAGAUUGCAUCAUAAAAUCCACAAAAACUCAAAUUUUAGCUUCAAUACUGCAGCAGUCAAGAAAAACAACAAUUUGACCAAACUAACCUCAAUCAAAUACAGUCAAAAAGGACUCCACGAAAACUUCAGGAAGCCAGCUAACCACGAAACCAAGUUUCACUGCAAUCGGGGCUUCCUACGACGCACACAAGCCAAAACGUCGAUGGCCGCUGCAAGAAAACUGCUAGAGUUAAAAUUCUCAAUGUGCGAAUAGUAGAAUUUGAGUUAUUUGGGAAGAUUAGAAUGGUUGAAAUGCAAAUUAUGAGUUCUCUAUGAAGAAGGGAGGAAAAGAGUUCACAGGGGUCGAGUCCAUCAAUUUAUAGGGUGAUAGAAGGGUCCAAAAAACUCCAGGAACACAAGCUGCUAACCUAGUCACCCUGCAGAAAAGGCCACUUUCGGGCGCCCAAAACCCCUGGGCGUCCGAAACCUCCAGGCUACACAAAUCCUCCACUUCGGUUCUAUCGCCCGCGGUGUGCUGCGCCCAUAUUCGGCUCCGACGGACCUCACUUACCACCAACCACGUGUCAGCGCAAACGAUACUCACGAAGUGAAUUUUCGGACCCACUUCUGGGCGCCUGAAACAUAGGAUCCGAAUUGGCUUCCAGUUCUGCUCAGACCAGCACUCAAGUUUUGGGUGACCCAUACUAGUUCUGGGCGCCCGAAUCUUGCAAAACUCUAGUUUUACUUAUUUGAGUACGUCGAGUCCAUUUCUGCAUCCAUUUCGUGCAGAAACGACUUCGACUCAGUCCGACACACUCCAAAUGUGUCGACCAGUCACUAAAACUAUAGCCAAUCCUAUCCAAACCUCAGGAACACUACAUCGAUAUAUCCAUAUAUUUUGAAUUUCUAAAUAAGAUUACUACUGAUGCAGCAUUAGCAAUUUGGUUUAACGCAGUGAUGUAAUGCUGAAUUAUAGUGUUUAGUGUUUAUAACAGUACUAUGUUUGGUUCAGUCUACAAAAUUUAAUAAUCAUAACGAAAAAGUAUAGUCUUUUCCAAAAUUACCCUUUGUGAUCAAUUGAAUAUUAUUUUUUUACUAAAAUAUAAGAAAAAUAUAAUUUGCACUUGUAAAUUAAUUAUAUUAAUAAGUAAUAAAAUAAAAAGACCAAACAUGAAAAAAAAAUUACAUUGCAAAAAAUUAAUUUUAACACAUAAAAGAAUGAAUAGAAAAAGGACUAUAAUACACAAUCAAAAAUCAGACAAUAACAAAUAAAUUUCAAUUUAGAAACUCAUCUAUAAAUAAAAUCAUUAACCAAACAUCACAUAAAGGCACAUUAACAGCAUAAUAUCAAAUAUAUAUUUUUCAUGUUUAAUAUCAAACAGUACUAUUACCAAGUUAAGAAAUUAACAAAGCAUCAUAUAAAAUAAAUAUUUCGUGGAGUCGAAACUUCCACACACAUCAUAAUACCAUCCAAAAGUGAAAGCUUAAACACUUACAUGAUAAAAGUUUAGUUCUUGUACUAAAAAUAGACAUCCAACUCCAAUAACACAAUUUCUUCAAUCACGUCCACCUAAGAUAUGGAAAAUGUAUUGCUUUUUGUAAUGAUCGAGCAUGCAGUAGAAUGUAUAUAAUUUUGUAGAGUCACCCGUUAGGAUUUCAGUGUUCCCUAUUCUCAAGUCCCUCGAUCUUUAGUAUCUCUUCGAACGACUUCUCCUUUUUGGUCUCAUUAUUUGCCAUGAAUUGAAAGCAAGCAAGCCGACCUAAGUGCUCAUUGGCAUCGUUAACUGAAGUUUCAAGUGAACGCAAGAUUGAACAAAAUUGUUCAUUGAUCAAAUCCUCUCCAAGUGGUGACUUUUGCUUCUUUGAUUUUGUCGAUGUGCCACCAUUCGAAGUGUUUACUUGAGCACUACUUUGUUCCAUAAACAACAUCUCAACAUCAGUAUCUUGGGUGGAUGCGUGCGUCAUUAACUUUCCUCUAGGGUUUUUAUUUUUAAUAGGGUUUUAAUUUUUAGGCCAACACAUGAUUAACCUGGGUAUAAAAAAUAUAUAAAUUUUUCUCUAACAUUUCCAAAUUAGAUCCAGGAAACGAGAUCCAAAACUAGAUUAAUAAGAAGGCUAAAUUAUAGAAAACCUCCCUGUCAAAACCCAAUUUUUCACUUUCCCCCUUGUCAUUUAAAAAUCUGCACUUUGCCCCCUUGUAAAAUAAAAAAAUGUGCACUUCACCCCCUACCGUUAGGGUUCCGUUAGGAUUCUGUUAUACCAUUUUUUUAUGCCAAAAAUGCCCCUCCGCCCUUCUUCCCUGUUGCUUCGAUGGCUUCCGGGACAGCGCCCUCGCCGGCCUCGCCUUCCUCCAAGAGCUCAACCUUCUCUUCGACCGCCCCCUCGAUGCCAUCUUCCUCAACUCCAACAGCCUCCUCCACCGCCCUAUCCCCGCCAACCUCGGCGACUCCCCGGCCUCCAUCGUCGUCCUCGCCCACAACAAACUCGACGGCUGCAUCCCGCCCUCCAUCGGCCGCAUGGCCGACACCCUCAACGAGAUCGUCCUUCUCGACGACGGCCUCGCCACCUGCGUCCCACCCGAGGUCGGCCUCCGCCACCGCGGAUGAGGAGGAUGAGGGAGAAGACGAAAAUGGUGAAGGGAAAAAUAGUCAUUUUGUCACAUCGUACCCCCCUGUGAACAUUUUUUAUUUUACAAAGGGGCAAAGUAUAGGUUUUUAAAUGACAGGGGGGGAGAGUGAAAAAGCGGGUUUUGACGGGGGGGUUUUCCGUAAUUUAGCCUAGAAUAAAAAAUACCAAAGUGCUAGUUAAGCAUGUCCGAUAGAAAGAUUGCAACUAAAUGAAACAAGAUAUGGCUUCAGAUUUGACGAAAUUCGCAACAGAUCUGUAAUCAAUAUGUGAAAAAGAGGCAAAAACACUCCUUAAAUCGACGAAAAAAGGAAAAAAAAAAACCUCCAAAUCGGAUCUAAUUAGAAAACAAUGGGUUUUAGCGAGAGAGAAGAAGUGAUUAAAUAUGUACGCGAAAAUGGCAAAUGGAGGGAAGGUGUCACGUCCCGAGACCUGCCUAUUUGGUCGGAUUCGAGCACGCCAACAGACCGCCGAACGGACAGAGUCUCCCUGUACAUCCUAGGCGUCACAAUCCAUACAAAUCGCAAGGUUCCAACCAGGAACAGAUUGCAUAUAUGAUUGCAUAAGGAAGGUAUCAAUAACAUAAACAACUAAGCUAUUACAAUCAUUCACAUCACAUGCAUUUUACAUAUUACAUUUAACUUCCAAAAUACAACCAUUUGUUGUUACAACUUUUUUUCCUUUCUUUUCUAUACCCCUAGCUAGCCGACUUGGGGUACCGCUAUUUCUGGUCUUAGUGGUAGGGCACUAUCUACGGUGCUACGGCCUUUUCUCGCGCCGCCGCACCGCUCGCGUGUGGACCUAAAAACCCCAAAAAAUCGUAGGGUGAGAACUAUUGUCCAUAGUUCCCAGUGGGUACGGCCACCCAAGGAAAAAGCUCGACCCACCAGAUCCAAAUAAGGCAACAAAAUAAGUUAGUCUAACAGAUAUAUAUAUUAUCAUAUAAAUUAUGCAACUAACAGCUAUCAUGCUCAUACCUCACAACAUGCAACAAUGCAAAUCAUGCAACCAAUGCAAGUAGAUCUACUGAUUUUACUUUCUAUUCCACAAUUUAUAUCUCUUACCAUUUUACAUCAUUGGCCAUUUGCUUCUAAGGUUCAUCUACCUUAGUCAAGCUAACCACCCGACUCGAUUUCGAGUCAAUCAUCCGCGGAAUACUGCUCAUAUCCAGGUUUGAGGAAAAUGACGUCUCACAUGCACCUCAGCCUUAAAUUCACUCAACUGGGAUUCCAAAUCCACUCAACUAGGACUCAUCCACAGCUCAUAAUGCAUGCCACUCAUAUGCUUGUCACCCAAUCUCACUGGCUAACCGUAAGGUUAAGCCCCGACUCACAACCAAAUUCCAUAAGUGAGGAGACCCAACUGCUGCGCACACCCAAGACCGUUUGCUGGGUAGGUACGUUAACACAUCGUGUGAUAACUCCGGAGCUCACUCCUUGGGUGGAGCGACCACCGCCAAGCUCAAAACAGACUAUAUGAGUAUGAUUCAAUCCUCUUAACUCGAUGAUACUCUACCAAAUAGGGUUAAUAACAACUCGGGAAUCCAUCUAUCCUAAUAUUCAUGUCAUAGUGUCUCUACUACACUAGUUCCAAUUGCCACUCUUUUAUGUCAUUUACUUAUUCUUAGCACUAUAGGAUUCCAUGUCAAUACCCAAUCCUCAUGCAUCCACUAGAUCAUGUGUCUAACUCACAUUUCUAUUUCUACUAUGGAAGCAUGCAAGGAAUUGAAUUCCAUCUAACCACAUAUCCUACAAUGCAUGAUAUCAACAUAUAUACCCAAUGACACUAGGUUCAAUGUCCAAUAUUCAUUUAUUUUUUAUCCUAGUUGUCCACAUUUAGGAUUCAUAGUUUUCAUGCCACACUUGUCGAGUUCUCUAAUCUUCCUAGAGUUUAUCGACCCAAGUUCAACAUUCAUAUGAAUCUAGCAUAUUCUCACAAUAUGUCAACAUGUAUAUAUCAUCUAGCAUCUCAUGCACAUGCCAUCAUCGUCAUCUAAUGGUAGGUAACAUCAUCCAGCAUAAUAUGAUUCAUGCAUUCAUUUUAUCAUAUACAACCUACCACUACACAUAUAUGCAUCAACAGCAAACAUACUUCACUUUGACAUAGAAGUGACCUAAUCACUUCGGUAAAGCACAACCCACCUCACAAUAUUCUCCGAUUGCUUGUCGACACUUGCAAUCGGGCUCCUGUGGCACACGUUGUCCGGUUCGGCUCGAACUCGCAAUCGAUGACGAAACACUCACCAAUCCGCAACCUAGAGUUGUCUGGGGCUCAUCUCUAACCUUCAAUUAGAGAACCAUAGGGUCAAUUAGGUUCAAAAUGAAAGUUUUGAGGAGCCCAAGGAUCUAUCUAGAUUGUAUCUAACACCUAGAGGGGGGAAAAUAAGUGUAAUAGCCAAAAACCACAAAUCUCAAUGCGAUAAAAAUAAAUGUGGAAAAUAAAAAUCACACCGAGAUUUACGUGGGAAAACUCCAACUUGGAAAAAAAUCCACGGAACCAACACGCGAAAAAAUAAUUCACUAAAAGAAAAGAUUACAAGGUGAUUACCAACUCCACGGACUCAACCUCUCUUAACCUCCUAUGAACCUCGCGCAAUCCUCCGGGUUGUCCACGCCCUCACGUUCGAAUCCACGAACGCCUCGCACACGUUCGAAUCCACGAGCGCUACUCGAAUUCACGAGCCCACGAUCCGAAUCCACGAACCGCCGUCAAUCACGCCGAAUCCACGACGCCAUCAUGAAGAACAUCGUGUGUAUGGUGAUCUUUCGCUUAGAGUAUCGAUGAAAACCAGGGAAGCAAACUCCAAGCGAAGCGGAGAUCAAAUCGACAUAUUGAUAUCAAAAUCCAAAAUCUCGAUUUGACCUAAAAGAGGCUUUAUGUAGAAAAUAGAUUUUAGAUGAAAUCCGAGCCUCUAGGGUUUCUCAAAUAUGUAUUUUCGUGAUGCUUGAUAUGUUAGAGAAUCCCAAUAGCUUAUUUAUAGACUUUAGAAUCAAACGGAGUCGGAUUAGAAAGUUUUCACGAUUUUACACAGUGUACCGGUACACGAAAGGCUGUCACCGAUUACACAAUGACAGAACAAAAAUCUGCGAAGCCAAAGUUGAUGGCUGUACCGGUACUGGUCAAUUGCUGUACCGGUACAUAAUACAUUUUUUCACACAUUGCACUGUUUCGGAUUUCACAACGUUCCGAGGCACUUUCUAAUCCAUUAAACUUUGAGUUUAUGAUUCUAAUGCCUAUAACUAAGUAUGAAUCACCAUAACAUGAAUUAAAACUUUAGCUGAGCAUCGUGAUUCACGUCGUGAGGUAUUUUCUGAUUUCUUCGAAGUCUUGGUGUAAGGAAGUGAAUUCUCGAAAUACGAGGAUUGUACUUCAUCCAGGAUCGACUGAUUGUCGAAAGUAAACCCUUUGUGGGAGUUGAGAAUGUCCAAAGCACAAAGAGUGCCUUGGAGUUGAGUCCGCGAGAGCAAAUGAGGCAGAUGGCAUCAUUGGGCAGAAGUUGCUCUCGGGGACCGGUCUCUGCAGGUGAGAGACCGGUUCCCUCGACUGGGUGUUGCGGGGUUGCGUGAUGCAACCGGUCCCUGGUGGUGAGGGACCGGUUCCCGAACGUGGCCCCAGCGUAAGAUGCCAAAAAUUGGCUAAGUCCUGAAAAUCAAGCUCUCGGGGACCGGUCUCUCAGGUGAGGAUCGGUCUCCCGAGGACCGGUCUCCCGGGGAGAGACCGGUUCCCAAACGCGUGCGCCCGAGGGAAGCUCUCGGGGACCGGUCCCAAGUCGGGGAGACCGGUCCCUCCGCGCGAAAACUGCCCAGUAAGGGCAGUGCACAGGGGUGAAAGUUGAGGGGCUUUUGUGCAAAAUGGCAUUUAUUUGAGUGGGCUGAGCCCUCUCUCUCCCUCACACUCUCUCAUUUCCUCUCUCUCACUCUCAUUUCUCUCUUGCUCUCUCUCUCUCUAGAAAGGAAAGAAGGAGAAGAAGAACAAGAAGGAGAGGAAGGAAAAGAAGAGGAAGAUAAGGAAGGAGAAGAAGAAGGAGAUCAAGAGGAAGGCUUUGAGCACCUCCAUCUCCCUCUCCUCUUCCCAUUGGAGUAGCUCUUGAGGUAAGCUACUAAACCCUAGCUUCUAGAACUUAGGGUUUUUGGGUUUUAUGCCUUGGAAUGGGUCAAAUGGACCCUAAGCAAGCUUCUAAAUAGAUCAAUCCCAAGAAUCUAGGGAUUUAUGGGGUGAUUUGCUAUAGGUGCAAAUCUAGGGUUCCAAAAUGGGGUUUUUGUAAAUGUAUGAGAUUGAUCUCAUUUGAAGCCUUGGAAACCCUAUUGAUAGGUCCCAAAACGCGGGGGCGAAGUCGAUUUUGGCAUUCGGCGAACCGACGUGAAGUUCUCGGCAAAAUCGGGCCGGGCUAGUGUUGAUUCGGGCGAGGAAGGCUAAAGCCUUUUCGUAAAGCUCGCCGAGAGAGAUUUCCGAAACCUCUACAUCGAUUAAAGGUGGGGGGUGUCAUCCGAAACUUUCGAACUCCUUUCUAUGUCUUAGAUUGCAUUUAAUCUCAUCUCUUCAUGUUGCAUUGUAGGAUUGCAUAGUAGCUCCAUUCCUUAUGCUUUCUAAUUGAUAACCUAGUGUACUUGGAACGCUUGGUAACUUAGAUAGGUGAGGAUUGGGUCGAGACGUGAAUCCUAUGGUGCGAAAGAAAAGAGAUGAACCCGAUGGGGGUAUUGAUGACAUAGAAAGUAGUGUUAUUGUUAAAGAACAAACGAGUGGCAUCCAAACAUUGAAUGAUAACGAGUGGCAUUAAUGUAGUGUAAAUAACACUAGAGGUCGAUGGACCUAGGGAUAGGUGGAUCCCUUAGAAAAUGCCUUGUGAACAAUGAAUUUAGAAAACUAAAUAGCAUUGCAUGAAUGUCGGGAACCGAUGAUUCCGCGAUAGUCGUUGACCCUAGUGUAGGGCGUCCUCACUUGGAGAGGAUUCGAUUGGGUUAUUGACUCUAGUUGUAGAGCCUCCUCACUUGGAGAGGAUUGGAUUGGGUGUUGACCCUAGUUACAGUGUAUCCUCACAUGGAGAGGAUAGAUCUAGCUCACAGUCUGCGUUUAGGGUGGCAUAGCCAUCCAAUCCCCACAUGGAGGGGAUUGUCGUCGAGUACUCCGGAGUGUCGCGCGACUAGGACCACUUGGAGGUCCGGACCACAUGGAGGUCCGCAGACGGUCCCGGGCUUGGGUGCACUUGGAGCUCCCUCCCCACUUUGGGAUUUGAAGGUGAGUCAUGGGCGAGCCCUAGGGCCUCGCCACAGAUUGGGUAAAUGAAAAGGUUAAAGGUUUAUGAAUGUCAUUGAACAUUACUAUUCGAACAUGGAUCGAAUUUGUUAGCUUGGUAGUAAACCUUAUUAUAUGACGCAUGCAUUCAUAUUCAUGAUUAUGGGCAUAGUAGCAUAGUUUUCCUACUACUGCAUUUACAGCUUUCAGAUACAUAUCUAUCUAUCUAUCUGUUGUUACUUGUGCCCACUUGGACCUAGUGGGGAGAUCGGCAGAGUCGGCGGCCGAGCCCACUGGGAACUAUGGAAGAUAGUUCUCACCCCACUCUAUUUCCAGUGGUAGGUUCAGGGCUGCAGAGAGAGGACCGCGGCAAGGGCGUCGCGCCCGACCAGUGAGACCGUGGUAGUAUAGUAGCUUUCCUUUUUGCAUUAGUCACCUAUGUAUUGAGAGAGACUCUUGUAGGUGAGGUUGGAGAGCUAUGUAUUUCGGAUGAAAAAUGAUGUAAUGAAUGUAACUAAUGUAAUAGUUAGUAAAGUACUCUCUUCAUUUCACUUGUAUAUCUCGUGGAUUACUUGCUCUUCUGGUUGUUGGCACUGUUUGUGCCCUCGUUGAAUGUGUAUGUUUAGGAUUAAAAUUCCUGGGUAAAUCCUUGUACACAUUCCUGUUGUUGAGCCUUGGGCGGACAGGGGAGGUGCUGUCCGUUCGGCGGUUCGUCGCCGCGGCCGAACCGUGCCAAAUCGGUAGUGGUUUCGGGGCGGGGCGUGACACUUGGAUUCUUCGAUCUUUGUCAAUCCGCUUCGAUCCUUCAAGACUCCAACUGACUUCACGAAACUUGCCAAUACAAAAUCCUUAACAAUCUCCCCCUUUGGCAAUUUCGUGACAAAACUCACAAAACUCAAAAAUAUAUAAAAGAAUCGAAGUUCAAUUGUCAUCACCAAAAUAUUGAACUCCUCGCGUGUAAUCCAAAUACAAUUUGAGAUUCAAAAUUACAGCAAUAACUCCUAAAACAGACUCUAUGACUUAGACGCAACUAGGAGUCUUGAAGUAUUGAUUUCCUGCAAAAUAAUUCAUUCAAAAAUGAUUAACCUUAAAUUCUUAUACCUUCUCCCCUUUUGUUCACAUCUCGAUCACAUCUCAUCAUCCUCUGCUUAGUUCAAUGCCUGUUCAUCCAUGCUCUCCCCCUGUUCAUUUACGCUCUCCUCCUUUUUGUCAAAAAUUGCCAAAAUGAAAGCAAAUAGAGAGGAAACAUACUAAAAAGUAGUCAAGUCAUAGUUACAGGCCUAAAACAAAAGUAAAAAUAUGCCAAAGAAAGAUAAGCAAGCAAAACUAAACUAAAACAUCAUCCUAAACAUCAAAUACAGUGAAAUAGAAAGACUAAGCUCGAGGAAGAGAUCACUCCGUGUCCUCGUCAUCAUCAUCAUCAACUCCAGCGCCAGCUCCAGAACCUCCCGCAUCCAAAGCUCCAAUAGAUGGAGGAAUAAGAGGAUGUCGUGAAGUAAACCUCGUAUAGACAGGCUAAGGAGGAAAAAUAUCGUCAUGUCUACAUCCCAACUUAUCCAUCAUCCUCUUCAUACCCACUUCCACCUUUCUAGUAAGAUCAGCCACUUUCUUCUUUAAAGAUCGUACUUCAUGGCGAAGUGAUUUUCCCCCUGAACUGGAAGAUCCUUCACGCUCUGCGCGUGGUGGAGGUGCCUGGCUAGGAGCUGCUCGAGAUGAUCCUUUUGUUUGCUGAAACGUCUUUAGAGUGCUGACCGACUUCCCCCAGGUAACAGCAUCGAUUGGACCAAGACCAAAAUUAUACUUUUCACAAGAAACAUCCACUCCAUUGUCCUGUAGAAUCCUCGUGAUCAAAAGAGGAAAUGGAAGUAGAUCCCGUCGAGCAGAAGCCUGAAUAACAUGAAUCAUCCGCUGCCACAUCAGAAAAGGAAUGUUGAUGUUCAAUCCAUAUGCUUGCUCCGGGUGACCAAGUAGAAACAGUAGAAGCAAACGAUCCCAACGAAUCUUUUUUGUUCCAAUCGUUGGUUGCACAUUAUAGCUCAAGACCAAGGACAGUAAAUGAUACUCUGGUCGCAAAUCCUUGGACUCUACAUAAGCACGAUUCGUUUGCACUCCAGCUUUGCAGAUAGCUGCUACAACUGUAUCCCAGUGAGAUGAAGAUUGAAAUCCUCCUGAAGUAUAAAGAAGGCCUGUAGUGUCCACAUUCAUCCCCAAAAGCUCUCCUAUAGUGUAUGGGGUAACGACGACCCUCUGCUGACGCACGACUGUCUCAAAAAGAAAAGUCCCGGUCUCCUCAUCUUCUGCAAGUACCUUCCCGUUCAUAUAGAACUCACGAAUGAGUUCCAUACAAAAAGGAGCCCGAGCAGGAACCCUACCAACUGGCUCAAUAGGAACCCGCUGAAGUAGUCGCCCAAAGUUAGGAACGUCAUAUAUAAGAUCAUUGAAGUUGACAUAACGCUCUUCAAUACAAGACUUGCUCAAGAACAUCCUCCGUCGCUCUGGGGGAACAUCCGCGGCAUGCUUCGACCGAGUUUCCCUUGCACGAGAACCACCGCCACGCGAGGAUUCUCCAGCUAUUCCUUUGCCCUUGUCAAGACGAGUAACAGGUUUUCAGUCUCUUCCGGGGAGCUUGCCUGAUAAUCCGGAUCAGAUCCGGACGCUUCUUCAGCUGUACGUGUCCUCUUAGAGGCCCCACGACGACCUCUACCACCACCUCGGCCACGACCACGACCACGACCGCUUCCAGCGGCCAUUAGUACCAAAAUCAGCAACACAAGCGAAAACGCCAUUUUUCCUAUACAAAAAUUAACCUUGCAUGAACAAAACUUUGAAAAAAUCUGUAAAAAUAGCGAAAUAAUUUCUAAUAACAUUAGAAUGCAUACAAAUGCUAUUUCUAACCAGAUCAUGCAAAAAAUUUUAUCAAAAAUUAUAUUUUAUCAAAAAUCUCGAAAUUACAUGCAAAUUGAAGCUUAGAAAAUAGAUCAGCGAAAAAUAAUAUGUUUUGAUGUGAUUCAAGUGUUCUAGAAGCAAGAUAAUGUCAUUAAGCACUGAUCUACAGCAAAAAAUUGCAUCAAAAAUGAAUCAAAAUAGAGAUCUAGCUUCAACUCAGAAUAUUUUUGAAAAAUAAACAUGAACGCGAUGAAACGAAUAAAUCCAAACAAAAUACUCACAAAUUUUUGAGGGAAAUCGUGUAGAUCUGGAAGAGGAAAGCACCAGGGAUUUUUAGAGAGAGAAAGAGCGAAAUUUGGUUUUGAUUUGAGUGAGAAAUAAAGCCCUAUAACCGGUUAUAUUUCCGCGGCUACAGUAACCGUACCGGUACAGGUUUGUGUACCGGUACACGAUCUCAGAUUUCGAAAAAUUUGCUUUAAAAAUCCAUCAAAUUAAAUUAAAUUCAUAUAAAUUAAGGAUUUUACUUCAAAUAUCAUUAAAAUGAGAAUAAAAUAUUAUAAGAUUUCAAAAUACAUCGAAACAUCAAAAUUUUAUUAUAAAAAAUGAUCUCAAGUUUCAAAAUCAUCAAGAUGUAAUGAUUUACGAAAAAUGAUUUUUAGAAAUUCGGCAAAAUUGACACCAAUUUGUCGCAAUCCGUUCAAAAUAGAGAUUUAACUAAUAUGAUACCGGGGGUGGCUCUUUGAGCAUUUUUUUCAAACUAACACCUUAUUACUCCGAAAAUUCUAAAAUAUUCAAUUUUUUUUUGAACCUUUUUCGGUUAAUCAAUUCAAUCUUCAUGUGGUAGCUUCACACACUUGUCGGACAACCGGGGUGGUAGCUCUUUCCUACAUGUGGUGGUAGUUUUUACACUUCUUUUGGAUGUAACUCUUUCCACAUCUUUUUAAACAUAGGUGUUUUUUUCUCUUUUUUUUUUAAUAAUUUCAAACUCCCCCUAAANAAUUAGACAAUCUCACAAUUGAAAAUAUUUUGACAAAUUUUAGUCUAUUAGCGAAUAUCCAUCUAUUAUAUUCAACACACACAACCGAGAUAGAUUAAUCACCAAAAGAUCAAAUUUGAUUUCAAAAUUUUGAUAAAUAUAUAUAUUAGGAAAUCAUAUAUUAAAUUAUCGUCAAAAUAAUAAAAAGUGGAGUAAAAAUGAUAAUUUAAUAUGAAUUUAACUUAAUAUGAUUAUAAAAUUAAAUACUAUUUAAGUGAUUUUGAAAAAUUUCUCUCCUCAAAAUAAUGAUUCUCAAUCNNNNNNNNNNNNNNNNNNNNNNNNNNNNNNNNNNNNNNNNNNNNNNNNNNNNNNNNNNNNNNNNNNNNNNNNNNNNNNNNNNNNNNNNNNNNNNNNNNNNACUACAAAAGGCUAAGAUCCCCGGUGCCCGCAGGACCACUUGCGGCCAAACCAUUGCGUCGCGAUCCAGUCCGCCGCCAAGCGCUUCGUCUUAGACUGUAGCAACCCCAGUUAGUGUGUAUGUGAGAACUACAACGAUCCAGUGGGCCCGCAUCCUCCUGCCAAUUACCCUGAUCAAUUCAAGGCAUAGUAUUUCAAAGGGUAAAGAAAUGUAACGUUACUAAUGUAAUUAAUACUAUGCCUGCAAGAAAGAAUGACUCUUAAGUAAGAUAUACAUUUCAAGGCAGGUAAUGAAAUGUGCAUGAUUCAUAAUAUCAAGCUUUGGAUCUUACAUCGCGGUUAAACUCGCGUUAAUCCCCAAAUAACUCACAACCAAAUCCGUUUAAUUAUACGCCGGCGGAUUCGAACCUCCUAGGGACCAGUUCAACUGGUGGACUUUAUCCACGCCAGAAUGUAUACCAUCCGGCAGCGCACCGCUCGAGGGGGAGCGACCUCCCUCAAGCCAAGACGAAAUGUGAGUAUCGAUCUAAUCCUCAACAUGAGGACUCAUAGCCACUAGUCACAAUGCCAAUAUCACGAUAGGUCUCUACCUAUUUAUUCUUGCCACUAUCAAGGCUUUAUCUUCGACCAUGUCAUUAUGGGUUAAACUAUAUUCAACGGUUCAUCUCUCAAUGCAAUUCUUGUUUCUAUGUCAAUGACACCCUUGUUUUCUAAGGUCCUAGUCCAUUCUUACAUUCACACAACUUGAGGGUCCAAUCACAAAUGUCCAUUUUGGUUCUAUCAUUCUCUAUGUUCAACUACGUUAGAAGCAUAUAAAUGAAGUCAAACCAAGUUCCACAUGUAGUUACCCUACUAUGUAUGAAUGGGUAUAUAUAUAUCAUAUAUGCUCAAGAAUAGAGAAAACAGACAUAGAAGGGAAUCCAACGAUUCCGGCGUGCACCCCCCACCUCUAUUGGUCGUGUGGGUGUAGAGUACUAAGGCCCCCGCACUUUACGAAAGCCGAUUCCGCGCCCUAUAAUCAAAAUAGUGCCAUAUUAGGCCCUUUUGUACAUGAACUAUACUCUAACAUUUUCGAAAUGUUAAACGAAGUUGUCCAACGUGUUUAGGGCACCCCCAAUUAGGUUUCUACGGGGUCAAUUUGUCCCCGAGCAAUCCUAGGGCAAAAGCCCCAAAUUCAAGCCCUAAUAAUGCCAUUUAGGGUUUUCCCAUAAAUCGAUCCCAACCCUAAGCAAAGAAUAGCAUAGGAUCAUUUAAGGAGCAUCCUAACAAGGUUUCUAGACCUUUGGCACCAACCCUAGGGCUCCAAACAUCACUUCCAAGGAUUCACCAUGAGAGCACCUUGAGCUCUCAUGGGUUCCAUGGUAUUCAUGGCUCAAAGAGCCCCUAAAGCCUCUAAGGAGCACAAGGCUCCAAAUCCCUAAGCCAAAAUCCAAACCCUAGAGGAAAAACCUACAAAACUUACCUCUAGUCCAAGCUCCACCAAGAUUCUCCUUGUUGCAGAGCUCCUAGAAGCCUCCAAAGCCUCCAAAUCCUCCUCCUCUUCUCUUCUUCUUCUUCUUCUCCAAGUCCUAGAGCAUGGGUUCUAGAGAGAGAAAGAGAGGAAAUGGGAGAGAAGGGUGAAAAUGGCUGUGGAAGAGAGGGGUGAGUCAUAUAUAGUGUUGUAACAAUUGUACUUAAGCCCCUACACUUGUUUCCACUUGAACUGCCCAGACUGGGCAUUUUUCGCCUUCGGGGACCGGUCUCCCCGAACGGGGGUUUUCCAGGACUUAGCCAAAUUUUUCGAGUUUUCGGCUGUUGCGCAGCGAGGGACUGGUCUGCCCGUCAGGGACCGGUCUCCCGAGGACCGGUCUCACCACCAGGGACUGGAUGCCUCAGGAUUUCCUGGCAGGCUACGCGCACGGGGACCGGUCUCUCCUUCAGGGACCGGUCCCCGAGAGCACAAAAUCUUGGACUUGGCCAGAUUUUCAGAUUACUCUCCCGGGUCCCUUCUAGCUUCACUCAUGGACUCUAAUGUGCUUAGAGUCCAUUCAAACUCGUUCAAUUCCGCGUUCCGCUCAUUUUGACGGAACUCGGCACGAUUUACGAGGGAUGUGGUAUGUUACACCACGGCCUCACUGAUCGGGCGCGACGCCCUUGCCGCAGUCCUCUCUCUGCAGUCCUGAACCUACCGCUGGAAAUAGAGUGGUGUAAGAACUAUCUUCCAUAGUUCCCAGUGGGCUCGGCCGCCGACUCUGCCGAUCUCCCCACUAGGUCCAAGUGGGCACAAGUAACCACAGAUAGAUAGAUAGAUAUGUAUCUGAAAGCUGUAAAUGCAACAGUAGGAAAACUAUGCUGCUAUGCCCAUAAUCAUAAGUAUGAAUGCAUGCAUCAUAUAAUAAAGGUUUGCUACCAUGUUAACAAAUUCGAUCCAUGUUCGAAUAGCCAUGUUCAAUGACAUUAAUAAACCUUUAACCUCUCCAUUUACCCAAUCUGUGGCGAGGCUCUAGGGCUCGCCCAUGACUCACCUUUAAAUCCCAAAGUGGGGAGGGAGCUCCAAGUGCACCCAAGCCCGGGACCGUCUGCGGACCUCCAUGUGGUCCGGACCUCCAAGUGGUCCUAGUCGCGCGACACUCCGGAGUACUCGACGACAAUCCCCUCUAUGUGGGGAUUGGAUGGCUAUACCAUCCUAAACGCAGACUGUGAGCUAGAUCUAUCCUCUCCAAGUGAGGAUACACUGUAACCAGGGUCUACACCUAAUCCAAUCCUCUCUAAGUGAGGAGGCUCUACAACUAGAGUCAAUAACCCAAUCGAAUCCUCUCCAAGUGAGGACGCCCUACACUAGGGUCAACGACUAUCGCGGAAUCAUCGGUUCCCGACAUUCAUGCAAUGCUAUUUAGUUUUCUAAAUUCAUUGUUCAUAAGGCAUUUUCUAAGGGAUCCACCUAUCCUUAGGUCCAUCGACCUCUAGUGUUAUUUACACUACAUUAAUGCCACUCGUUAUCAUUCAAUGUUUGGAUGCCACUCGUUUGUUCUUUAACAAUAACACUACUUUCUAUGUCAUCAACACCCCCAUCGGGUUCAUCUCUAUCUUUAGCAUCAUAGGAUCCACCUUCCGACCCAAUCCUCACCUAUCUAGUUACCAAGCGUUCCAAGUACACUAGGUCAUCAAUUAGAAAGCAUAAGGAAUGGAGCUACUAUGCAAUCCUACAAUGCAACAUGAAGAGAUGAGAUUAAAUGCAAUCUAAGACAUAGAAAGGAGUUCGAAAGUUUCGGAUGACACCCCCCACCUUUAAUCGAUGUAGAGGCUUGGAAAAUCCUUCUCGGCGAGCUCUACGAAAAGGCUUUAGCCUUCCUCGCCCGAAUCAACACUAGCCCGGCCCGAUUUUGCCGAGAACUUCACGUCGGUUCACCGAAUGCUGAAAUCGACUUCGCCCCCGCAUUUUGUAACCUAACAAUAGGGUUUCCAAGGCUUCAAAUGAGACCAAUCUCAUACUUUUACAAAAACCCCAUUUUGGAGCCCUAGGUUUGCACCUAUAGCAAACCACCCAAUAAAUCCCUAGAUUCUUGGGAUUAAUCUAUUUAGAAGCUAGCUUAGGGUCCAUUUGACCCAAUCCAAGGCAUAAAAUCCAAAAACCCUAAAUUUACAAAGCUAGGGUUUAGUAGCUUACCUCAAGAGCUACACCAAUGGGAAGAGGAGAGGGAGAUGGAGGUGCUCAAAGCCUUCCUCUUGAUCUCCUUCUUCUUCUCCUUCCUUAUCUUCCUUUUCUUUUCCUUCCUCUCCUUCUUGUUCUUCUUCUCCUUCUUUCCUUUCUAGAGAGAGAGAGAGAGGGAGCAAGAGAGAAAUGAGAGUGAGGGAGAGUGGAAUGAGAGAGUGUGAGGGAGAGAGAGGGCUCAGCCCACUCAAAUAAAAGCCAUUUUGCAUAAAAGCCCCUCAACUUUCCCUCCUGUGCACUGCCCUCACUGGGCAGUUUUCGCGCGGAGGGACCGGUCUCCCCGACUUGGGACCGGUCCCCGAGAGCUUCCCUCGGGCGCACGCGUUCGGGAACCGGUCUCUCCCCGGGAGACCGGUCCUCGGGAGACCGGUCCUCACCUGAGAGACCGGUCCCCGAGAGCUCGAUUUUCAGGACUUAGCCAAUUUUUGGCAUCUCUCGCUGGGACCACGUUCGGGAACUGGUCCCCCCCUACCAAGGACCGGUUGCAUCAUGCAACCCCGCUACAACCAGCCAGUGGAACCGGUCUCUCACCUGCAGAGACCGGUCCCCGAGAGCAACAUCAGCCCAAUGAUGCAGUUUGCCUCAUUUGCUCUCGCGGACUCAACUCCAAAGCACUUUUUGUGUUUCGGACAUUUCCAACUCCCACAAAGGGUACACUCUCGACAGUUAGUCGAUCCUGGAUGAAGUACAAUCCUCGGAUUUCGAGAAUUCACUUCCUUACAUCCUCCCCUCCUUAAAAGGAGUUUCAUCCUCGAAACUAACUCAAUUCUUAACUUUAAUUUAAACUUGUACCUCACUCCUCAAACAGAUGAGGAUGGUGUUUUCUCAUCAGCUCCUCGAGUUCCCAGGUGGCCUCGCGAUCAUCGUGAUUGCUCUACCGAAUUUUCACAUAGGGGAUUUCUCGAUUCCUCAACUUUCGCACCUCUUGGACGGUAAUCCCUACCGGAAACUCUUCAUAGCUCAAAUCUUCUUGAAGUUCCGGCGGCACAUAUAGCAUUGCGUGCUCGGGGUCGUGAAUAUACUUACGGAGAUUAGAGACAUGGAACACAUUGUGCACAUCCGCAAGCUUCGGCGGCAAAGCAAGUCGAUACGCCACCGUGCCGACUCGCUCCAAUAUCUCAUAUGGCCCAAUGUACCGGGGACUCAGCUUUCCCCGUACUCCGAACCGCUUCACACCCCGCAUUGGUGAAACCUUCAGGAAUACGCGGUCACCCACCGCGAACUCUAUAUCCCGACGGCGCUUAUCUGCAUAGCUUUGCUGUCUCGACUGCGCCGUGAGCAAUCUCUUGCGAGCAAGGCGGACUUUCUCUUCCGCUUCUCGCAAAACAUCUGGGCUGAACUCAGCACGCUCGCCAACAUCGCUCCAGUGUAUAGGAGAUCGACACGUCCGCCUAUAGAGAGCCUCGAACGGUGCCAUCUCCACACUAGCAUGAUAACUGUUGUUGUAGGCGAACUCGGCCAUGGGUAGAUGGUCGCACCAACUUCCCUUAUAGUCGAUGACACACGCUCGCAACAUAUCCUCCAGAGUUUGAAUAGUUCUCUCUGUUUGCCCAUCGGUUUGAGGGUGAAAUGCGGUGCUAAAGUCGAGUCGUGUGCCAAGGGCUUCCUGCAGGCUCUUCCAAAAGUGUGAAGUGAACUGGGGGUCACGAUCCGAUACGAUCGAUUUCGGCACCCCAUGCAGUCUUACUAUCUCGUCGAGGUAUACCUGCGGUAACUUGUCACCCGACCACGUGGUGUGGAUCGGCAAGAAAUGAGCCGACUUAGUUAAUCGGUCCACAAUUACCCAAAUUGCAUCGUGGCCGCCCGUUGAGCGAGGCAAGCCGACCACGAAAUCCAUCGAGAUAUCAUCCCAUUUCCAAACGGGGAUUGGUAGGCUUUGAAGCUUUCCCGCUGGAAAUCGACGCUCUGCUUUUACUUGCUGGCACGUUAAGCACUUCGCCACAAAGCGCCCAAUAUCACCCUUCAUUCCCGGCCACCAAUAGUGCAUUUUCAAUCCUCGAUACAUUUUGGUGCCGCCCGGGUGAUCAGCAUACGGAGAUCUGUGUGCUUCUUGUAGAAUCAAUUCGUGAAGCUCUCCAUCUUUCGGCACACACCAUCGGUUUCUAAACCGAAGCGCACCAUCGGCGUUUAUACUGAAAUCGCCGCCUCGACCAUCCUCGAUGUUUCGCCGCACCUUCUGGAGUUCUGGGUCCGCAGGUUGCAGAUCUUUAAUCCUCUCCAACAAGGUCGGUUGGACAACGAGUGCCAUCAACUGGGCUGGGAUCUCGGGAGGAACCACUUCGAGAUCCAGUCGUUUCAUAUCCCGCCAUACGGGUGUUUGCUGGGUAAUAUCAAAAGCGAGAUUCUUCGCCGACUUCCUACUCAGCGCAUCCGCGACCACAUUUGCCUUCCCGGGGUGGUAGAGAAUAUCGACAUCAUAAUCCUUUAACAGCUCCAACCACCGCCGCUGACGCAUAUUGAGCUCUUUCUAAAUAAACAAGUACUUUAAGCUCUUGUGGUCGGUAUAGAUCUCACAGUGGGCACCAUAUAAAUAGUGCCUCCACAGCUUUAAGGCGAAAAUCACCGCCGCUAGCUCCAAAUCAUGGAUUGGGUAGUUCUUUUCAUAGCUCUUCAGCUGACGGGAUGCGUAGGCAAUCACCUUCCCGUUUUGCAUCAACACACACCCCAAUCCAAGAUAGGAGGCAUCACUGUAGACUACAAAGUCCUCGCCCUGCACCGGUAGAGCGAGCACCGGAGUCGAAGUCAAUCUUUGCUUCAACUCUUUGAAACUCCGAUCGCAUUCUUCGCUCCAAACGAACUUGGCGCCUUUCUGGGUCAGACGAGUAAGUGGAAUCACUAUCUUUGAAAAGCCUUCCACAAACCGCCUAUAGUAGCCCGCCAAACCCACGAAGCUUCGGACCUCCGUGACAUUCGUCGGGCGCGGCCAAUCCUUGAUUGCCUCAACUUUCCUCGGGUCUAUAGAAACUCCACCCGCGGAAAUCACAUGCCCUAAGAAGGCGACCUCGCGAAGCCAAAAGUCACACUUCUUCAGUUUAGCAUAUAGCUUCUCCUCCCGAAGGACUUGAAGCACUAUUCUCAAAUGCUCGGCAUGAUCCUCUUCGCUACGCGAAUAGACCAAUAUGUCAUCUAUGAAAACCACGACAAAUCGAUCCAAAUACUUUUUGAAGACACGGUUCAUCAAGUCCAUAAAUGCCGCUGGAGCAUUCGUGAGUCCAAAUGGCAUGACCGUGAAUUCGUAGUGUCCAUACCGCGUGCGAAACGCGGUCUUCUGCACAUCUCCAGCUUAAUUUUCAGUUGGUGAUAGCCGGAUUGCAAAUCUAUCUUUGAGUACACACACGACCCUUGCAACUGAUCGAGCAGGUCAUCGAUUCGGGGUAGUGGGUACUUGUUCUUGAUCGUGACUCUGUUUAGUUCUCGAUAAUCCACACAGAGUCGAAACGAUCCGUCCUCUUUUCGUACAAAUAACACCGGGGCUCCCCACGGUGAUACACUUGGCCGGAUAAAUUGCUUGUCGAGGAGGUCUUGCAGUUGACUCCUCAACUCCUUCAACUCCGCCGGCGCCAUUCGGUACGGAGCCUUCGAGAUCGGUGCGGUACCGGGAACCAAGUCUAUAACGAACUCGAUCUCCCGAUCCGGUGGUAUCCCUGGCAACUCCGUAGGGAACACGUCCGGAAACUCCUGCACCACCGAUAUCUCCUCCAACGUGGGAGCUACUUGAUCCACUUCUACGAUGGUUGCCAAAAACGCUGCACAACCAUUGCUCACCAACUUUCUUGCCCUUGUCGCCGACACCGUCGCGACGAAGCACGAGCUCUGGCAAGCUUGAUAGGUGAAUUCUUCUUGUCCUGGCUCACGGAACGUGAUCACCCUGCUCUUGCAGUCGAUCGUUGCAUAAUACUUCGAAAGCCAGUCUAUACCCAAUAUGACAUCGUACGCCUCUAAUUUCGUGAGUUCCAACGUCCGGAUUGGCAUAAUCCAUCCGCCUAUUUGCACCGGACACGAGGCGCACUCCGAGUAGGUAUUAAAUGUCGACCCAGGGCCCUCUACUCACCACUUGCCACUCGCUUCUAUAUGUAUACCAUGCAUGCGUGCGAAUGAUCUACUUAUGAAUGAAUGCGUGGCUCCUGUAUCAAAUAAAGCCCUGGAGCGGACUCCGUUAAUUGAAACCAUACCUGCCACAAGGCGAUGCUCCUCCGCCUCCGCAGGUUCCUCAGCUUGGACUUGAGCGGCGAAUACCCGUCCGCUCGGGGCCGAUCGCGCCACCUCAGGUUGACGCGGCAUCAUCGCGCGUCCAGUCGACGCGGUUGUCGGUGGAGCUCCUCCAUAGUGAGCCGGAAUCACCGGCGCCGAUGCAAUCGAAGGGGCAGGUGAGGCUCCUCCUCCCGGGCAAUCUCGAAUGAAGUGUCCCGGCUGCCCACAUUUGUAGCACUUGCCUCGGCCUUGUUCACAGCGCGAGACCGGGUGGUCUCCGCCACAUAUCAUGCAUCGCCGCACUCCACCGCUCUUCUGUUGAGUGCGCGCAUACUUCGGGGGCUUCUUGUAACGUGUCUGUCCCCCCGAACUACCGCCGCCUUGGCGUUUCUUGCCCUUGUCCUUGGAUUCCGCCAAAAGCUCACGCUUCUCCCGGACGUGGGCGUCUCCGUGCUCCACCCAUAGCGCUCGAUCAAAGACCUCAGCAAAGGUCGUGAGCUUAAGUAUUUGCACGGCCUUGUAGAUUCCCGGCCGAAGUCCUCGCAAGAACCACUCGGCCCGGUCCCGGUCAUCCUUGACAACAUCCGGGACACAAUCUAUGAUGUGGGAGAAUUCUUGUUCAUACUCCGCCACUGAGCGGUCCCCUUGCUCUAGCUUGCGGAACUUCUCCUUGAGCUUCCGCUUCAAUGUGUCGGGGAAAUAAUUGGCGAACAUCUCCCGCUUAAAUUCUUCCCAUAACAUCGGCGGAAGGCCGGGAGGCCGAUCCCGCUUAACGCGCUUCCACCAAACCUUCGCCGCCUUCUCCAAGCAAUGGGUGGCGAGGUACACCUUGUCCCUCUCCAAGGUACGCAAGUCGUCGAAGAGGGUUUCCAUCAAGUCGAUCCAAGACUCGACCAUCUCCGGUUCCACUUUCUCGCACUCAAAAGUUGGCGGAUGGAACUUGUUGAACUUGAUAAGAGCCGCCAAUGCGCGCUCCUCCUCCACAUCUUCGGCCGACACAUCGGGUGUAGCCGAUCCCGAUGCCGCCUGCGGUGCGAUCGCUGGCGGUGGGAGUGCCGUCACCGGAACCGCCUUAAUACCCUCACCCUCCGCCACCUCGGGUACACGGGUCGAGGGCGCGGGCGGACCACCACCCUCAGCCACUGUCGCGGGCGCUGCCGCGAGCUGCCGCUCCAUAAGCUCCUGGAGCCUCUCGAAUCCGGUCUCUUGGCGUUGCACCACAUUGGUCAACGCGGUCACUUGCGCCUGCAGCCGAUCCAUCAUGCUCGGCUCCGUCUGCUCGGGCACCUCAGGUGGUGGUGCCGGAGUAGAUCUCGUACUUGGGCGCCUCUUCGGUGCCAUAGCUCCUGAAAUGCUACCACUUGGUUAAUCACUUUAACCAACUUCCUCGUCGGAAUUACGACACAUGACGACUCAACAACAAAAUCGGGCGGAAGCACACAAGCGUACUCGUCCUAGACUCUUGGCAUCAUGUCGUCGGCCGCCGACACAACCACCUCAAGUCAAGAACUCAUACAACUCGAAUCCGUCUCUAAUCGCAACUAGAGACCUAUACUAACUUCGACCCAAUCGAAUUAACUUCCGCCAUCGCUAUAGGUUCACGCUCCGCUCACGCACCUAUAACCUUAAGGCUUACCAACCUAGGGUCUCCUAGGUCAUCCUAAACUCUCUUUACUUGCUCUUAUUGCUCUGAUACCACAAAAGACUGUCACGCCCCGCCCCGAAACCACUACCGAUUUGGCACGAUUCGGCCGCGGCGACGGACCGCCGGACGGACAGCACCUCCCUUGUCCGCCCAAGGCUCAACGACAGGAAUGUGUACAAGAAUUUACCCAGGACUUUAAAUUCUAAACAUGCACAUUCAACGAGGGCACAAACAGUGCCAACAACAAGAAGAGCAAGUAAUCCACAAGAUAUACGAGUGAAAUAAAGAGAGUACUUUACUAACUAUUACAAUAGUUGCAUUCUUUACCUUUACAUCAUUUUCCAAAAUGAAUAUAUUUGAUCCUCGAAAUACAUAGCUCUCCAACCUCACCUACAUGAAUCUCUCUCAAUACAUAGGUGUGCUAAUGCAAAAGGAAAGCUACUAUGCUACCACGUGUCACGUCCCAAUCCCCGCCAAUUUGGUCGGGUUCGGGUCACGUCGACAGACGCCGAACGGACAGAGCCUCCCCUGUCCGCCCAAGGCUCUAACAANCGUUACACUAACUCUAGUGUUCUUUAUGCCACAUUUGUUGCUAACUCUAGCUUUGUUGUUCUUUAUGCCACACUUGUUCUCUUUGAUGCCACACACUAACUCUAGUGUUCAAAUACUUUAGCGUUCAUUAUCCUUAUUAAUGCCACACAUACUAACUCUAGUGUCAUCUUUGCAUUUACUAAUGCCACUCGAUCUACCUGUCAUAGUGUCACAUUUGUCCUCUUACCUCAAUUAGGUUUUUAUGUUACAUCUCAUGCAUAUAUAGGGUUCCUAGGUUCUCAACCAUCUCAUAAUGCAAUUGUACUCACAACAUGCAACAUUCACAUAAACAUCAUCUCAUUCACCCUAAAAUGCAUGCAACAAUAUAUAUAUGUAUGCUCAAUGAGUGACACAUUAGACAUAGAAAGAAUUUCAAGAAGUUUGGAAAGCACCACCCACCUUGUAGGCUUGCUAAGGUGUUCAGGUUCGAAUUUCACGAUUUUUGGCCGCCUAUUUCCUUGCCUGCAACAAAACGAAGCCAAAUUAGGCUUUUUCGCUCAUAACUUCGCAUAGGCUUUUCGUAACGUUAAACCGAGCACACCAACGCGUCGAAAAUACCCCUAAUUAGGUUUCUAGAGGGUCAAUUUAACUUUGAAACCCUCACAAGCAAAAGCCCCAAUUUGGGUGCCCUAGUUCCAUCACAUAUACAAAACCCUAGUUUAGAUCUCUUGGGGAAGCAAAAGAAAACUUCAAAUCAUCUAGAGGUUUCAUUAAAAUCAUCCUUAGGUCAAUCAAAAUCCAUUAUAGGGUUUUACGAUGAGAGAGGAUCAAAGCUUACCUCUUAAGCUUUCCUUUCUUGAGUUGGAGGUGAAGGAGAGGGAGUUGCUUCACUCAUUCUUCUUCUUCUCUACCUUUUUCUCCUUUUCUUUCUCUUUCUACUUUUCUUUCUUCUCUUCUUCUCCUUGCCUUCUAGAGAGAGGAUGAGAGAUAUGAGAGAGUGUGAGGGAGAGGAAUGAGGGAAAUAUCUCAUACCCCCCCCCCAAUACAUAGCCCACUUAGUGCGUAAAUGCAAAUAAGCCCCUCAACUUUCACCAUGUCCUACUGCCCAGACUGGGCAUUUUUCGGGCACGGGGACCGGUCUCUCUAGUAGGGACGGGUCCCCGAGAGCAGCCCCUCAGCUACGAAAAAUGGGCCUGGUUCCUUCCUGAUGGAACCGGUCUCUCGGGGACCGGUCUCUCCCCGCAGGGACCGGUUCCCGAGAGCUGCUCUCCUAGGACUUAGCCAAUUUUUCCACAUUCUCAAAUCUCACACGUACGGGGACCGGUCUUUCCCACCAGGGACCGGUCCCCGAGAGCUUAAAAACUGCAGUUGCAGAUUCUUUGAUUCUCUAGCUCUCGAAGAACCCCUAUAAUGCACUUUUACUCUCUUUGACGCCUUCGGCCUUUCCGAAGCCUAUUAACCUCGCACUUUGGUCAUUUUGACUAAAGUUCGAUAUUUGUUUACCGAAGUUUUUGUAUAUUACAUUUUACACUCCUUAAAAUAGUUUCGUCCGCGAAACUAAACAUACCUCAACUUGUCGACUCAAAUAGGUGAGGAUACAUCCUCCACAUAGUCUCCUCAAGCUCCCAAGUGGCUUCACGCACCGCGUGGUUGCUCCAUUGGACUUUUACAUAUGGAAUUGUGCGACUCCGCAAUUUCCUUUCUUCUCUAUCGAGGAUGCACACCGGGUACUCCACAUACGACAUGUCUUCGCGUAGCUCCACUGGCUCACACUCUAACACAAGUGUUGAGUUGCGAAUAUACUUUCGGAGGUUCGACACGUGAAAUACGUCGUGAACUCCCGCAAGUCUCAGUGGCAAUGCAACCUUGUACGCCACCGCGCCAAUGCGCUCUAACACCUCGAAUGGUCCGACAUAUCGGAGGCUUAACUUCCCGCGGACCCCAAAACGCCUUACACCUCGCAUAGGCGAUACUUUCACAAAUACACGGGCUCCGACCGCGAAUUCUAAUUCCCUUCUACGCUUGUCGGCAUAACUCUUUUGCCUUGAUUGUGCCGUCGCAAGACGUUGACGGGCAAGGCGAACUUUCUCCUCCGCCUUCCGCAACACAUCGGGGCCAAGAGUGUAAUAUACCGAAAAUUCGGAAAAUAAAUAUCGAACUUUAGUCAAAUUGACCAAAGUGCGAGGAUGGAAACACUUCGGAAAGUCCGAAGGUGUUAAAAUGAGUAAAAGUGAGUUGUGGAAGGUUUUCGAGAGCUAAAAAAAUCGAAUUCUGCAAAACUGCAGAUUUUCAGCUCUCGGGGACCGGUCCCUGGUGGGAGAGACCGGUCCCCGAACGCGUGCAGAAUGAGACAACCGAAAAAUCGGCUAAGUCCUGGAAGGAUAGCUCUCGGGAACCGGUCUCUACCUGAGAGACCGGUCCCCCAGAGACCGGUCCCAUCAGAGGGAGACCGGUCGCAUCGCGCGCAGCGACUCUGGCUGCGCAGGGUGGACGUUCGGGAACCGGUCCCUGCUCGGGGAGACCGGUCUCUGCCUGCGCGAACUGCCCAGUUCGGGCAGUGUAAUAAAGUAAAAGUUGAGGGGUUUAUUAGCAAUUUUGCAACCCAAGGGUUAUGUUGGGGCUGAGAGAGCCUUCCUCUCUCAUUCCCUUACCCUCUCACACUCCCUCCUCUCUUUCUCUCUCUAGAAGACAAAGAAGGAGAAGAAGAAGACAAGGAAAAGAAGGACAAGAAGGAGAGGAAAGUGAAGAAGAAGAUCAAAGAGCAAAAGGGGCUUCAUCUUCUUCCUCUCUAGGGCAAGAAAGGAGAGCUUACAAGGUAAGCUUUGAACCCUAAUGUAGUAAAACCCUAGAAAUGGGUUUGAAUGAACAUAGAAAUGGUUUUUAAUGGAAUGUCUAGUAGUUUUGAAGCUUUCUUUUGCUUCUAAAGAGAUCAAAACCUAGUUUUGCUAUAUAGGUGAGCUUGGACCACCUCUAAUGGUGAAAUCCAAACUAGGGUUUUGGAAAGCCUAAGAAUGGUUCUAAUGGGUUAUUUAGAGUAUAAUGAAGCUACUUUUGCUUCCCAAUGAGAUCAAACCCUAGGUUUUGAUAUACAAUGGAGCUAGGGCACCCAAAUUGGGGCUUUUGCUCAUGAAGGUUUCUAUGUGCAAUUGACCCUCUAAAAACCUAAUUGGGGGUAUUUCCGACGCAUUGGUGCGCUCGGAAUAGCAUUACGAAAAGUCAAAGUAAAGUUAUGAGCAAAAUGGCCUAAUAAGGGUUCGUUUUGCCGCAGGUAAAGAACGAGAGGUCUAAAAAUCCCAAGAAAAUCAUCGGAGCACCUAAAUAGACCUGCAAGGUGGGUGGUGCUUUCCAAACUCAUUGAAAUUCUCUCUAUGCCUAAUGUGUCAUUCCUUGAGCAUAUGUUCUAUAUAUUGUUGCAUGCAUUUUAGGGUAAAGUAAUGAUGAAAUGUGAUGAUUGCAUGAUUGUGAGCACAACUUGCAUAAUGAGAUGGUUGAGAACCUAAUAAUGUCAAAACCCUAGAUGUAUGCAUGAGAGAAAAUGUGAGCACCCAAAGUGAGCAAAAGAACAGAGUGGCACAAUGACAUAGAUCGAGUGGCAUUGGAAAAUGUAAAGUAAAGAGACACUAGAGUUAGUGUGAUGCAAAGAACUAAAGUGAAGUAAAGAAUGAUGAAAAUGACAAUGUCUAAAGUUAAAGUAAUGUGGGGAAUAAAGAAUAUAAUUGCUAGAGUUAGCAAAAGUAAAAGAAAUGUAAAGAAUGUGAUUGCAUGAGUUUGCAACAUAAAGUGAUGUAAAGAACACUAGAGCUAGUGUAAAGUCAAGAUUGAACUUAUAAAUCCUUUGAGUUAAGGAUAUGAUCAUACUUGCUAUGAGUUCCGUGCUCGAGGGCGGUCGCUCCCCCUCGGGCGAUGCGCUCCGGAGUUAUGCAUCCGGGUUGGAGUAGACCCGUAAGGACGGUCCUAGCUGGUGAGUUCCUGCGAUGAUGGACUUAAUGUGAAGCAAGUUAAUGUGGCGAAACCCCCGGGUUAGCCUUGAGAUUAAAGAACAAAGAGCAAAGAACAAAGUACAAAGAACAAGAACAAAGAGUAAUGUGAAAAGAAUAAAGAAUUUGCAUAAUCUGCAUAUAUUUAAUGUUGAGCAUAUUUCUUGCUAUUUGUUCAGGCAUAUUAGCAUCAUGUUAUAGAUUGGUUACUAUAUCCUACUUAUCCUUUCUAUUAUGCCUGAGUUAGUCCUAGUGGGAAAGUCGGUGAUGUUGAGGCCGAACCCACUGGGAACUUUGUUGUAGUUCUCACCCCACUAUUUCCACAGAGCCGGGACCGAGCGAGCCGGCGAGCGACCGAGGUAAAGGUAUCGCGUCCUAGUCAGAGGCCACCAAUGUUGGAUUUCAUUUUGUAGUAAAGUACCUUAUGAU